RNAcentral lists this long non-coding RNA (93250 nucleotides) under Medicago truncatula (barrel medic). Its description in RNAcentral is "long non-coding RNA (MTRU_LNC000111)". Lineage: Eukaryota; Viridiplantae; Streptophyta; Magnoliopsida; Fabales; Fabaceae. The record is from RNAcentral.
UUUUUUUUUUUUUUUUUUCAAGAUUUAUCCUUCUAAACAAAAGACUGAUUUACUAUUAGUAAAAAUGUUUGAAAAAUAUAUUACACCAUGUCCAAAUAAAAAAUUGCAAUCCUAUAAUUAAAGUUUGGGUAAUGGGUUUAAGGUGGAAGAUUGAUGGAUUCCUAUCAUUCAGCCAUAUAGGGAGGGUAAUAUUUGUGCGGAUUGGUUGACGAAGCUUCAAACCUCCACCAAUGGUCUCUUAUUAAUUUGAGAUGAGUGUCCUUCUCAACUAUCUCUUAAUUUGUUUGCUUAUGCUAUAUUGGUGAAGUAAGGAUUAUGCGUUAGUCUUGUCUUUUCUUUCUUGUUGAAAAAAUAUAUCACCAUUAACAUAAUGUUGUUAUAUCUAAUAGCUACUUUCAAACAAACCAAACUUUAUCAUCAUAUCUUAGUAGUCUAUUAACAUUACCUCCUCUUGUUUCUUCAAUGAAUCGUGAUGCACAUAGACACAUCCACACAUUAACAUGAUGUUGAAAUGCACUUUGGUAACAUGUCCCAAGUCAAUGCCCAACAUAAACGGUUGAAAACUUCAACAGAAUAAAAGAGAGAUUAUUUUGCUUAAAAAAUGGGUUUUCCAUGUCAAAAACCGUAACAUACGGGUCCCUAAAUAACAUCAGAUAAAUUGGUUGAAAUUUGUUUGGAAAAUUGAUUUGAUUCACAUUAAGCAAAUGUUUGUUUAAGUGUUUUUCUCACAUGAUUUGGUCAAAAUUUAAUAACCGGCUCAUAACAUAAUUACAAACUAAGCAAUUGUUUACUUAUUAUCAACAAAAAAAAAAAAAAAAAAAAGCAAUUGUUUACUUUAUCUUCUUGAAUUUAGAUUUUAAUACUCAAGCAAGCCUCUCCUAUGCUAUUGUCCUUUUCUUGUUUAUUUUGAUGUAAUUUCUUAGUGAUACAUUGAUUCUCCUCCAUUAACGGACCCGUAUGCUAUACUCAAGGAAAAUUUCAUAAUUCAAAAACACAACUUGUGCACCAUAUCAUUAUACUCAAUCCUUGGUAGCCCUUAAUUUGACUAGCAAUACAUUGAUUCUCCUCCAUUAACGGUUGCAUUUGAAGUGUCCAUUGAGUAGCUUGAUUGGGUAGUCAACCUCCAUUACAAGGGACUUCUUCCAAAAGUUUGUGAGAGCAAGCUACGGUCAAUCUCAAUUUUGAGCAGUUGAAAUGCAUAAACAAAAAUACAUUUGUAUAUCUUUAAUUAAUUAUGCAGUGACAAAAAUUAAUUUUAAAUAAAUUGAAUUGACUUUAGUUUAAAGAAUGUUACUCAACUCUUUAAAGCAUAUAUAUAAUCCUCGAAUUAGAUGUGUUUAGGUAUGUCCGAUUUCGAUACGACAUCGACACAUAUAGUUAUACUGAAUUAUAUGAUUUUUUUAAAUAAUUAUCGAUAUCAACCUGUUAAUGUCUAUGUUGUGUCUAAUAUCCAUGUCAGUAUUCGUGUUUUAUAGCAAUUAAGCAAGUUUUUUAAUCCAUCCAUGUAGUAAAAGUCAGUACUCUGAAAAUUGGACACCCCAUACCGAAAAGCAUUAUGAAAAGAGGGAUUUGUGCAAGUAAAUCUCUUGAUAUUAGUAUAAUAAUUUGAGCAAUUGUCCUCUUCCAACAUGGACCAAAGCAUAUUAUAUUGAAUCACUAAACAUAGACCAUAAUUUACCCGCAAAAGGUAUCCACAUGAAUCAAAAUAAAGGUAUUAGUGGAGUAUUCCUAGGAUUUUCAAACCUUUGUCCAAAUCUACUUUGUUUCAUUCACUUUUUGAUAAUUAAACAACUGGUGUCUAGGGUAUACAAAUAACAUGUUAGAUCGGGUUGCAUGUGACUCGAAUUCAAUUCUAACAUUUGAUCGGAUAAACUUUUAAGACUCUAAUCCAAUUUUAACUAUGGUCGCCCGAUGAAAUAUUGGUCAAAUAAGAAUGCGACAGUAUAAGGACAUAACUAUGUUGGUCACAAGACAAGUCAUCAUUCACCAAUACAUAACCAUCUUUUUUUUAAAUAAAAAUAAAAAUUAAUAAACAAGUUCUUUUCCCAAGAGAGGACGUAAAAUUAUGGACACUUUCAUGCUUUAAAUUAUUAAUAAAUCAACUAACAUAGAGAAAUUGAUAUAGCAAUUGAGGAAGUGAUAGUCACUACCCGCUAUAUAAUUUAUGAGUUGAAGUUCAUUACAUGCAUUAGACUCCAUCAUGUUGUAGCAUAUCAUCAAGAUGUAAUGAUACAUAAAAAGUGCAUAACUAAUUUCAGUAUUUUAUAAUCAUUUGGAUGUGUGCAAGCCAUUUCUACUGAUUUUAUCUACCGGUUAAUGUGUGUGAGAGAGAUUAGAAAAUAAUACCAAAAUCAUGAGAUUAUAAAUUAAGCUUUUAUCAUUGAGUUAACACUCUAAGUGUAAAAUGUUUCUAAAGCCGAUUAAAAGAGUGAUCGAAAAAUUAGAGUGUCCUUUUUUUUCUUUUCAAAAUCUUAAACUACACCAAGAUAUAGUCUUAGCCCUCUAAAACCAUUCCCUAUAAAAUCCAACUAGCAAAUUCUUUACAUCUAAAAAUAAUCAUCUCGUUAGUUGAUUUCGACAGAUAGACUAUUAGGCAAGGAAGCCUCUCAAUCAAUGGAAGGAUAUGCUAUGCUAAAGCAGCAGAGCGAGAGAAGUUGAUUAUUUCUCAUAACCACUAACUUAGUAUGCGGGUCGCAAAUGCCUCAAACUGAUUCGAAACAUAGUGAGAUUGGACAAUGACGCAAGAAACUCACAUUCAAUAUUUUUAACAAACUAACCGCAUGAAGGGAUGAGAUGAGACAUAAUCUCGUAAGAGUUGUGCUCUAAGGACUAUGUGAACGCACCACACCGUGAAGAAGGAGAUAACAAGCGUAUUUAACACAUCCUUAAUCAAAUAGGCGUAUUUGAUAUUUCAUCCAUUUACCUUUAUGUCUUUAUUUUUAUGCAUUUCUUAGUGGAGCUCAAAAUUUCCAAAACACAAUCAUACUUAACGCUCUACUUGAAAAACAAAGGAACCCACGACCGAGGUAUAAAGUUAAUUCGCUUGAAGAAGAUGGAAUCACAAUUGAGGAUAUUCAGCCGAACCUCGACUGAAUUUUUGCGCCACUAACAAAUUUGGCAUGCUUAGUGGGGCAAUAUGAACUUUACCACUGAAAAAUCUAGUACACCAAGUCAAGACUAAGUUUCUUGUAUGCACCUGAGGUCUGAAAAGAGUCUCAACAGUAUGAAACAAAUGUGAUAUUCAACAACUAGAAUGUUUGGACAACCUCGACCUAGUGAGCUCUUGCAAACGUUGGGAAAGCCAACAUCCAUGGCUGCUUCUAGCGUUUUUUAUGUACGACCGAUUAAAAUACAUAAGUCUCCAUUAGUAAUGGCAACAUCUUUAAUUCAACAUCAUAUUGACAUGGUGAUUCAUGGUAUCAUGUAUCAAGUCUUCAAACAAAUUGAUGAAAUUAUUAAACUAAUGGCUUACAAUAAAGUUCAACAAGCCAAGGAAUUGGAGGUUGUACGAGCCAAUUCUGGUGAAAAUUUAGUCACCAACGCUCCAUAAAGGGUACAAGGGACCCAAAAUCAAACAUGUCUUAUUAAUGAAAGCCAAAUGAUUAUUGUAUCAGUAGGAGCUCAACAUGAUCAUUACAAUAUGUACUUCCUUCUACUCCUUAUUCAUAACCUAGUAUUUAUUCCACAGCUAAACCUAAAGUGCACCAAGUGAGGAAUUUUGCUUAUAAUCAGACCAAUCUUCAAGAUGAACAUGUACAUAUGGUGAGGAGACAACCUGAAGCAGUAUGAAACAUUGGCCUCCAACAAAUUUUGCCUUAUGGAAACAAUAUGUAGUCAAUCAGCAUGUCUUGCACUAGAGGAUACGUCUGUUGCCCAAUAGCAAGAAUUUAAUGUCCAAAUUUGGAUUAUCAUAUGUAAUGGCCAUGUGUGAAUUAUCCAUAUGCAUCAUCUAAACAUGUAACAUACCUUCAACAACUUGAUGUACUUAUACCACCCUCGGUGGGUUGACGAUCACUUGGGCAAUAUGAAGUUGUACAUAUGAGCACCCAUGAAUCAUGAAUCCACUUCACCAAUAUAGACUUUGUUGGUUCCUUAGACUCAAUGGAGAAUCAAUGGUGAUCCAAACAAAUAGAAGUCAUGGAGAGUUCCCUAACCUCAAGUUCAAGGUCAACCAUGACUCCAAAGUCAUAAGAACAUACAUGGUGUCUGCUAGUUGCAGUCGAGGUAAGAACUUCAAAACUGCAAAUGUUGGAUCCCAACCUUAUAGUCGAUACAAUCAAGAGGUACUUCGGUAUACAACAUAAAUGUAUGAAUAUACAUGCUUAUCGGAAGCCAUAUCCAUAAUGGGUUGAUAGAUUGAUGCCUUUACCCAUUUUUUAUAAGACUCUAAAUUUUGCUACCUUUUAUAGGGGAAGAUGGUUAAUCGACAAUCAGAAGAUCUAUUGCGUAGUGCAAUGUGCGAAACCAUAACAAAUUCCACAAGUUACAACUAUUCCAUUUAUCAUUGACAUGAACAACUUUCAUGUGGUAUUCUUCUCUCCCAUCGUUUACACCUAAAAAUAAUCAUCAUGUUAGCUGGUCUCGACAAAUAGGUGAUUAGACUAAUAGGCUAUGAUACCAAUCCUAGUAAAGACCGAACACAAGCCAUCAUAUGAAUCCGACAACUAAAGGUUUAUGGGAAAUUGUUCUAGAAUGAACCAAGACUCAAUCCCUCAACGGAUUGAGAUAUCCUUAAGUCACCAGCCAUUACAUAGACCAUCACAUAUACUCACCCUAAAAACACCAAUUAUCAGGGUCGCUCAAAAGCAAUAUGGAUAGUCCUUUCCAAAUCUUAAGAUCCCAUGCUCUAAUAUGUUUACGGUUAUGAUCAAAUACCCCCCUGAAAUUGCAUAAAUGGAUACAUACGUUAUGCUUUUGUCUAUUUGUAUACGUAUGUAUACAAACAUAUUAGAGCAUAACCGUAAAGUAACCGUAAACAUAUUAGCGGGGGAACUACGGUUAUGAUCAAUUACCCCCAUGAAAUUGCAUAACGUUAAUCAAUUUACCCCCUCCGUCAAAUUUUUCUGUUAACUGUUUACAGUUAUGAUCAAAUACCCCCUGAAAUUUUGCACUUAUGUGCAAAAUGCCCCAUAAACUUGAAAAUUUAUUUAUAUUUUUUUAUCCUUGACUCAAAAAAUAUUAAAGGCAAACAAUUAACAAUUAUUGAUCAUAUAAAUCUUUAUGGAAUGUAUGUUUAUGCAGCUAUUGGUCAUAUAAAUCUUUAUGGAAGGUAUGUUACUCUCAUGUGUUUUAAAUAUAUACAUAUAUAUAAGAAUUUUUUUUUACACAAGUUGGUAAUUAUGUUAGAGUAUGCAGUCAUAAAGUACACAAGUCUUUGAUAAUUGUGUGUCCAUAAAGAAAAUUCACAGGUUAAUAUCUGCAGAAGGAAGAAGAAACAUGGCUUAGGUUUGUGAAUUUGAAAUUUAAUUAAUGAUAUAAUUUUUAUAAUGCAGGAAAUGCCAUAUCUAUUAGCUGCAACAUGUUAAAUAGAUUUUGUCAUAGACCUUCUGCAUGAAGCCAGUAUAUCACAUUGUACUACAAAGUUAUGUGAUAUAUAUCAAUUUUUUGCUGCUAUGGCAUUCUUGUCUUGGUUUAUUUCAACAGUUUAAUAUCUUUUUAAUGUUUGGUUUUUAGUUUUACCUUCUUUGUAAAAAAUUUAUCUUGCUCCUUGUUGAUAAAUAUGAAAUAUGAAUGAAAAGGCUGCACAUGACAAAACCAUGAUUUUUUUGACAUAUAUUCAUUCAUUUUCUUGUGAAUAGAAUUUUUAUGACAAUAUGUACAAUAUACUACUUGAAGAACUAAAUGUAUGAUUUUUUAUAAGAAAAAAAAUCUAAAUUUUUAAGUUUAGGGGGCAUUUUGCACAUAAGUGCAAAAUUUCAGGGGGGGUAUUUGAUCAUAAACGUAAGAAGUUAACAAAAAAAUUUGACGGAGGGGUAAAUUGAUUAACGUUAUGCAACUUCAGGGGAUAAUUGAAGUUUUGUUAAUUUCAGGGGGAUAAUUGACGAAACUUACCAUUUCAAUUUCAAGGAUAAAUUGAGUGUUUACUCAAAAAAAAAAAAAAACAUUAUGGUCUAAGAAAUCAAACAAGUUUCAUUAAAAAAAUGAUAUACCAUAUAUAGAAAAGAGAGAAAUUAAUACAUGCCCAUAUUUAGAUUAUGAGGUGGGACCAAAAGUCAUGCAUGUAGGACUGUGGGACCCACUCAGAUUUUUGAGUACAACUGGAUUGUGAAAGUUUAAUAGAAGAAGAAACUCAAUGAAAGGAAAUGUGACAGCCAAACGCAGUAAACACACGUUCCCUGUAAUCACUUUCAUGCACAGUUUGGCAUUACCCGUUAACCAAUCAUACUAGUACUACAAGCAGAAUUUUAUUUGAACAUGAUAUUUUUUUUUAAUUGGAAGUUGUUAUAUCAAAAUAGAAAAAUGAAAAAAUAAUGUCAAAAAUAUUCAAAGAUAUUUUAAAAUUGUAUUAUAUCAUUAAAUGUAGUCACUAUAGAAAAAAAGAUCAUUAAAUGCAGUCAAAUCCUUUUAUAACUAAUGAGUCAAAAUUCCAAUAUUGAAAUUUUCCGUAACAUGGAGAGACUAAAAUUGGAAGAUAGAUCCUUUGUGACAUGUUUGGACGUCUCAUUGUGCAAAAUAAGUUAUUUUCCGUAAUAAAAGGUUUGAAUAAUUGAUUCCUUAUUUGUAAGAAUCAAAUCAAAAACAAAAAAUUGAAUAAGGAAAUAACACUUUUUAUUAAAUAAAAAAGAAUCAAAUAAGGAAUUGAAAUGAAUAAAUCAAUAAUGCAAUUUCGCUUAACGGAGAAGAAUAAUUCAAUCAAUCAAAAUGAAGAAGAUUUUUCGUUUUGACUUGAAAAAUAUUCAAAUAUUUUUUUUAUAUGGAAUCCAUUUCCUAGAAACAUGACAAAAUUUUGCCGUUUCGUGAACGUACAGCACUACUGCAAGCAGAAAAAUUCUCCUAUAAAAUAAGAAAGAAAAAAAAAACAGUUUUCUGGAAUUUUUCUCAAAAAUAUAAAAAAUAAAUGUGACAUUAAUUCUUGAGUUGAACAUUUUUACUUGACAUGGAUUUUUGGGUUAGACUUGAUUGUUUAGUACUCUAUAAGUAAAGGAUUACAUCACAUGUACCAAAAAAAAAAAAAAAAAGGUUUAAUUGUAUUUUUGACCCCUAUCUUUUCAAAAGUUGCGAUUUUGACCCCUAAUUAAUUAAAAUACAAAACAGCCUCCUAUGUAUUGGAUCUUUGGCUGUUUUGGCACCCAAGACCAACGUUAACAAGGUCAAAAUUGGUUUUGAAGGCCAAAACUGCCAAAGAUCCAAUACAUAGGGGUCUGUUUUGUAUUUUAAUUAGUUAUCGGGAUCAAAAUCACAACUUUUGUAAAAAUAGGGGCCAAAAGUGCAAUUAAGUCAAAAAAAAAUUAUAAAAAAAAAUAAAUUCACACUUAAGCAUAUUUUUUUUCUUUCAAAAACAAAACUUAAGAAUAUUUUUCUUAAUGAUAGAAAAUUUAGCAAUUUUAUAAAAUUCACACUUUUAAUAAGUUUUAUUUAUUUAUUUACAAAUGAGAAAAUAAACCAGAUUAAUUUGAUGAUGUGAUAGCUUAUUUAAGCAAUUUUUUGUAAAAAAAAUAGUUUAUUUAAGCUGCUUCAACCAUUUUUUUGUUAUUCACGUUGUAUAACUAACGUUGAACACGCUCCAUGUAAUUAACAUGAAUAUCUUUGUUGAAGAUACUCUUGGGGGAUACCGGAUAGCUGUAUGUCCAAACUUUACACUAAUUUAUGAGACGAAUAUUUUUUUAAGGUCUUGUUAACAUUAUUAAUAUUCAAUAAUCAAUAGUUAAUAUUAUUAUUAUUUUUUUUUUAUAAAAUUACAACAUCAUUUCAUUUAUUAAUAACUUUUUUCAUUUGUGUCAGUCACGUGAGCUUAACUCAUUUAGUAAGGAAUAAUGUAUAAUAUAUUUACCUCAUAGUCGAAUUAUGAAUUACCAAUGUCGUAUUUCCUUGAAAUCAUAGGGUUAAAAAUAAACUAACUAACACAACCGUAAUUUCGGAAUGAAAGUAGUUAUUACAACAAGUCACUAUUUUAUAAAAAUAAUAAUUUCUAUGCAAUAAAAGUGUAACACUUUGUUUUCACAUCAAUACAAUUAAAUUAAAUCAAAUCAUAAAUUGUAGAGAUUUUUUAGGAAUUAAUCUAAAAAGGGAGAAUCAUAAAUGAUUUGAUUUGAUGAAGGUGUAAAAAUGUUUUAAUAGAAAUUAAAUUCUUUUUAAAAAAUAAUCAGAAAUUAAUCAAUAAAAUAUUCUGAACAAUCAGAUCCAUCUUGCUAAUUGACACAAACAGAUGUAUUCUCCUGUAAUUAAUUUGGAUAAAAAAACAACUUUCUAAAAGUAUAAUUAAUUUCGAAAUACUCUUAUAUAGAAAAAACUUUACACAUUAAGCAUCGAUCUUUAUCAAAACAAAAAAGUAUCAAAUUAAUCCACACAUAAAACUACCUUUUUAUGUUAAUUCUUAAAAUAUCUUUAAAAAUAUUUAUUUUAUAUAAUUUGAUUGAAUACAUAUAUAAAAUAAUUUUAGACGAUUAUGAGAAUGCAUCAAUAUUCGAUCUCUUUACGAUCCAUUAUGGUAUUAAUUUAUUUGAGAAAUUAAUCUACACGAGUGCAAGAAAUAUACUAUUCACACAAGAAAACAAUUAAUAUUUUUCAUGCAAGACACUCAAUAUAUAAAAAAAAUUGGCAAAAAGAAUUUUCAACCAACUCUUUUUAAGAUCUCAUUUUCAAUCAUCUUUGAUAUCAAUUUUGAUGAAUUAAUCUAUAGAGAGUUUUGUUCUGAUUUUAAUUUAAAUCAUAACAAAUGAACAACGAGCUUAAAUCAUUUCGAUUAGUCGGUUCUGAAUCGGAUAUUAGUUUUCAAAAAGAAUUUUAAAGCAAUAGAAUAUCAUUGAUUAAGGUACACUGUACUAUGUAGUAGUGAGUGUAGUACCUAAAUUUUCUCUCACAAAGCAUUGUUUUGGAAAUACAAAUAGCCGUUUUUCUCUACACACACACACUCUCUCUCUCUCUCUCUCUCUCUUGAUUUCUUUCUGUAUAUAACCACAUUCAUUCUCACAAGAAAAACAUUUGCACUAUACACAUUCAUCCAUUCUCAUAAUUUUCAACAAUGGGUCUCUUCAGAUUCUCUCUCUGUUUUUUCAUCCUCAACAUUGCUCUGUUUUCAACUCUCUGUUUUUCUGGUGACCCAACUGUUUCCACAGAACUUCACGUCUCUUCCACCACUGUUUCUCCUCUUGGUGUUCCUCAAAAGGUUCCUUCUUUGCUCUUCUGAUUCCAUUUCGUUCUUUUAAGCCUGUUUUUUCAUCUGGGUCGUUUUCUUUUGGCAUAAAAAUCAUUCCUUUUUUCUUUUCAGAAAAGUUUUUUUUUUGGGUUUUGUUCAUAAACCGUAAAAAUGAUUCCUUUUUUUGUUUGUUUCUGUAGAAAGUGGAGUAAUUGUUUUCUUUGUUUUUGUUUUUGUUUUAAUCAUUCAUUCUUAUCAUGCAGUUGUAAUAGUAUAGUUUUUUUUGUUAACCUCUGUUUCACUUUGUUAUAUGGUUUGUUUCACUUUGUUAUAUGGUUUUUUUCCAUUGUAAUGAUCAAUUUUUUGUGUUGGUGUUUCAUGAAUGUUGAGAUUGUAUGUGUAAAUGGCUUAAUUCUGAGGUUGAAAAAGGGUCUAAUCAAAUGUUUUUUUUAUUUUAUUUUGUUUCAUUUAUGUAUAUAUUCAAUUUUGCAUGUUCAUUCAAUUUUUGUUGUGUUUCUUAUGGUUUGUUUUCUAUGAAACAGUCCCUUUCAAAUAUGUUUAAAAAGUGUAAAUUUGAAAAAGGUAUCAACUUUUUAAAGUUUCUGCUUUAAACUAUCUGAUUGUGAUUUUGUGACUGAUGGUGGACUUGGCCCUCGUGUGAUUUCAAUGGAGAUUAUUGAGAUUUUUCAUUUGUUAAUUUUUUACCCCAAUUUUAUUGUUUGUGCCCUAAUUUUUUAAUUAGCUAACAUUUCUCAUAUAUGAUUAACAAUUAAUAUUAAUAUUAAUAAUUAUUAUUAAUUAAUAAGUAUAAUUAUAAGAUUAUAAAUUUUAAAAGUUCUAUAGUUUUGCCACCUACUGUGGUAUGAAUCUGAAUUAGUCUAUGUAGUUGCGUGCGUUUCCACUAAAAAAUGUUCUAAGAAUUUAUUGUUGAUUAUGAUAAUACUCUAUUAUGGUUAAAUUCUGAUUGCAGGUUAUAACUAUCAAUGGGAAAUUUCCUGGACCUGUGAUUAAUGUUACAACAAAUAACCAUGUAAUAGUUGAUGUGUUUAAUCAGCUGGAUGAAGAUCUUCUCAUAACAUGGUUAGUUUCAAACUUUCACUGUUACAUUGCUAUAUUUUACUAUACUUUUCCGUUGUUCAUAGAGAAAUGAUAUUCUAAUUUGUCCUUUGGUUUCUGUAUGUUAUUUUGAAAUGUGUGGAAGUUGUACAAGAUAAAAAAUAAGAGAUAGGUAGUGUUAUACACACACUAUGUGACAUUCGGUUGCUUUAUUUUGUUAGAAUAAAACCAUUCGGUGGCUUUAUUUUUGAAAUGUUUGUCGUAGGUCUGGUGUUCAAAUGCGGCGUAACUCGUGGCAGGAUGGAGUUCUUGGUACGAAUUGUCCAAUUCCUUCGAAAUGGAAUUGGACGUAUCAGUUUCAAGUGAAGGAUCAAAUAGGGAGUUUCUUUUACUUCCCUUCCACUAAUUUCCAAAGAGCUUCGGGUGGAUUUGGUCCCUUUGUUAUCAACAAUAGGGAGAUUAUACCGAUUCCUUUCGCGCAGCCCGACGGUGAAAUUUUCAUUAUGAUUGGUGAUUGGUAUACUCAGGACUACACGGUUAGUUAUCACCUUUCAUUAGACUUUCUUCUGUAAAUUCUGAAGAUGUUGUGAGUUUUUAUUGAUAUUUGAUUGCUAUUUUGUAUGUUUUUUUGAUAAAUAUAGGCUCUAAGAUCAACACUUGACGGUGGAAAAGACCUUGGAAUACCAGAUGGUGUUCUUAUCAAUGGGAAGGGACCUUAUCAGUACAAUAAUACUCUUGUACCUAAUGGGAUAGAUCAUGAAACAAUUACUGUUGAUCCAGGUAUUAUUAUCUCCAUUAAUUUUUAUUGUCCAAUGUGGUAUUAGUCUUCUUCCCAAUGCCAUUUUCACGCUGUACAAAUAAUGUUAAGCUAUGAAACACCGUCACAAAUCACAAUACCAAUGCCUACACACAAUGUAAACCACACCCACUUUCAAUUUUUCCACUGGUUUAUUGGUUUGACUUGUGACUGGUUCUUUCAUCACUCUCUGCAAAGUAAUUUGUUUUGAUUAUCUCAAAGAACUAUAUCUUUAUUCUUCACCUCUUCUCAUUCAUGAUUUCUACUAUUGUUCCAUACUUUCUGUUUGAACAUCAAACUUUGAACCUACUUUCUGUUUUGAUUUUCUGAAGUUUUGAUUUAGAAGCUAACUAUAUCAUAUAGAAUGGUAUUAGGUAGAUUGCUGUAUUUGUUUCAAUUGACUAUUAAGUUUUAUUAUACAGCAAGUUGUUGGAAUUGGAACAGUUUGAAUUCUGACUGGAACUACAAAUAUAUUUUGCAGGCAAGACUUACCGUAUUCGUGUCCAUAAUGUUGGAAUUUCAACUUCUUUGAACUUUCGAAUUCAAAAUCAUAAUCUAUUUCUGGUAGAAACUGAAGGGUAUUACACCGAUCAGGCAAAUUACACCGACUUUGAUAUUCAUGCUGGCCAGUCCUACUCUUUUCUGCUCUCCACCGACCAGAACGCGAGUACAGACUACUAUAUUGUUGCAAGUGCGAGGUUUGUGAAUGAAUCAUUAUGGCAGAAGGUUACAGGUGUUGCUGUUUUACACUACUCAAAUUCCAAGGGUGGAGUAUCUGGUCCUCUGCCACCACCACCGGAUGAUUUUUAUAACAAGGGCGCAUCAAUGAACCAAGCAAGAAGUAUCAGGUUUGUUUCUUAGAAUCUGAUGUCAUAGAGGAUUAUAUCGCAUGGAAUAUAGUUCAAUAUUUCAUUAUUUUUUAAGUAUUUUUUGGAUCUUUUUGGGUGAUAACAAUUUCCCUUGUGAGGUUGACAACUUCAUUAACAUAUUGGCAUGCUUCGCUUCUACAUUGAUACCUUUUUCAGCAGUGUUGUUAAAUAGGCAACGAGAUAGCGGAAUUCGAACAAAUUGUUAUUUUGUAAAAAAUAUUGUCAAUUAGUGACCCUAGCGUCUAUAUAACAAUGUAACAGAUUUUGAACAAACCGCUAUUUUAUGCGACUGACAACACUGAUUUGCAAGAGUUAAGUGACAACUCACGUUGGUUGAUGGAGUGUAAAAUAUAAAUGUGGAGAGUUUUGCUAAAAAGAUUAUGGCAUCUUGUUAUAUUUAGUUCUAAUGACUCGGAAUGAUCAAGGGAAAAGCUAUAUGUUUUCUGUAUUUUGUUGUUAUAUUUUGUAGCACCUUGAUGUUUUCCCUUAUCAGCUGGCUAAUAUGCAUUGUUUUUUACAUAAUGAUGUUGAGUAGGCUAAACACAUCUGCAAGUGGAGCUCGUCCUAACCCUCAAGGGUCCUUUCGGUACGGCUCAAUCAACAUUACGGAUACUUACUUGUUAAAGGUUACAGCACCAGUGGCGAUCAACGGCACAACUCGAGCUGCAAUUAACGGAAUCUCAUUUCUAAAACCCGACGUUCCGUUUCGGCUCGCUGACAACAAUCAACUAAGAGGAAUUUAUAAGCUUGAUUUUCCAAGUAAGCCGAUGAACAGAACACCAGUUAUUGAUAGAUCAAUCAUCAAUGCUACAUAUAAAGGGUUCAUUGAGAUUGUGUUGCAAAACAAUGACUCCUCUGUUCAAAACUUUCAUCUGGAUGGGUACUCAUUUUUCGUUGUUGGGUAAGAAUCAACACCUUUCACUUUCUCUUGUUAUUAAUUACAAUAUUGUUUAAUGAUCACAUUUGUAACAAUUGAUUUCUUGGAUUUAGGAUGGACUAUGGUGAUUGGUCCGAAAAUUCAAGAAACUCUUACAAUAGGUGGGAUGCAAUAUCUCGCAGCACAACUCAGGUGUGUGAUCUUCUUCUUCUUCUUCUUAUUAUUAUUUUAUUUGUUAAAUUGUAUCAGUUCUUUGAUUGAAAGUUUUGCUCUAAAUUUUGUAAUAUUGAAAAGUGACAACUAGCUAGAUUUUCUAAUGAUUUUAAUUUAGGGCCUGUUUGCUACGAACAUUUUUCAUGGUUUAAAAGAUUUAUAUAGGAAACAAAAAUCUUCUCCACAAAUUGUUUCUCAAAAUGGAAACAAAAAGUGUUUACUCUAACGAAAGAGUACCUUAGGUUUUUUUCAAAUGAUUUGUACAUGUUAGCAAGCUUAUGCAUGGAGACAUGUGCUUUUUAAAAUAUAUUAGGGACAUAAUUUUUUCUUGUUAAUUAAAUGGCACUACUAUGUAAUGAAAAAGUUACAAGCAUUUGAUCUAAAGUUAGACCUAAUACAUAAACACCUUUGAAGGGAGUAUUUUACAAUUGUUCAAUUCAUAGGGGACUCAAUCAAUCAUUUGACUAUUUUACCACUAUAACAGGUUUUUCCUGGAGGAUGGACAGCAAUCCUGGUGUCUCUAGACAAUGUUGGAUCUUGGAAUCUGAGAGCAGAAAAUCUGGACAGGUGGUACCUAGGUCAAGAAACUUAUCUGAGGAUUGUCAAUCCUGAAGAAGCCGGCGACACAGAGACUGGUGCACCAGAAAAUGUUCUAUAUUGCGGCCCUCUAAAAUACAAACAAAAGUAACAUCUCAUUUUUCCAUUGACAGUGUUUUUGUACCCGAUUUUUCCAUUGACGCUGUACAAAACAAGCCUAUUUUUUUAAUUUUUACUUUUUUUAUACCUGCAGAAAGCAGACACCUUCUUCAUCGUCUGCAGAUUCUUCUUUGGGAAGUGGCUUCCUUUUCACAUUGUUCAUGGGAAUUCUUGUGAUUUUCACAUCUAGCUAAAGCUUUUGCCGGCAUUUUUACAUUUAUCAACUAUGAUUUUUUAGACCUGUCAAGAAGUGUGAUUAGUAAUUUCUUGGUCUGAGGAAAACAACAUAUGCUUUUUGUUCUUUUAGUUAUGGCUUACUUUGUACACAUUUUCUGGUUGUUUAUAUGCUAUUCAAAAUGUGAUUAAGGCUACUUGAAUUUGGUAAUUCAUAUUCUUAAUAGAUGAUUACAGUAGUUUAUCAAAUUUUAAUAUAUUUCGAUCAUGUACUUAAAUUUUCAAUCCUGUGUCAAAAGUUUUGCUUGUUCUAUUGGUAUUAUUAACUUUUUGUAUUUGAAUUCCUGACCUUAGUUCUUCGGAACCGGAUGACCCCUCUGCUGAUGGGUGAGGACAUGUAGAGCAAACUCCAUGAAGGCCUGGGCCACGUCAUCUGCCGCAAUAAGCUCAAUGUCUGUAGGAGCCCUCAGAAUAGUCUGGACAUACCUGUACUGCCUAAGAACCCGCUUUGGCAAGUGACGGACCAUCCUGUCGCUGCUGGCCAUGAUCCAUCCGGAGUACCAGCAUAUGUCCUGAAAGGGCGUGAUGUGUCGUCGUCUCUUGUACGACCUCCAGGUGACAUGUGAACGGUCCAACAAAUCGAUGGUAGCUAUGUAGUGUCCAGAAUUAGAAAAGCCCCUGGGAGGUUUCCAUUGACGCACAAACGGGGAAAUAACAGGGUUGUAGUAAUCAUCAUCAAUUCUCGGAAUGAUGUUUGAGAAGCGCGCCAAAGUCCAUGCCUGCAAACACAAAGAAACAAAUAUUUAUAUUAGCGCAAGAAUUAUACAAACAACUAAACAUUUACGAUCCAAUAAGUAAAAAAGAAGAAAAAACAAAUAUUACCACAAGCAAUAUCAUGUAACCACCACAGGAGGCCACAGAUGAGUCGGAGGCAAGAGAUAGCUGCUCAUAUAGGAAAACAAGUCCCAUCCCACCCCAUGACCAGCUGUCCAACUCGUCCAUAUCUUGCAGCGCAAGCAGCCAAAGAAGAUUAAUGUUUUUGCUGUUCUUCCCGGAAAAAAUGGUCCAUCCAAGCAAAAGCAACAUAAAUGCCUUAAUGCAGGCCAGCCUAACUUCAGCUCGCUCGUCUCGCUCCUCCUUUGUGCCAGGCACAAGCAGCUGAUUACACCUAUUCAAAAGCUCCUCGUAGCGCUCCUCUUAAGUACACCAAAACUGAUGUGAGCAGCACCCUGUUUUGUCAGCUCCUUAGCGGCAACCUUCGCUGUAAAAAGUAGGUCUGCCUAAAUCAUCUCUAGCCCCUCGUCUCGGGUUAACUCUCUAUCAGGAAGGAGCCUUCCAGUGAUGGGGAUGCCUAGGAGACACGCCACAUAAUCUAGUGUGAUGGUCAUCUCCCCAAUAGGUAGAUGGAAGUUGCUGGUCUCUGUAACGCCCACUUUCGUUUAAUUAGUUAUUUAAUCGAGUUUAGGCGAUUAUAUUAUAUUUAUAUAAUAUAUGUGUGAGUUUUUUGUUGAUUUAAUAUGAUUUAAGUUAAUUUGAAAGAUUUGAUGUGUUUUGGUGAUGAGAUAAGAUUAUGAGACUUAUUUUAUUGUUAAAUAAAAUAAGAUUUGAUAAGAAAAUAAAAAUAAGAAAAAUAUUUAGUUGAUGGCUGUUUUGAGAUUUUAGAGAGUUUUGGGGGAGAAAGUGAGAUAAGAUAAGAUAUUAGGAAGAGCUUUAAAAGAGAUAGACCUAGUUUAGAAAAAAAUAUUGCACGUACGAUCAGUUUUUGGAAAAAGGGAGAAAAAGCCAUAGAAGGGAGAAACCAAGAGGGAGAGCUGCGAUUCUGCAAUUACAAGGUAAGGGUGAGACUAUUAAUUUAGUAUUGUUAAUUGAUAUAGUUCUAAUGAAUAAUUGACAAAGUUAGGAUGAAUUUAGAAAAGUUUUGGAAUUAGGUUAAAACCUAAAAAUUGAUGAUCAAACGGUAAAACUGAGUUAGAUUGAUGUAGAAACCGUCCUAUAACCUUAGAAUAUGUUUAGGAUGAAUUCUGGAUGUGAAAUUAGGCUUAGAACCUUGUUAGAUGAUGAUUUUCGUGUAGAAACUGCAUUCUUCCCGUAGCGACAUUCAUCGCUCGCCUCCCGAGCAAUGAUCCUCGCCACGGCGAGUGAUGAACUUCAUCGCUCGCCACGCGAGUCAAAGCCCCUCGCCUCGCGAGUUACAUGUUGUAGCUCGCCACGGCGAACUAACCUACUCGCCAUAGCGAGCGUGACCAGAGUGUAUGUCAUUUUGUGAGUUUUUGACUUUUGAGUUGAACCUUAGAUACUUUUGAGUACCUUUAGGUGCCUACUAUUGAUUAGUGAAUGAUUUAGAACGAGAUUGAACCUAGAACAACCUUAGUUGGGAUUCUGGCUUGUACUCGCCAUGGCGAGCAGAUGCUCUCGCCUCGCGAGCACUUCCAGAACUGAGUGCUUUUGAGGAUUGAGAGACUUGAGCUGUUUGGAUUGAUUAGAAAAGGGACUUUAGGUGCUAAUAUGACCUAUUAGGGAUAAUGACUGUGAACUGUGAUGAUUUUAUGAACUGUUAAGGGAUAAUGAAAUGAAAUAUGAAUUUGAUUGCCUUCACUUGAUUAUUGUUAAUUGAUCAAGAAUUGUUGAAAAUGAUUUGUUAUUUAAGCUUGAUGUGAUUUGAUUAUGCUGCAAUGUUAUUUAACUAAGUUGCAUGUCUAUGUAUAAGCUGAUGAUGAACUCCAAAUUAUUGGAUGUAUAUGUGAUAAGUUGAUUAAGAUGUUUUAUUGUUAGAGUCCAUGCAUUAGCGUUCAUUGAGCUUUGUCCUCACCACGAUUAGGAGCUUUGUCCUCCUCACGUUUAGGAGCUUUGUCCUCCGCACGAUGAAAGUAUAUUAAUACUUAUGAUGACGAUUGGUACCACAUGCAUAUAAGUGUCUAAGUUGCAUUGUCGCAUUUGUAGAGUCUCAAAGAUGUUUAUGUUGUUGAUGAUGAAUAAGCUGUGAUUAUGUGAUACAUGUUUAUUAAAGAUGCAAUGUUGAUUAAGAAUGAUUAUGAUGUUAAUUAUGAUUUGUAUUAUAUUGAUUAAUAAUAUUGUGUUAAGAAAUCUCACCCCUUCUGCUUGAAAAUGUUGCUCUUCGUAUGAGUAACUUGCAGGUGAUCGUGCUUAAGUGUGCAGUUUGCUGUUGUGAGUGACCUUGCCUCACUGUGUCGUCUAGGUCGCUCUGAUACGUAACGGGAUGGGGUUUUGAUAUGCAUGCUUCAUUCUAUUACGUGAAACAUUUAUGUUAUUUUUAUAAUGUUGAUUAACUUUUGAAAUACUUGAUGGGGCCUACGUGCCAAAAGAUUUAUGGAUUAUGAAAUAAUUUUCCGCUGCAACGUUUAAGUUUAUUUGGUUAAAUUGUUAUUUAAUUGUUAUUGGAUUAUGUUAAAUGUGAUAUCCCGUUUGUUAAGUUGUUUACUUUGAUAAUGUUUAAGAAAUUUUCAUAUUGGGAAAACUGGGUGUUACAGUCUCCUCAUGUCAUCUCUCUGUCAUCGCACAAACGAACCCGUGAGAGAUGUUCUAGUACCCACUAGUCAGGAGGGGAGUAAGACCGGACAUAUUCACUUCUGACCAAAACCACUCAUUUUGUUCCUCCGACAUAGGCAUGGUCAAGUUUUUAAGGCUCAGCUUUUUCCCGUGCGAGAUACCUUUCACCCUAUAUUUUUUUCGAAAUUGAAGUACAAAAAAAAAAAAAAAAACACCGUUAAAAUAAGUAAAAUAAUAGUUACAUCGACAUUAAAUAAGUAAAAUAAUAAUUAGAAUAAGUUGUAUAAAUAGUAAAAGAAGUAAAAUAAACAUUAAAUUAUACUUACAUCCGCAUGGACCCAUAUCCAGCAUGCCACAUGUCCACCAAAGUGAGGUAAAAGCGGUAGGGAUGGCAAUUGGAGCCCGAUGGACACCCGCAAAAAAUACCCGUAAUGGAUAGGAUAAAAUCCCGCUUUUAUGGGUAUGGGUUUGGGUUUGGGUCCGGGUAAUUACCUGCAAAUUUAGAUGGGUACGGGUGUGGGUAAUGGUACUAUAUUAUCCAGCCCUGCAACCCGCAUAUAUACAUAUUUAUAUAAUUUAAUAAAUAUUUUAUUUAUUUUUGGUGUACAAAUAUUUAAUUUAUUCAGCUAUUUAAGGAUAAAACUAAACCUAAAAACUAAUAUGGUAAUCAUUUCAUCCUUACCUUCAUAAACUCACGAGCUACAAAUUUAUGAUCCUCAUACUGAUGCUGCUGAUACGCAUCAAACUGAUACAGCUGAGGCUCCUGAAAAUGAUAGGCCUGAUCCUGCGCCUGCUCAUACACCUUAUAAUCCUGCUGAUACUGUGUCGGGUUCACCGUCUGGAUGGACCCGUAUGUGACGUUGACCCCUCUGCAGCAUCAACUCUAGCAAGUAUCGUUCCCCCACCUCUCCUUCGACCAGCCAUAGGAGGGUGUAAUGCUUGUUUCGACAAUUUUUUUGCCGAAAAUUGUCGAAUGCAAAGGCUGGAAAACCAGUCAAAAUCGCCCACCGAUUUAUCCAAAUCGGGCCCCUUUUUUGCACUUCCAGAAAUCCAAUUAUGAGUCACUUCUGCAACAAGGUGGAUGAAGAAGAUCAAUAUAGACAAAAGUUUGGAGUGGGUUCUAGGUUUACACCAUUGUAGAAAGAAAAAAAACGCUAACGAGUAUUUCAGGACACUCUUUAAGGAUCUUAAAUGGUAAACUUUUAUGAAAAUUUGUGUAUUCCAUGUAAUAGAAAUAGAAUUUCUUUUACUGAAUAUUUUUUUUUAAUUUGUAAUCAUUAAUAAAUGUCCUGAAAUAGUCGUUAGCAAGAAAACAAUUAUACCAGGUAUGAAUGCAUUGAUAGUUUAUGAAAUUCUGUGUGCAAAAACCUUCAAAAACAGUAAGGGAAAAGAAAACUAACAUUAAUUUUUUUCUUUUGACUACAUUAAAUUAUUAUAUUUAUUCAUUAUUAACCGUAUUAAUUUCUUUUGGUCAAGGACAAUAUUAGUUAUUUUAUUAAAAUAAUAAUUAACAUAAGCCUAUAAAUAAGUAGAGUAUUACGCUCUCCAUAAACCUAAUCAUCUCUCUCUCUCUCUCUCUCUCUCUCUCUCUCCCUCUCUCUCUCCGUCGCAUCCUCAACUUAUAUCUCUCUUUCCGUGCCCCCAUCACCCUCAAUUUUCAUUUUCAAAUCAAUGGUUUUCAAAUUAUCCUCCAAUUUUGAAUGCCAUAUGUAUGAAAACGGAAUUGAUUUGCUUGGUUUAUGGUUGAACAGACAAUGCAUAUUGCCAAUUUCAUUUCGAAAGAAUAUUACAACAUGCGUAUUCAUUGUGGAUUUGUCUUGCGAAAUGAUUGUUUAACCCGUUUCUUCUGUUUUUCUGCAUACAGGUAUCUCUAUAAAUUUCUGGAGCUAUUAGCUCACGAUACUCCAUUAUCAGGUUUUAUUGAAAAUAUAGAGUUUGAGAUUUUACAAUUGAAUGGAAAUCUCAAACGGUGUUUUGCGGGAGCAUGGUGGUAUGAACUCGAAGCCUUCUUACUCUAUCACGAGAUGUAUAUCAGGAUAUUUGUGGAGCAACUCGAGUGUAGUGAGAAACUCUUAAUGGAAAUAUCUGAUGAUAUUUAAACUAGAGAACAACAAGUUCUUGCGGAGCAUAGAGGAAUACGGGCUCGAUGAAAUGGUUCUACGGAGGGAUCUGAACAAGUCUUGAGAUAGCACCUUGAAUACUUGGCCAUGUAGAAACAACAACAGGAAAGCGAGUUUACCGAUACCUAUCUCAAGACUUGUUCAGAUCUUUCCGCAGAACCAUUCCAUUGAGCCAAUAUUCCUCUUUGCUCCGCAAGAACUUGUUGUUCUCUAGUUUGAAUAUCAUCGGUUAUUUACGUCAAGAAUUUCUCACUACACUCGAUUUGCUCGACAAAUAUCCUGCUAUACUUCUCGUGAUCGAGUAAGAAGGGUUCGAGUUCAGACCACUAUGCUCCCUAAAAACACCAUUUGAGAUUUCCAAUCAAUUGUAAAAUCUCAAACGCUAGAUUUUCAAUAACAACCGAGAAUGGAGUAUCGUGAGCUAAUAGCUCAAGCAAUUUAUAAAGAUACCAAUAUGCAGAAAAUCGAAGAAACAAGUUAAGUAAUCAUUUUGUAGACAAAUCCACAAUGAAGAUGCCUGUCGUGAUAGUCUAUCGAAAUGAAAUUGGCAAUGUUCAUUGUCUGUUCAACCGUAAAUCCAAGCAAAUCAAUCCUAUUUUCAUGUAUUUGGCGUUCAAGAUUGGAGGAGAAGUUGAAAGCCAUUGAUUUGAAAAUGAAAACCAAGGGUGUUGUGGCUGGCAGGGAAAGAGAGAUAUAUGUUGAGGAUGCAGCAUGAAGAGAGAGAUAUGUUGAGGCAGAAUAUUUGAGUCCCUUUAAUGUCAUCAUAUUAGGCUUUGCCACAUUUCUAGGUAUUUUGACGUCGUGUGAUAUUAAGCUGGAUGUUGUGAAUUCUACGCAAAUUCAUCUCUUAUGGUUUUAGCAAUUUUUAAUUUGUUCUCGAUUGAUGCUGUCUAUCAAUUUGAAUGAAUGAAUGUCGUUGUUUUAGUCAACAAAAUAAUUGUUUUUUAUUUUAAUUAAUUCUUAAAAUGUAUUAUCUAUUUUAAUUUUUAGCAACCAACACCUUUUCACUUUGACACAAAUGCCCAUGUUUUUGUUUUUUGAGAAAACUAAUACCAAAGGGUACAAAUGUAAUUUUCAUUUAAAUGUUAAUUUUCUUUUUAUUUUUAGAGAUUUAGACAGGUCCACCAUUCUCGUUCUUCCUUCUCUUUGCUCUUCUUCUUCUCUCACUAUUUUACUGAGUUUAAGAUUCAUCCACAAUCUCUUAAAUUUACAUAGUUGUUACCUGCAUCAAUUUCUUUUCACCAAACAUAGGUAAUGACUAUGAUUUAUUAUCACAAAUCUCUAUCAUGAGGGCUUUUUACUCUUCUUCCUAAAAGUUUGAUUAUUGCUGAGUAAAAAAUUGAGGUUGAUGGCAUUUGCAUUUCUUUGUUUUCUUUCUUGUUGAAGUUUAGAUUUUUAUUCACGUGGCACUUGCAAUCCUCUACCAAUAUAGUGUUGAAAAAAGAGGUUGUAUAGUUUUGUUUUAUUGAAUUUUGAUUCAAUUGAAUUGUAUCGACUUGAAUCUUAAAACAUUAUAUACCUAAAAAAUUGAAGAUACUUCAUCAUAUACAAAUUAUAAUUGCUGUGUCUUCAUAUUUUAAAAUUAUUUUUUAUCCUCUAUACCAUAAAACAAAUGAGUGAUUGUUGGAACCACAAUCUGAUAAAUGAACUAGUACAUGCUAAUGAUUUUAUUGUAAACCAAGCCCUUUUACUUUGAGAAAAUGUUUUAUUUCAUUUUUAUCUAUUCUAAACUUUCUUUUCAGCUAUAUGUUAUUUUUUACCAAACAUAUCCUAAAACUAAGGAUUAUUACAAGCUAAUGAGUUAGUUUUUCAUUCAUUAUUGACUUUUUGUCCUUAUAUACAUAUGAAGCACAAUGUACUAGGCUAGGCUACCACAUGUUCAUUAUCCUUUAGGAUAAGUUAUUAAACAAACUAAAAAGAGAAGAGGCGAUGAGUUUUAUAGGGCAAACCAUGUUAAUGGCACUAACAGUUACGGUAAACAAGUAUACAUCAUCCAAUGUUCAAGCAGUUCAUAAUAGAAAACAAGCAAACCCAACUUUGAGAAGCACCAACAUGGAAUUUGGAAGGAGAGGACUCGUCUUAUCCAUUGUUAUCGCCGCAACCGCUACUCAAGACCCUGAGUCAAGGACAUUGCUUCUUCAAAGUAUAUAUGCAUAACUCUUUUUUGUUGUUAUUAUGUGUUGCCCUAUGUAGCACCACUACUUCGGAAUGUAUGCGUGUGUCUAGUGUCCAACAUUGACAUGACACACACGGCCACAUUCAUCUUUUUAAAUUAUUAUAGUGUCAUGUCUUACCACUUGAACAGGUUUUUAGUGGUUAAAUUGCUAACUCAAAAAAUGUUGUAAUGAAAAUGUGUGAUCAGAAUAUUUGAAGAAAACACAGGAAAACAAGGAGAAAAAUGACAAAGAGGUAAGUAACACACUCAAAGUGGUGUAUUUAAUUUUAUGUUGUAGUAUGUCAUAUUUAGUAUUCAAUUUAAUCACAGUUUUUGUGUGUGGCAGAGGGUUGAUAGUAAUUACAAGCGUAAUUACAAAGAUUACUUUGAGUUCAUAGAAGGGGGUUUGCAAGCAAAGGAGGAGGGGAAGCUUUCAGAAGCAGAAAAGGGUAUCCUUGAUUGGCUUAAAGCUAACAAGUGAUACAGUAUUGUUUUUUCUCAAUUGCUAGAGUGGCUAGCUACUUUUCAUUUUUCUAACUGCUGCUCCAAUGACAUUCAAUUCUACACCUUAAAAUUGGACAUUAUAUCCAUGUAGUUGCACUCACCACCUAGCUUGUAAAUUUUGAUUUUCUGUUGGGAAAUUCGGAUAUGGUACAGUUUUUUUCUUGCAAGGUUUUGUAUGAAAUUUGCUUGCAAACCCCCUUCUAUGAACUCAAAGUAAUCCUUGUAAUUACGCUAGUAAGAUAUCUAUAUUGUCGACUAAAGGAUAUUAGGUUUAGCGAAAAGUGUUAGGUGUGAAGAAUCUAUUUGAUAUGAUUUCAAGUAUUUUAGAACGCGUCUAGAAUUAUUUUAAAAUUUUAAUAUAUUUUGUUUAAUUUUUUGAUUUUCAACUUUAUGUUUAAUGCACACUACAACAUGAAUUUUGUUUUAUAUAUCAUAGUUCAUUCUGAUGGCCCAUCCAAUUUUUUUUUGGCUUCGCAACUAAUCAUAGUUCAAAAAUCUAUCAUACUCUCUAUCAUAAUUAAGUAGUAUACGUCAACCAAAGGUAAACCUCUCCAAGGAUUUCCACAUAUCAAAAAGAAAGUCGAAAACUUAUGGUGCAACUUCCAUGUUGCAAGAAUUUCGUCAAUUACCAACAUUAUCUCAUGGCACGUCUUGCAUCAAUGUAAAUCAACUCUCAUGUACUAAUCAAUACCAUGUAUAAUCUUGAUUGUAUUAACCCGUCCUUGACUUGAAAUUUCCACAAGUCAAAAUUCAUUCUUCCUUCAAUUUUCUAUAGCCCAAACUUCAUAGCGAAAGUAGUAAUUGCAACACUUUCAUAGUACCACUUUUUUUCCCUGAUGUGGAAGAUCAAACAAUGUUGCAACCACAUCAUAUCAUAAUAAUAAUUUCUAUCCUUAUCCUUGGACCAAACCAAAAGUUCUGAUCCGGUUGUUGGGGAAAACAAGCAUAGAGAAAAGAAAAUAACACAACAGAAACUCAAGAAUAUAACGUGAAAACUUCAAAGCGGAGAAAAAACCACAUUUGUUUUCAACAUAUAUAUCUAGUUUUUUUUUUACAACAUAUAGAUUAUUCUCAAACACCAACAGCCACAAUAUACACACAACACCCAAAGAAAAUACCUAACUACAUCUCAUAACACUCUAAGACAAGAGUAUAUAAAAAAAAGAAAUGAGAAAGAUAUAAACUAAAGUGUUUCUGACUAAUGCACCUUGUAGCAAAGAGAUAGAACCUAUAUAUUAAGAAAAAACCUCGUGGCAUGCAAGAUUUUCUAAGCAAGAAAGUAACCAAGUGAAGGAACCACCUUGCUUGUCUUGCACUUCAAGAAACAACCUUAAUUGUCUUGCACACUACCUCUUCCUUUACAAUUCUAAGCAUCGUGGGACUUCUUCAACAUGUAUAUUUUCAACCAACACACCAUGUUAAAAUUUUGAGGAUUUGGAGAAAUUGAAUGAAAAGAGCUUUAAAAGGUUGAAUGAGAAUAAUACACGAAGAGAAUCAUUUUGAUAAAAGGUAACUUCCUAAUAAUAAACUCUAACUAAUUUUGUAUUUCACACUUACCAAAUAAUUGAACUAAUUACUUACACUACUAACUAUCAUUAUUCUUAAUAGCUUCCCUUAAACUCAAGAUAUGAUUUACAACGAUAAUGUUUAUAUGAAUAUGAAUAAUAUUUUUUUGAGUAUAUGAAUAUGAAAAAGAAUAUCUCUCGCAGUGUACAAAAGAAUAUGAGCAUGCUCUUACAAGAAUUACAAUGAACUUAAUUACAAAGAAUUAAGUACAAUAACUGAGGCAAUGAAGAAAUAGCUAUAGCACAACAUAAAUGAUCAAAGACCAGAUGUAAAUGGCACAGUAGUUGUAGCCAACCAUGUUGGUCCAGCAAGGAGUCCAGCAACCGUAAACUUUGAUGCUUCAUUAGGGUUUGAUAUCACAUGAUAACCAGGCCAUUUUACUCUAUUUGCUGUUGAUGAACCAGGUCCAUAAUUCUCAUACUCUCCAUAAUACAAUGUGUCUUGAGCAAAAUCAGUGUCACCCCAUGGAGACCAACCCAGGGGGCUUACUAAAGUGUCCAUGAAAGUUUUCAUCACCAUAACUCUUGAAUAUUGUUGCCAAGGCCUGCCCAAGAAGGUUUUGUACUUGUCAACAACAGGCUUUAGAUCUGAUGCAGCCCUAAUUUGACAAUUGUGGAAUGAAAUUCCAGUGUUUUGGAAUGGGUCACCUCGACCUUGGGCUGUGAUCAUGUUAGCUUGACCAUCUAAAGGUUUUCUUGCGAAAAUGUUACAAUUUUGGAAAACCACUGCGGCAUUGCCAAAGAUGAAGUCUACGGUGCCAUAGAUGAAGCAUUGUCGAUAAAAUUGACGUUGUGCAUGAGCCAUCAGAGUGUCUUGAUAACCUGAUAUGGCACACCGAUAGAAAACUGAGAGAUCGGAGGCUGAUCUUAGCGCCACUGCUUGACCCUUGUGUGGACCGGCGGUAUUUUGGAAGGUUAUGUCACGUGCAAUGAAGUGAAGUCCAUCAAUACCUAAAUUUAAAUGAUCCAAGAGAAAUAUGUAAAAAAUUAGAAACUAUAAAUAACAAUCUAAACUCUAUAAAGUGUUCGUGCUACAUAAGUUGCAAGAAAGCCAUUAGACCAGUAUGAAUAUCAUAUAUACCUAUGAUAUAAAGAGCACAUUUCCGUGACAACUAGUUUUAAACACUGAUUUAGUAUUGAAUUUUAGGGCUUUAAAAUUAAGUUUCGAAAAAUCACUUAAUGAUUGUAGAUUUUCAAUCAAUUUUUUCUCUCUCACAUCUUUUUAUGUUGCAUAAAAUUUACUACAUCUAGAAAAAACUAAAUCAGUGAAGAAAAUUUGGAGAUCGAAAAACAUUAAAAUCAUCGCUAUUCCACCACCACCUACCAGAGUCGCCAACUCUCGUUGUUAGUUAAACUUUUUCUAGCAGUGAAUAUUGUUUUUCUCUUAUAACAAGAACAUAAAACAGGAAAUGAAAUAUAAUUCACCUGCUGUUGCAGAGCUAUAAGUGGUAAAACCACCUUGAACACUUCUAGAACUUGUUAUUAUGGUAUUUUGCAUCCCAUCACCAACCAGCAUAAUAUUGUCAUUAUGAACAGCAACCUCAAUGUUCUCUCUAUAAACACCUUUCUUAACAUGUAUCACAAACCUUGUCUUAUAUUUUCUCUUAGCAGCAGCAUUUAAAGCAGCCUGCACAGUCUUGUACUGUCCAGAACCAUCUUUUGCCACCACAAGAUUGUACUUUACUGGACCCUUUGACUGCAAAAGCUUCCUUUCAUGCACAGAAAACCAAUUUGGAAAUGACCCUUCUUCUGUUUCUGCAAGUGACGAAUCCAGAAAUUUUGAUUAGUAUGACUAUAUAUAUAUUCAUAUAAAAAGUACAUAAGCGAUAGUGUUAUGACAUCAAUAUUAUCAUAUGAAUCAAAUUUAAAUCUGGAGAUUACAAAAUUUUAACAUUUUUUUUAAGAAAAAAUUAAAACAUUAUAUACCUAAAAUAUUGAAGAUACUUGAACAUCUACAAAUUAUAAUUGCUCUUUGUGUCUUGUUAUUUUAAAAUUCAUUUUUAUCUUCCCAUUUUCAACCCUAUCAUAUUUAUAUUACUCUAUGUAUGUCACAAAAUAAACAUUCCAUAAUUUAUCUUUCAUUUAAUUCUUCCUAAAUAAAGUUAUUGAAUAACUUUUUAGCAGCACAAUACUUAAAUUUUAAAUAGAAAAAUAUAAAAUCAUUGUUAGUACCUUUGCUAUGUUUCAGGAAAUGCAUAUUGAUGGCUAAGAUGUUCCUUAUCAUUUCAGUGACAUUGGUUUGCAUAAUGAAAUCGAAAUCUUGAGCAUUGAGUUCUAAAGCUCCACUUUUACAUGUUUCAAUAUUUGUGAGAGAAGUUGUUAGCCAUGUUUGUGCAUCAUUUGGUGAACAAUUUUUGCUAGCAUUGUUUAAGCCUUCAAGUGUACGGUUGAGAUGAAAAAUUGUGUUUUCAAAUAGCUUCAAACAAUCACCAUGAACCGUUUUAUGCACAAAUGAGUUUUGUUGUUGUUGAGAAUUUUCUUGUGCUUCUUUUUGCAUGGUAAGAGCUUGUUUUAAGGCUAAUUGAACAAGCAUUUCCCUGAAUUCAACUCUAUGUUUGAUUUUGAAAUGAUUGUUCAUUUGUGUUGUGUAGUGUUUGCAUGGCUUUGGAUGUGGUGUUAAAUUGCACCACCAAUCUAUGUUGCUUGAGGAAGGUCCUUUUCUUGAUGAGGCUAUUGAGAAAAUUGAUGAUAAGAAAAAGAGCAUAAACAAUGUUUUUCCAAUGAUUGCCAUAAUUCAAUUGUAGAAUAAUUGAAGAGUUUAAAAAAUAAUAAGAGUUUAUGUUGCAUAUAACAAAUGUGUGAUAUAUGAUGUUUUUGUUCACUUGUUUUUGGUUUUGACUUAUGAGAAUUAAACCCUAAACUCUAUAUAUAUAUAUACAUAAAUUUUUGUAGGCGGAGUGUGAAGGUGAAAACGUGUGGAAUGAAUUGCAAGUGAUAAUGAAAAAUGACACAGAUACAGACAGUGGAUGCAAAUGCAAGAAAGAAUUAAUUGAAUAUAGGAAUAAAAUAUUAUCUAUUAGAAAAAAUGGUAUUACUUAAUAAUCCAGAAAGUUGAAGCCAAAUUACUUGUUAUUGCAAGAAAAACAAGUGUCUUAAUGUGGAUUCACAUAGCAAUAUUCUUAAGCUUACUUAUAAAUGCACUAAUUUGGAUUUUGCGGCUGUGACUAUAUAUAUAUAAAUUAAAUUAAUAUGUUGAGUUGGCUAAGUUGUGUGUUUAUUUCAUAUGCAUGCAUAAUGUUGUUAAAAAAAUUGAAUAUAUUAUCCUUUUUAUUAAGAAGACUUAUUUUAGGGUGGGGUGAAGGAUAGUUGCUUUGAACAUAGUAACCUAAUUCACCUGGUAGGGUUUUGUGAGCGUUUUGUUCAAGCAUAUAGAAGAAAUUUUAUUGUACGUACUCCAUGUGCUUUUAGUUUGCAAAUUAAGCAAGAGAAGGAAAUAUGUAGGCGAUUUUGAUAAAAAUUGUGUCAACAUAAGUUCAUAUUUCGAAGGGUCAACACACGUUUAUGUAUAUAAAUUAAUUGGUCAUACCAGUAUACAAAUGAUUAGGGAGUGGCUCUCGUUGAUCUCCUUAAGCUUUUAGGUUUAUGUAUUUCUCAUUUGGUAAUUGAUUUUCAUCCAUUUCAUGUUGUAAGAUGUGUUCAUAAUUAGUGUUAGAGAUGAUUGGAUUUAUUUCUAGGUCAAGUAUCUCUAUAUGAUGGUCAUGUUCAUAUUCAUUGGUUGCAUAAGGUUCAGUUUCAACAUCAGAGACUAUGAGAUGAUUUGAGUGAUAUGUCCAGUGGAAAGGUAGAUUUGGAUUUCAAUAUGGUAAAAUAUAUUCAUGAUAGGUUAGUUUCUAGAUAUAAAAAUGGUUUUGGUGUUUAAAUCAAGAAGUAUAGUACGUUUGACACUUUGCUUAUAACCCAAGAAAAUGCAUUUCUUAGUUCUAGAAUCUAUUUUUUUUCUUCUAUGAACUUGUAAAGUGGAUGCAUAGCAUAGUGAACCAAAGACUAAUCAAACCUAUGAAAGAAAGGAGACUUAUUUUGCAACAAAGGACUAUGAAUACAAUUUAUGAGGUAAGUGGCAUGUAAAGCAACCAGAGGUGGAUCUCUUUAGACACCGGCGGGGGCCACGGCAUCCCCCAGAUUUUGCUUAUAUACUAUAUUAGAUGUGUUUUAUGAAUUAAAUUCUGGCUGUUGUAGUUGAUAGGGGGUGCCACAGUAUGCUAAAGGUCGCGGGUUUGACACCUCCAUGGCUUUUUUUAAUGGGAUUUGAACCCACAUUCUCGUGCUACUUUCAAACAAUUCCUAGCCAAUUAUUAAUUAUUACUACUUCUUGAAACCAUUUAAUAUAUAUUCCAUAAAAGUUUGGCACCCCCAGCAAUUUAAGUCAAGAUCCGCCACUGAUUAAACAACACAGGACCAAAACUGUUUAGGAAAUUUUGACUAAAAAAGAAAAAACUCUCCCGACAUUUAAAAUGUGUUGAUGCUUCGUUUCUACUCUCCCAUUUUGCCGGGGAGUCUCAACACAACUGAUUUGAUGUUCUAUCCCUUUAGCAGAAUAUAAUUCAAUCAUAGAAAACUCAAGACCAUUAUCAAUUCUUACAAUUUUAACUUUAAAAUAAUAUUGAUUUUCUAUCAUAAGAACCAAUUUUUGACAAAAUUGGCGACUUCAUAUUUUAAUUUACAAAGAAUGAUCCAAGUAAAACAGCUAUAUAUAAUCAUCAUUACUAGUAACUACAUACUUAUGGCCAUGAAGAUAUUGAGUAGAAAGAGGACCCCAAAUAUAAAAAAAAAUAAAAUUCAUAGCAUUGACUUGCUUUAUUAUUACUAAGCUGAAAAGGAAGUUUAACGUGCUUUGCAUAAUGACAAAUAUCAAAGACCGAGUUUUCAUCUAUGGUUACAAAAGGAAAUGUUUUAUGCAAAUUAAGCAACAUAUGAUUAGACAAAUGUCAUAAUCUAAAGUGCCAAUGAGCUUCUUGAGGAAUAAAGGUGGAUUGAGGUGAAGCUUGCGUAGCAAGAAAAUACAAUCCCUCAAUCAAAUUAACCGAACCAAUUACUUCUUUCUUGAAUCAAACAUUUAUCAUUGUUAAAGGUUACGAUGCAAUCAAUAUCAACACAUAGUUCAGGAACAAACAACACAUUUUGUGCAACUAAUCCUGGUGAAAACUGCACUGUGCCCCGGAUAUCUUGCUAUUGCCAUAUGGUCAUUUGGUAACUUGAUAUCUAUUGGUGCAAUUUUCUCAUAAGUAUCAAAAGAUGUUAAAGAAUAUAUAUGAUCACUAGAGUCUACUAUCCAUGAUCCAAUAUUUGAGUGAUUGAUUACAUGUGAUGCUAAAUUCACCUUGCUAUUAGAAAGAUGCAUUAAAAUUAGCAUUAGAACCAGAUGAUCAUGCUGUUCUUUUGUGAAACCAUAUGAAUUAUUGCCUUUGUAAACCUUUGAAUAGUCAAUGUGCUCCCUUUCUUCAUUCAAUUCGACCGAAGAGCUUUCUUUCCACUCAAUGAAAGAGCUUUGAUAAUCACAAGUUUGUUCGAAAUUCCGAUCACAAGUUGGUUUAUUUAUAAUGUAGUUUUUUUAGAGUAAUAAAAUAUAAUUUUAUUAAGUUCAAGAAGGAGUACACGUUCAGAAUGACACUUUACUACCACUGGAGAAGUGAACGAUACUUGAGUGCCGUUCAACCAACGACACUUGCAAAAAAGAGAAAUUAUGCAGCGUGAAUAACAUCUUUCUACCUUUCAUUGUUUGUUAUUCCUUACUUUAUUUUCCAAAUAAAAAAAGUACACGUGGUACUAAAUUCUAACCAAGAAAUAAAAUACAAAAAUCACCCUACCCACCACAAAAAAGAAAAAGAAAAAGAAUUGUUCCAAACUCCACCCAAAAGCAAAGCAAAAUGCAAAAAUUACUUCACUAAACAAUCAAGAUGUAAUGAAAACCAUUCAUAGACAAGGCACCCCCAUUUUGUUAAACAAAAGCCACAUUCAAGACAUAAAAUCAACCUUAGAACAGAAAAUGUAGUCGUUCCUUGUCUUUCAAAUUGUCCAAAGUACCAAAUGACAAAUCAAACAAGCCUUUUCUCCCUUUCUAUUUCCUUGCAAAAGCAGAGAAACUCUCUAACAAAGUGAAAAGGUCUCCCAGAAUUACCCAUACCAUACCACACCACACCAAACCUUUACUACAAAUAGCUCCUGCAAACCGACACUUUGCAAACCAAUGGUCUUCGGAUUCUGAUUCCCCCUCACACCAUAAGCAAGUGGGCUGCUGACCCCCACCCAAGAAUAUUACACAAGUGAUUAUAAAUAGAAUUAACCGAAAGGUACCUUGAGAGGUUGCUAGACAUAUCCAACCAUCCUAUUGUUGGGUCAAUUGCACUUCUUAAAUCAAGCGCACCUCCAUUUCUCAAACGGCCAAUGCGAAUGACCAUUUACCCAGUUCCCUAUCUCGGAAACUAAACACCCUUGUUGCUCUGAUCUGAUAUAGCAAAUAGCCUAGGAAACGCUACCGUAAGGGUUGUAGCUCCAGACCACACGGCAUGCCAAUAUCCAUAAUCAUCUUCAUUUCAUUCAAUGCUUCUUGAGCAUUUUCUUCAUCGCUUUUUAAUAACACAAGUUUUUUAAUGAUUUAAUUGCUUCCCUCUUAGAUAGUCAUUUAUUAGUUUCAAAUCCAAAAUAAUCUGAGUUAAACUGUGAUACUAAUAGAAAAAAUACAUUUGCUGAAGGGUUUUCAUAUCAGUAGAGCAAAUAGUCAGACUAGAUAUCUAUGAGCCACAUUAAAAAAUUGUCCAUAUAAUAGUAAUAUAUCAACUAUUUUUUCAUGCACUGGCUUUUUCUUAGUUUUCACAAACAAGGGAAAACAACAUGGUAAGCUGAAUUCUAUGGUUCAUACAUGGAGGUGAAAUGAAAGAAUACGAGCAGAGGACUUGAUAUAUAUAUCCAUAUAAUUUUAUUCCUUGGAUGUUUUCAAAUUUGUUGCAAGUUCUUCGAAGGUAAAAAUAAAACCUUUUUGUCAACUUGUGAUGAUGAAAGCUAAGGGGGCUAAUCGUAGGCAUGCUUGAGGAUAUUGCAUUGCAGAAACUAGUGGGGCUAUGGAUGUGCACUAGUGCGAAAAUGAAAGCAUAAUAAAAAGGAUUAGAACCUAUAUAUAUAUAUAUAUAUAUAUAUAUAUAUAUAUAUAUAUAUAUAUAUAUAUUUUAUAUUUUGCAUAUAAAAAGAAUGUGUAAUAGGAUUAGAACCUAUUACACAUUCUUUUCCUUACAUUUACAUGCUUUAUUGGAUGGAAAUUUGUAAUUGUUUUAGUAUGUAAUUAAAAUUGUGUUGCACAGUUCAUUUCUAUUAUGAAAUCAAAUUUCAAAUGUGUAUAAGAGCAUGUUUGAGAAAUCAAAUUCAAAUUUGUAUGAGAACAUAUUUAGAGUUGCAGAUCUUAACAAGUCUAAGCAAAGUCUAAAUUGGAUGAUUCACAAUUUUAGUCUAGACAACUUUCAACACUUCUUUUUUACAAAUUCUCAAAAUUAUCACAAGUUGCUGAAGCUAUUUAGUAACAGGGGCUUUACCUAAAAAUUGGUCAACUGUUACUAAAUUUAUUUAGUAACAUUUUUCUUGAUUUAGUUACAUUUUUCAACUGUUACUAAAUCUUGUGGUGGAUUAACAUGUGACACUAUGUUUUGUUCUAGGAAACAUAAAUAUAACAUUCAAAAAACAUCUUACCUUAAGACUGUUAAAUAAUUGACCAUUCUGAACUUCUAGUAAAUAGAUGAAUAAUUAAUUGCAUCGUUUUUACCUACUUGAACUACAAGUUAAUUUGAUAGGAUGAAGAAGCAAUCAGAAGGAUUUGCCGAUUACAUUUCAAUAUUCUCUGUUUCAAUUUUUGCAAACAAAUUAAAAGGAUGAUAAAUGACAUCAAUGUUAUAGAAUUGAAAAUGCCACCACUGUGAUUUUAUUUGCAUCUCUUAAAAAAUCUUAAAGCAUUUUCUUGUUUCCUCUAUAAGCUGUGAUGGUGGGAUUUUGUUCAUGAACAGAAAAAACCAGUUGACAUAUAAAGAAUUGUGGAAGAAACUUUAUUUAUGAAUGAAUAGAAGCCAACAAAUCCUAUACACUCUACCAUUAGUUCAGACCUUCAUACAUAGAACAACAAUUUAUAAAAAGUCUGAUUUUAGUCAUUUUUUCUUUAGCAUUUUAAGGACCAAAAAUGCUAACGGAAAAUUCUUAUCGGGACUAAAAAUGCUGACUGAAAAUUUUACAGGUACUAAAAAGUGCGAUUUUAUUUUGAAGGGACUAAAAAUAAAAUUCUAAAUAUUUAUAGGGAUCAUUUACUUAAUACACCAUUGAUAAAGCACAUAGACACCUCUCUUAUGAGAAUUAAGCUACUAUAUGUGCAUAUAUAUACAUAAAUUUUUGUAGGCGGAGUGUGAAGGGUGAAAACGUUUGGAAUGAAUUGCAAGUGAUAAUGAAAAAUGACACAGAUACAGACAGUGGAUGCAAUAGCAAGAAAGAAUUAAUUGAAUAUAGGAAUAAAAUCUUAUCUAUUAGAAAAAAUGGAAUUACUUAAUAAUCCAGAAAGUUGAAGCCAAAUUACUUGUUAGUGCAAGAAAAACAAGUGUGCUAAUGUGGAUUCACAUAGCAACAUUCUUAAGCUUACUUAUAAAUGUACUAAUUUGGAAUUUGCGGCUGUGACUAUAUAUAUAAUUAAAUGAGAAUGUUGAGUUGGCUUAAGUUGUGUAUUUGUUUCAUAUUCAUGCAUAAUAUUGUUAAAGAAAAUUGAAUAUAUUAUCCUUUUUUAUUAAGAAGACUUAUUUUAGGGUGGGGUGAAGAAUAGUUUCUUUGAACAUAGUAACCAAAUUCACCUGGUAGGGUUUUGUGAGCAUUUUGUUCAAGCAUAUAGAAGAAAUUUUAUUGUACGUACUCCAUGUGCUUUUAGUUUGCAAAUUAAGCAAGAGAAGGAAAUAUGUAUGCGAUUUUGACAAAAAAUGUGUCAACAUAAGUUCAUUUUUUUAAGGGUAAAAUAUAUUCAUGAUAGGUUACGUUUCUAGAUAUGAAAAUGGUUUUGGUGUUUAAAUCAAGAAGAAUAGCACCUUUGACACUUUGCUUAUAACCCAAGAAAAUGCAUUUCUUAGCUCUAGAAUCUUAUUUUUUUUUCCUAUGAACCUGUAAAGUGGAUGCAUAGGAGAGUGAACCAAAUACUAUUAAUUCAUUCUAGUCAAGAUCAUGACCAAACCUAUGAAAGAAAAGGAGACUUAUUUUGCGACAAAGACUAUGAAUACGAUUUAUGUGGUAUGUGGCAAGUAAAACAACAUAGGACUAAAAUUGUUUAGGUAAUUUUGAUUGAAAAAGUAAAGCUCUCCCCACAUUUAAAAUGUAUUGAUGCUUUCUUUCUACUCUCCCAUUUUGUUGGGAGUCUUAUCACAACUUGUUUGAUGUUCUAUCCCUUUAGCAAGAAUAAAAUUCAAGCAUAGAAAACUCAGUACCAUUGUCAGUUCUUGCAGUUUUAACUUGCCAAUAAUAUUGAUUUUCUAUCAUAAGAAUGUAUUUUUGUACGAAAUUGGUGAUUCAUAUUUUGAUUUACAUAGAAUGAUCCAAGUAAAACAGCUAUAAUCAUUAAUACCAGUAACAACGUACUUAUGGUCAUGAACAUAUUGAGUAGAAAGGGGACCCUAAAUAUCAAAAUGAAAAAAUUCAUAUCAUUGACUUGCUUUAUUAUUACUAAGCUGAAAAGGAAGUUUUCUGUGCUUUGCAUAAUGACAAAUAUCAGACUGAGGAAAUUUAUCAGGCUUGAGGUGAAGCUUGUGUAGCAAGAAUAUACAAUCCCUUAAUCAAAAUUAGCCGAAAUUAUCUUCAAGCUCCUUCAUCUUGAAUCAAACAUUUAUCAUUGUGAAAGGUUAUUAUGCAAUCAAUAUCAACACAUAGUUUUGGUACCAAUAGCAAAUUCAGGAAAAAAAUAACACAUUUUGUGCAAUGAAUCCUAGUGAAAACUGCACUGUGCCUCAAUAUCUUGCUAUUGCCAUAUGACCAUUUGGUUACUUGAUAUCUAUUGGUGCAAUUUUCUCAUAAGUAUCAAAAGAUGUUAAAGAAGAACAUACAUGAUCACUUGCAUCAGAGUCUACUAUCCAAGAGCCAAUAUUUGAGUAAUUCGUUACAUGUGAUGCCAAAUUCACCUUGCUAGAAGAUGCAUUAGUAUUAGCAUUAAUUAGAACAAGAUGAGUGGAGUAAAUUUAUCGGCUGAUCAUGUUGUUCUUUGGUGAAACCAUAUGAAUCAUUGCCUUUGUAAAUCUUUGAAUCAUCAAUGUCCUCCCUUUCUUCAUUUAAUUCAAGCGAAGAGUUUUCUUUCCACUCAAUAGAAGAUCGCUUUGAUAAUCACAAGAUUGUUAGAAUUUCCGAUCACCAGUUGAUUGAUUUAUAAUGUAGUUUUUUUUAGAGCAAAUAAAAGAUGAUUUUAUUAAGUUCAAGAAGGAGUACACCUUCCGAACGACACUUUACUACUAUUGAAGAAGUGAACGACACUUAAGUGCUGUCACCAACGACUCUUGCAAAAAAGAGAAAUUAGGAAGCGUGAAUAUCAACUUUCUACCUUUUGUUGUUUGUUAUUCCUUACUUUAUUUUCCAAAUAAAAAAAAGUACAUAUGGUACUAAAUUCUAACCAAGAAAAAAAAAUACAAAAAUCACUCUACCCACAACCCAAAAAAAUAUAUAAAUUGUUCCAAACUCCACCCAAAAGCAAAAUGCAAAAAUUACUUCACUAAACAAUCAAGAUGUAAUGAAAACCAUUCAUAGACAAGGCACCCCCAUUUUGUUACCCAAAAGCCACUUUCAAGACUUAGCAUUAAUGAAAUCAACCACCUCCUCCACUAUUGGAACCUUAGAACAGAAAACGUAGUCAUUCCUUGUCUUUCAAAUUGCCCAAAGUACCGAAUGACAAAUCAACAACAAGCCUUUUCUCCGUUUCUAUUUCCUUGCAAAAGCAGAGAAACUCUCAACAAAGUGAAAAGGUCUCCCAGAAUUACCCACACCACACCAAACCUUUACUACAAAUAGCUCUCGAAAACCUUGCAAACCAAUGGUCUUCGGAUUCCGACUCCCCCUUGCACCACAAGCAUGUGGGCUGUUGACCCCCACCCAAGAAUAUUACACAAGUGAUUAUAAAUAGAAUUAACCGAAAAGGUACCUUGAGAGGUUGCUAGACAUAUCCAACCAUCCUAUUGUUGGGUCAAUUGCACUUCUUAAAUCAAGGGCGCCUCCAUUUCCCAAACAACCAAUGCCAACGACCUUUAACCCACUCCCCCAUCUCGGAAACUAAACACCCUUGUUGCUCUGAUAUUGCAAAUAGCCUCGGAAACGCUCUUGCAAGGGUUGUAGCUCCACAACAAACGGAAUGCCAAAAUUGGGUUAUGGCGUAGUGCCUUAUCAAUAUCUAUAAUCAUCUUCAUUUCAUUCAAUGCUUUUUUAGCAUUUUCUUCCAUCGCUUUUUAGUAACAUAAGUCUUUCAAUGACUUAACUGCUUCUCUCUUAGAUAGUCAUUUUUUAGUUUUAAAAUGUGACACUAAUGGAAAAAAUAAAUUUGAUGAAGGGUUUUCACAUCAGUAGAGCAAAUACCCAAUAAAUCCACAAAAAAUAUUAGUCUGCCUGUCUCCUGAAUCUAGUACUAAGAAACGUGGUGGAUUUGUACAGUAUAGUUAUAAUUAGGUUGGUGCAAUUCAUGUUCCCUUGCUGCAGGCUUCAAUUCAUUUACCUCUUAAAUCACUGAAAGUCUACUAGCCGCGGAACCCCAACUGCUCAUUCCAUCGGUAUCACAAAAGCUAGAGAAAUUGCUUCCUUCUGAAAAUAGAAAGAGCAAAGAUCAACGCAUUAUACUAUAACUAUGUUUUCUUCUAGGAAACAUGAAUAUAACUUUCAAAAACAUUUUACCUUAAGACUAUUGAAUAACUGACAAUUCUGAACUUCUAGUAAAUAGAUGAAGAAUUUAUUGCAUCAUUUUUACCUACUUGAACUACAAGUUAAUGUGAUAGAGAUGAAGAAGCAAUCAGAAGGAUUUGCAGAUUACGUUUCAAUAUUUUCCUGUGUUUUAAUUUUUGCAAACAACAGGAUGAUAAAUGACAUCAAUGUAACAGUACUGAAAAUGCCACCAAAUCUUAAAGCAUUUCCCUGUUCCUCUACAAGCUGGGAUGGCUGGAUUUUGUUCAUGAACAGAAGUAAAGCAGUUGCAGACAUAUAAAGAAUUGUGGAAGAAACUUUAUUUAUGAAUAGAAAGCCAACAAAUUUAUAAUUUAAUGCUGAUACACCAUUGAUAAUAGCCCAUAGACACUUCUCUAACUUCAAACAAUUUUUUUUCUUCUUCUUCUUUUUCUUAUUGUCAUAGAGGAAGAAUUUCUACAAGAAACACGGUGAAGAUUCAGCUAUCCAAAUUCUCCAUUCCAAGCCUUCUAGAAAGGUGUGGCUUGUGAUAAUAAUUAAGGGUGUAAACCAGCACUCUUAAAGGUUUGUGCUUAGAUGAAUGUGUAUAUUUAAUUUCUAAAAGAAUAUAUUGUCAAUAAAGGUAAUUUUUUUUGGUCUAACUUGGGGAUGCCAACUACCCAAUACUCAAAUCAACUCACUGAGAAUACAACACCAAGUGGGGAGCAAGGUUUGGCAGCCUAAUAUCAGUGACCAAUCGAUUGAUUGAGAUUCAAUCAUUAUACAUAGAUUCUUGUCUUGGCAAAGUAACAUUCUAAAUACUACUUCAAAAUCAUGUAUUCCAUUUAUAUGUAUGUAUAAAAGAGAAUAUAUUUUAAGAAUUAAAUAAAAGAAAAAACAAUUAUUUUGUUGACUAAAACAACGACAUUCACUCAUUCAAAUUGAUAGACUGCGUCGAUUGAAAACAAAUUAAAAAUUGUUAAAACCAUAAGAGAUGAAUUUGCGAACAACUCACAACAUCCAGGUUAACGUCAAAAUACCUACAAAUUUGACAAAGCCUAAUAUGAUGGUAUUAAAGUGUCUCAAAUAUCCCGCCUCAGUAUUUGUUACAUUGAAGACGCCAAUUUCAUUGAUUUAAUGGGCAUCUGAUCAAAGUUAAUAUGUCAAUUUCAACCGAAAGAACACCACAAAAAAUAAAAUAAAAAAAUAACACCUCACGAAGGUGACUAACAAAACAAACCUAAUUCCACCCAAAGUCUCAAUCAUAAUAGUGUUUUCCAAGGUGAAUCAAUCCCAACCCUAGUGUCUCCCGUUUAGAGAAAUCUCUAUAAACCCUAGUUUGUUGUUUGUUUCUAAACCCUUGUUUUCAGCCCCCUCUGUCUCUCAAGGUUUACUAUGGUACAAGGUCUAUAUUUAUAGUCAAAGUAUCCCUCAUAAAAUUGGAACAAAUCUAGCCCAUAAAAAUAUGUUAUACUUUUAUGCUGUUUUGCAGAAUUGGCCGCCGAUUUUCACCAAUCGGGCGUCGAAAAUUGUCGAAUGCAAAGGUUGGAAACCAGUCAAAAUCAGCCACCGAUUUUUCUAAAUCGGGCCCUGAUUUUGCACUUCGAGAAAUCCAAUUUGAGUAAUUUAUCUACAACAAUCUCCACCUUGACUCUAAAUUAGUGAUAAUUUCAAUUUAACCAUCAACCACCAUUGUUGCUCUUUCCCUUGCUUCCCACUACACCAUGUAGCUCCACAAGUUUUCACCCUACCUCUUCAACCAUCGGAAUGCUUCCGCCUUCUCUAAGACCAUCCUUGCAUCCAACUAUACUAGGAAUUUUAGGUAGUUCGACAAGUCUACACCAUAAACCUCUUCAGCCUUCAGAGUGAUCAAAUCCGUCCUUCUGAAGAUCCACUUGCUUCCAAGUACCCUUGGUCUUUUCUCGUAAUCCCACAAGCCAUGCUAUACAUUCCUCAAACACUAGAAUGCCUUCUGUCUUCAUGAAGAAUUCCCUUGGUCACCACUAGAGCAUAGCACCCAAGGUCUCCAUAGUCGUACCUCCACCUCAAGCUGAACUUUCUCUACCUCAACUUCCAAAUGCGUACAUCCCACCAUGUCUUUCACCUUGAAACUCCACCUAAAAGGCUGAUCACAAGUAUUCUUACCUCCGCCUCUUCAGACUAACCACGAGUAUUCUUACAACUGCCUCUCUGGGCUGAUGUUGAGUGUUUAACGUCUCUCUAGAAAACUACCACUUUACAAGGAAUCAUUCACAAGGUGAGAAACAUCACCUUCUUCAUCCUCCCAGCAACAGACCACCAAAGAACCCACAAAACAUCAAGGAUUUUGUUGAACUCCGUAAGUUGCUCCAUGAUGGAUUUUGUUGCUUCAUCUUGAAUGAGUAGAGUUGUUGCUUUAGGAAUUACCAAUGAGCCAAAGACUUUGUCAUAUGCAAAGACUCCAACUUUGACCACAUCGAUGCCGCAGUUUGUACCUUCGCUACAUCUAUCAAAACUUUAUCCCCGAGGCACAAGACAAUGGCACUCCUGGCCUUGUCCACCAUCCCCGUCUUCUCCGCUUUUGACAUGGUGACCGGUAAAGCUUCACCCUUCAAAGCUUUCUCACACUUUUGUUAUAUUAACACCGCUUUCAUAUUUACCUUCCAUAACCUAAAAUCAUUAUCUCCAAUAAAUUUCUCAAUAUCCAACUUCGAACCUAUGGUACUUGAUUAUCGUUUGAUCCUUGCCACACGGUGGGCGCCAAUUAUUGUGAAUUCGUUAAAAAAAUCACACCAAUAAAAACUUGAUAUGUGGAGAAAAUUAAUCAAGCAACCAAAACAAGUGGGUGACAGUUAUAAACACAAGCAAAAGUAGAAAACCACGAGAUAAAAGAAUGAGAGAACACACAAAGUUUGUUCACCUAGUUUGGUCCAAUACUGACCUAGUCUAGGGGAGAGAGCAGCCCUCCGUUCCACUAUAAUGAUGAGUAAGUUUACAAAGAGAUAUCAAAGGGUUACAAGAACUAGCCUUCAAACCUAAUUCUACCCAAAGUCCCAAUCUCUUCCCGUGACCAAAAGACCUAAUCCUAAUAGUGUUUUCCAAGGUGAAUCAAUCCCAACCCUAGUGUCUCCCGCCUAGAGAAAUCUCUCUAAACCCUAGUUUGUUAUAUUUAUAGUAAAAGUAUCCCUCAUAAAAUUGGAACAAAUCUAGCCCAUAAAAAUACAUUAUAUUUUUAUGUUGUUUCGCAUAAUCGGGCGCCGAAAAUUGUCGAAUGCAAAGGCUGGCAAACUAGUCAAAAUCGGCCACCGAUUUGUCCAAAUUGAACCCCGAUUUUGCACUUCCAAAAAUCCAAUUUUGAAUCAGUUCUACAACAAGGUGGAUGAAGAAGAUCAAUAUAGAAAAAAGUUUGGAGCGGGUUCUAGGUUUACACCCUUGUAGAAAGAAUAAAAAAGCUAACGAGUAUUUCAGGACACACUUUUUGGGUCUUAAAUGGUAAACUUUUAUGAAAAUUUGUGUAUUCCAUGUAAUAGAAAUUGAAGUUUCUUUUAGUGAAUAAUUUUUUAAUUUAUAAUCAUUUAAAAUUGUGCCGAAAUAGUCGUUAGCAAGAAAACAAAUAUAUCAGGUAAGAACGCAUUGAUAGUUUAUGAAAUUCUGUGUGCAAUAACCUUCAAAGAAACUAAAGAACAAGACAACUUACUUUAAAUUUUUUUCUUUUGACUACAUUGAAUUAUUAUAUUUAUUCAUUAUUGACCGUAUUAAUUUUUUUUGGUCAAGGACGAUAUUAAUUAUUUUAUUAAAAUAAUAAAUAACAAGCAUAUAAGUAGGUGCAGUAUUACGCUCUCCAUAAACCUAAUCAUCUCUCUCUCUCUCUCUCUCUCUCUCUCUCUCUCUAUCUCCCUCCCUCUCCCUCUCUCCGCCGCAUCCUCAACUUAUAUCUCUCUUCUCGUGCCCGCAGCACCCUCAAUUUUCAUUUUCAAAUAAAUGGUUUUCAACUUAUCCUCCAAUUUUGAAUGCCAUAUGUAUGAAAACGGAAUUGAUUUGCUUGGUUUACGGUUGAACAAGCAAUGAAUAUUGCCAAUUUCAUUUUGAAAGAAUAUUACAACAUGCGUCUUCAUUGUGGAUUUGUCUUGCGGAAUGAUUGUUUAACCCAUUUUUUUUUGUUUUUCUGCAUACAAGUAUCUCUAUAAAUUUCUGAGCUAUUAGCUCACAAUACUCUCAGUUGUUAUUGAAAAUCUAAAGUUUGAGAUUUUACAAUUGAUUGGAAAUCUCAGAUGGUGUUUUGCGGGAGCAUGGUGGUAUGAAAUCGAAGUCUUCUUACUCGAUCGCGAGAUGUAUAUCAGGAUAUUUGUCGAGCAACUCGAGUGUAGUGAGAAACUCUUGACGGAAAUAUCUGAUGAUAUUUAAACUAGAGAACAACAGGUUCUUGCGGAGCAUAGAGGAAUAUUGGCUCAAUGAAAUGGUUCUACGGAUGGAUCUGAACAAGUAUUGAGAUAACACCUUGAACACUUGGCCAUGUGAAAACAACAACGGGAAAGCGAGUUUACCGAUACCUAUCUCAAGACUUGUUCAGAUCCUUCCGCAGAACCAUUCCAUUGAGCCAGUAUUCCUCUUUGCUCCGCAAGAACUUGUUGUUCUCUAGUUUGAAUAUCAUCGGUUAUUUCCGUUUUCUCGACAAAUAUCCUGCUAUACUUCUCGUGAUCGAGUAAGAAGGGUUCGAGUUCAUACCACUAUGCUCCCUAAAAUCACCAUUUGAGAUUUCCAAUCAAUUGUAAAAUCUCAAACGCUAGAUUUUCAAUAACAUCCGAGAAUGGAGUAUUGUGAGCUAAUAAUUGCAACAAUUUAUAAAGAUACCAAUAUGCAAAAAAUCGAAGAAACGGGUUAAGUAAUCAUUUUGUAGACAAAUCCACAACGAAGACGCUUGUCGUGAUAGUCUAUCGAAAUGAAAUUGGCAAUGUUCAUUGUCUGUUCAACCGUAAAUCCAAGCAAAUCAAUUAUGUUCUCAUGUAUUUGGCGUUCAAGAUUGGAGGAGAAGUUGAAAGCCAUUGAUUUGAAAAUGAAAUCCAAGGGUGUUGUGGCUGGCAGGGAAAGAGAGAUAUAUGUUGAGGAUGCAGCAGGCAGAGAGAGAUAUGUUGAGGAACAAUAUUUAAGUCCCUUUAAUGUCAUCAUAUUAGGCUUUGCCACAUUUCUAGGUAUUUUGAUGUCGUGUGAUAUUAAGCUGGAUGUUGUGAAAAACCUUGCUCCCCUACUAUUAGGGUGCUAAACCUUGCUCCCCACUUGGUGCUAUUUAUAAUUGAACUAAUUACUUACACCGCUAACUAUCAUUAUUCUUAAUAGCUCCUCUCAAACUCAAUGUAUGAUUGUACAACGAUAAUGUUUAUAUGAAUAUGAAUAAUAUUUUUUAUGAGUAUAUGACUAUGAAAAAUAAUAUCUCUCAAAGUGUACAAAAGAAUAUGAGCAUGCUCUUACAAUAAUUACAAUGAACUUAAUUACAAAGAAUUAAGUACAAUAACGGAGGUAGUAAAGAAAUAGCUAUAGCACAACAUAAAUGAUCAAAGACCAGAUGUAAAUGGCACGGUAGUUGUAGCCAACCAUGUUGGUCCAGCAAGGAGUCCAGCAACCGUAAACUUUGAUGCUUCCUUUCGGUUUGUUAUCACAUGAUAACCAGGCCAUUUUACUCUAUUUGUUGUUGAUGAACCAGGUCCAUAGUUUUCAUACUCUCCAUAAUACAAUGUAUCUUGAGCAAAAUCUGUGUCACCCCAUGGAGACCAACCUAGGGGGCUCACUAAAGUGUCCAUAAAAGUUUUCAUCACCAUAACUCUUGAGAAUUGUUGCCAAGGCCUUCCCAAGAAGGUUUUGUACUUGUCAACAACAGGCUUUAGAUCUGAUGCAGCCCUAAUUUGACAAUUGUGGAAUGAAAUUCCAGUGUUUUGGAAUGGGUCACCACGACCUUGGGCUGUGAUCAUGUUAGCUUGGCCAUCCAAAGGCUUUCUUGCGAAAAUGUUACAGUUUUGGAAUACUACUGCAGCGUUGCCAAAGAUGAAGUCUACGGUGCCAUAGAUGAAGCAUUGUCGGUAGAAUUGACGUUGUGCAUGAGCCAUCAGAGUGUCUUGAUAGCCCGAUAUAGCACACCGAUAGAAGACAGAGAGAUCGGAGGCUGAUCGGAGCGCCACAGCUUGGCCUUUGUGAGGACCAGCAGUAUUUUGAAAGGUAAUGUCACGUGCAAUGAAAUGAAGUCCAUCAAUGCCUGAAUUUAAAAGAUUCAAGAGAAAUAUGUAAAAAUUAGAAACUAUAAAUAACAUUCUAAACUCUAAAGUGUUCGUGUUAGACAAGUUGCAAGAAAGCCAUUAGAGAAUUAUGAAUAUCAUAUAUAGCUAUGAUAUAAAGAGCACAUUUCCAUGACAUCUAAUUUUCAACACUGAUUUACUAUUGAAUUUUAGGGCUUUAAAACUAGAAAAAACUAAAUAGGGCUUUUCAACACUGAUUUACACAAAGAUACAUGUAGAUUGAUUUUAUUUUUCCAGUCUCUAUCUUUCGUUGUUAGUUCGACUUUUUCAAGCAGUGAAUAUUGUUUUUCUCUUAUAACAAGAACAUAAAACAGGAAAUGAAAUAUAAUUCACCUGCUGUUGCAGAGCUAUAAGUGGUAAAACCACCUUGAACACUUCUAGAACUUGUUAUUAUGGUAUUUUGCAUCCCAUCACCAACCAGCAUAAUAUUGUCAUUAUGAACAGCAACCUCAAUGUUCUCUCUAUAAACACCUUUCUUAACAUGUAUCACAAACCUUGUCUUAUAUUUUCUCUUAGCAGCAGCAUUUAAAGCAGCUUGCACAGUCUUGUACUGACCAGAACCAUCUUUUGCCACCACAAGAUUGUACUUUACUGGACCCUUUGACUGCAAAAGCUUCCUUUCAUGCACAGAAAACCAAUUUGGAAAUGACCCUUCUUCUGUUUCUGCAAGUGACGGAUCCAGAAAUUUUGAUUAGUAUGACUAUAUAUAAAAGUACAUAAGCCAUAGUGUUAUGACAUCAAUAUUAUCAUAUGAAUUAAAUUUAAAUCUGGAGAUUACAAAAUUUUAACAUUUUUUUUAAGAAAAAAUUAAAACAUUAUAUACCUAAAAUAUUGAAGAUACUUGAACAUCUACAAAUUAUAAUUGCUCUGUGUCUUCUUAUUUUAAAAUUCAUUUUUAUAUACCCAUUUUUAACCCUAUCAUAUUUAUAUUACUCUAUGUAUGUCACAAAAUAAACAUUCAAUAAUUUAUCUUUCAUUUAAUUCUUCCUAAAUAAAGUUAUUGAAUAAUUUUUUAGCAGUACAAUACUUAAUUUUAAAUAGAAAAAAAUAAAAUCAUUGUUAAUACCUUUGUUAUGUUUCAGAAAAUGCAUAUUGAUGGCUAAGAUGUUCCUUAUCAUCUCAAUGACAUUGGUUUGCAUAAUGAAAUUGAAAUCUUGAGCAUUGAGUUCUAAAGCUCCACUUUUACAUGUUUCAAUAUUUGUGAGAGAAGUUGUGAGCCAUGUUUGUACAUCAUUCGGUGAACAAUUUUUGCUUGCAUUGUUUAAGCCUUCAAGUGUACGGUUGAGAUGAAAAAUUGUGUUUUCAACUAGCUUCAAACAAUCACCAUGAACCGUUUUAUGCACCGAUGAGUUUUGUUGUUGUUGAGAAUUGUCUUGUGCUUCUUUUUGCAUGGUAAGAGCUUGUUUUAAGGCUAAUUGAACAAGCAUUUCCCUGAAUUCAACUCUAUGUUUGAUUUUGAAAUGAUUGUUCAUUUGUGUUGUGUAGUGUUUGCAUGGCUUAGGAUGUGGUGUUAAAUUGCACCACCAAUCUAUUUUGCUCGAGGAAGGUCCUUUUCUUGAUGAGGCUAUGGAGAAAAUUGAAGAUACGAAAACGAGCAUAAAUAAUGUUUUUCCAAUGAUUGCCAUAAUUCAAUUGUAGAAUAAUUGAAGAGUUUGAAAUAAAGAGUUUAUGUUGCAUAUAACAAAUGUGUGUAUAAAUGAUGCUUUAGUUGACUUGUUUUUGGAUUUGACUUAUGAGAAUUAAUCUAUAUAUAUGUGCAUAUAUAUACAUAAUUUUUGUCGGUAGAGUGUAAAGGUUGAAACGUGUGGAAUGAACUGAAAGUGAUAAUGAAGAAUGACACAGAUACAAACUAUGAAUUCACUUGCAAGUGACAAUUAAUUAAAUAGGAUUAAAAUCUUAUCUAGUAGGAAAAAAUGGUAUUACUUAAUAAUUCAGAAAGUUGGAGCCUAAUUACUUGAUAUUGCAAGAAAAACAAGUGUCCUGAUGUAGCUUCACAUAGAAACAUUCUUAGGCUUACUUUUUAAUGCAUUAAUUGGGGCUAUGACUAUAUAUAAAUAAAUUAAUAUUUUGAUGAGAAUGCAUAGUUUACUUUAGUUUUGUGCUUAGUCCACAUGCAUGCAUAAUGUGGUUUGGUUAUGUCAUACUUUGUACACAGUACACAUUGUGUGGCUGUUUAGCUAAAUGGAGAAGAAGCUUGCAGCUCAAGUUAACUAAUACUGAGUUAACUGAUAACAAGUUCAACACACUCCCUUAAGCUUAGCAUGGUAUAUGUCAGACAUGUUAAGCUUGGACAUAAAAGAAUUUAAAUUCUUAGGUGGCAGGCAGUGGUUUAGUAAGGAAAUCUGCAAGUUGAGAUUGUGACUUGGUAGGAAGCAACUUGAAUAUGCUUUGUUGUAGAUUUUCCCUAACAAAAUGGCAAUCAAUUUUCAAAUGCUUUGUUAUCUCAUGGAAAACUGGGUUAGCUGCAAUGUGAAUUUCACUUUGAUUGUCACAAUAAUGCAUUGGUGGUAAGGUUGAUUUGGCUUGCAGUAUGGUAAGAUAUGUUCAUGAUGGGUUAUAUGUCUAGAAAUGAAAAUGAUUUUGGUGUUUAAAUCAAGAAGUAUAUCAGCUUUGACAGUUUGCUUACAACUCAGGAAAAUGCAUUUCUUAGCUCUAUAAUCUAAUUUUCUUUUUUUACGUACCUGUAAAGUGGAUGUGUUGCGAAUUCCAUAAGAAAACCACACCAAUAACAAACUUGAUGUGUGGAGCAAGGAAUAAUCAAGCAACAAAAACAAAGUGUAUGGAACAAUUAUAAACACAAGUCAAAAGUGAAAAACAACGAGAGAGAAAGGAAGAGAGAACACAAAAGAAUUUGUUGACCUAGUUCGGUCCAAAUCGACCUAGUCUGGGCGAGAGAGCAGCCCUCCGUUUCACUAUAUGAUGAGUAACCUUACAAAAGAGAUAUCAAUGGGUUACAAGAAUAAGUCUCCCGCUUAAUUCUACCCAAAGUCCCAAUCUCUCCCCGUAACCAAGAGACUCAAUCCUAAUAGUGUUUUCCAAGGUGAAUCAACCUUCAAACCCUAGUGUUUGUUCCAAAGAGAUAAACUCUAUACAAACCCUAGUUUUGUUGUUGCCUUUCUAAACCCUUGUUUCAGCCCCCUCUAUCUCAAGGUUUACACUGAUACAAUGUCUAUAUUUAUAGUAAAAGAAUCAUCAAUAAAACUGGAACAAAUCUAGGCUCGAAAAUACGUUUCUGUUUUAUUUUUUGCUGUCAAAGUCUGCCACCGAAUGCUCCAAAUCGGCCACCGAUUUUUGCCGAACCUGAAGCUCAAAUAAAACAGGUCAAAAUCGGCCACUGUGUCCUGAAAAUCGGCCACCGAUUUUCAGCUUCCAGAAUUCCAAUUUCUUCAAUUUUGAGGCACUUUCACAAUAGAAUGCAUAGAAGAGUGAACAAAAUAAUUUUAAUUCAUUCAAGUUAGGAUGAUGACCAAACCUGUGAAAUAAAAUGUGUUGAUGCUCUUUUUCUACUCUUCCAUUUUGCUGGGGAGUCUCAACACAACUGGUCCUUUAGCAGAAUAUAAUUCAAGCAUAGAAAACUCUGGACCAUUGUCAAUUUUUACAUUUUAACUUUACAAUAAUAUUGAUUUUCUAUCAUAAGAACCAAUUUUUUUACAAAAUUGGUGACUUCGUAUUUUAAUUUACAAAGAACGAUCCAAGUAAAACAACUAUAAUCAUCAAUUGAUAAUAGUAACAAACAAUUAACAUCAUACUUAUGGCCAUGAACAUAUUGAGUAGAAAGGGGACCUCAAAAAUAAAAAUGAAACAAUUCAUAGCAUUGACUUGCUUUAAUAUUACAAAGUUGAAAAGGAAGUUUUAUGUGAGUAUGUAAUUCAACUUGUUAUUAAAAUUUGUAUUUAAUAUUGAUUAAUUCAAAUAUGAAUGAAGUCUAAGUAAAGAUAAACUUGUUAGAUUUAAAAAAAUUUAGUUUAGAUAAUUUUGCGACACUUUUUACAACUUCUAAAAAAUUAUAAAUGUAACACUUUUUUAUUGUUACUAGUGAUAUAAAAAGUAUUACAAAUAAUGUAACAUUUGCGACACUUUUUAAUUGUUACAUAUAAUACUAUAAAAUGUAACUAAAACUCUUUUGUAACACGGACUUUACUUAACAAUUGUUCAAGUGUUACUAAAUUUAAUUAGUAAUAUUUUUCUUGAUUUAGUUACAAUUUUCAAGUGUUACUAAAUGUCAUUAUUUUUUUGAAGGAAUACUAAAUGUCAUUAUUGUAGUAGUGUACUAAGUUCUAACCAAGAAAUAAAAUACAAAAAUCACUCUACCCACCACCCAAAAAAAAAAAUUAAAAAAAAAUUGUUCCAAACUCCACCCACACUACUAAAAAAGUAAAAAUUAGUGAGGGAAAUUUAGAGAGGGAAAACGUGAAAUCCCUCUCUAAUUUCGUCACUAAAUUUUACGACUAAGGAAUUUAUGAGGAAUUUUAUUUUUUCCAUCAUUAAUUUCCCUCCCUAAUUUUACUUUUUCUAGUAAUGCCAAAAGCAAAGCAAAAGCAAAAAUUACUUCACCAAAACAAUCAAGAUCAGGUCAUGAAAACCAUUCAUUGACAAGGCACCCCCAUUUUGUUACCCAAAAGCCACUUUCAAGACUUAACAUUAAUGAAAUCAACAACCUCCUCCACUUUCAAUUGAUAAAUCUAGGUACGACUGCAAAAACUAGUGUUAUAGUAGCGAGUUACAACCUCAAAUUAAUUCAAAAUGGGUUAGUCCUUGAAAAGCAUUAAGAACAAAGAUAAAACAAAUAAAUAUAAUAUGAAUUGCGCUAAGAAAAGGACUCAUAGGUCAUGUGGUUCCAACCAUUACAAAAAUGUUCAUCAUUCAAUCCUAAUUUAUGAAAGUUUAGUUACACAUGAUAACUUGAUAACUGUCAUAAACAACAUAAUUCAAAGGACGGAAGCGAAAUACAUAAGUUGCGGUGUUGAUCCUCAAACUUGUUUCCAAACCUUCAAAAACACGCACGAGUCUCGCGCAUGGACAUACUACUGUGGCGUUAGCAACUACUCAUUGGUUUGGUGUCCACCUCAAGUGUUUCCUUCUGCGCCUCGCGCAUGCUGUCGAGAGAUCAAGGAGAUGAGCAACUGCCACAGGCGAUGCAUGGCCUCAUGCACCUCGCGCAUAGGACUUAAUUUUAUAUAUAUUUUUAAAAUGACAAGAUGCUUAUUUGUUACUUAGUUUCUGACAUAUUGACUUUUUAAACAUAGAUCCGCUGGAUCAUCAAAGUUGAACUUGUAAAGUAGUACAAAAUUAAAGAAUAUGAAUAAUUAUAUCUCUCUCAAUAUACAAAUUAAAGAAUAUUGACACAUUUUCUUUUAAGAAUUACAAUGAAUUUAAUUACAAAUAACUAUGUAGAAUAAUUGAAUUAAUGAAGAGAUAUAGCUAUACCAAAAUACAAAUGAUCAAAGACCAGAUGUAAAUGGCACAGUAGUUGUAGCCAACCAUGUUGGUCCAGCAAGGAGUCCAGCAACCGUAAACUUUGAUGCUUCCUUUGGGUUUGAUAUCACAUGAUAACCAGGCCAUUUCACCCUAUUUGCUGUUGAUGAACCAGGUCCAUAAUUCUCAUACUCUCCAUAAUACAAUGUGUCUUGAGCAAAAUCAGUGUCACCCCAUGGAGACCAACCUAGGGGGCUCACUAAAGUGUCCAUAAAAGUUUUCAUCACCAUUACUCUUGAAUAUUGUUGCCAAGGUCUGCCCAAGAAGGUUUUGUACUUGUCAACAACAGGUUUUAGAUCUGAUGCAGCCCUAAUUUGACAAUUGUGGAAUGAAAUUCCAGUGUUUUGGAAUGGGUCACCUCGACCUUGGGCAGUGAUCAUGUUUGCUUGGCCAUCUAAAGGCUUUCUUGCGAAAAUGUUACAAUUUUGGAAUACCACUGCGGCGUUGCCAAAGAUGAAGUCUACGGUGCCAUAGAUGAAGCAUUGUCGAUAAAAUUGACGUUGUGCAUGAGCCAUCAGAGUGUCUUGAUAACCUGAUAUGGCACACCGAUAGAAAACUGAGAGAUCGGACGCUGAUCUUAGCGCCACAGCUUGACCCUUGUGUGGACCGGCGGUAUUUUGGAAGGUUAUGUCUCGUGCAAUGAAGUGAAGUCCAUCAAUACCUAAAUUUAAAUGAUCCAAGAGUAAUUAUUUAAAAUAAAAAAUGAAAGUAAUUGUAUGCAUGUAAGAAAGCCUCAAGUAUAAUUUAAAUAUUAUAAACCUAUCUUAUUAUAAAAAUUUAGAACUUCAAAUGAUAAAAUAAAAAGAGAUUAAAGGAGAUGGAAUAUAACUCACCUGCUGUUGCAGAGCUAUAAGUGGUAUAACCACCUUGAACACUUCUAGAACUUGUUAUUAUGGUAUUUUGCAUCCCAUCACCAACCAGCAUAAUAUUGUCAUUAUGAACAGCAACCUCAAUGUUCUCUCUAUAAACACCUUUCUUAACAUGUAUCACAAACCUUGUCUUAUAUUUUCUCUUAGCAGCAGCAUUUAAAGCAGCUUGCACAGUCUUGUACUGUCCAGAACCAUCUUUUGCCACCACAAGAUUGUACUUUACUGGAGACUUAGACUGCAAAAGCUUCCUUUCAUGCACAGAAAACCAAUUUGAAAAUGACCCUUCUUCUGUUUCUGCAAGUGACGAAUCCAAAAUUUUUGAUUAGUAUGACUAUAUAUAUUCAUAUAAAAGUACAUAAGCGAUAGUGCUAUGACUUCAAUAUUAUUAUAUGAAUCAAAUGUAAAUCUGGAGAUUACAAAAUUUUAACAUUUUUUUUAGGAAAAAAUUAAAACAUUAUAUACCUAAAAUAUUGAAUAUACUUGAACAUCUACACAUUAUAAUUGCUCUUUGUGUCUUCUUAUUUUAAAAUUCAUUUUUAUCUUCCCAUUUUCAACCCUAUCAUAUUUAUAUUACUCUAUGUAUGUCACAAAAUAAACACUCAAUAAUUUAUCUUUCAUUUAAUUCUUCCUGAAUAAAGUUAUUGAAUAACCUUUUAGCAGUACAAUACUUAAAUUUUAAGGUUAAAUAUGUUUUUGGUCUCUAUAAAUAUAUCAACUUUUCAUUUUAGUCCCUCUAAAAUUUUCCUUCAAUUUUUAGUCUCUAUAAAAUUUUCAAUCUUCAUUUUUGGUCCCUCGUUUAAAGUAAACUCAUAUGUAGAAUUCAUAUUUUUAGAUAAAAUUUUUCAGAAAAAUGUAUAAUAUUAUAAGGAUCACUCCCAAAAAAAAUUAGAAUUGUUUACCAAAACAUGAAUCUUUAUAUUUUUGGCGGUAAAAAAUUCAUAUCUAAUUCAUGUUUUGUUAAAAAAUUCUAAUUUUUUUUGGAGUGAUUUUUACAAUAUUCCAUACAUUUCUACACAGUUUCAUUAAAAAAUACAAAAAUUUACUUAAAAAUAGGGACCAAAAAUAGUGAUUGAAAAUUUUAUAGGGACUAAAAGUUGAAGGAACAUUUUAGAGGGACUAAAACGAAAAGUUGACAUAUUUAUAGGGACCAAAAACAUAUUUAAUCCUAAAUUUUAAAUAGAAAAAUAUAAAAUCAUUGUUAGUACCUUUGCUAUGUUUCAGGAAAUGCAUAUUGAUGGCUAAGAUGUUCCUUAUCAUUUCAGUGACAUUGGUUUGCAUAAUGAAAUCGAAAUCUUGAGCAUUGAGUUCUAAAGCUCCACUUUUACAUGUUUCAAUAUUUGUGAGAGAAGUUGUUAGCCAUGUUUGUGCAUCAUUUGGUGAACAAUUUUUGCUAGCAUUGUUUAAGCCUUCAAGUGUACGGUUGAGAUGAAAAAUUGUGUUUUCAAAUAGCUUCAAACAAUCACCAUGAACCGUUUUAUGCACCAAUGAGUUUUGUUGUUGUUGAGAAUUUGCUUGUGCUUCUUUUUGCAUGGUAAGAGCUUGUUUUAAGGCUAAUUGAACAAGCAUUUCCCUGAAUUCAACUCUAUGUUUGAUUUUGAAAUGAUUGUUCAUUUGUGUUGUGUAGUGUUUGCAUGGCUUUGGAUGUGGUGUUAAAUUGCACCACCAAUCUAUGUUGCUUGAGGAAGGUCCUUUUCUUGAUGAGGCUGUUGAGAAAAUUGAUGAUAAGAAAAAGAGCAUAAACAAUGUUUUUCCAAUGAUUGCCAUAAUUCAAUUGUAGAAUAAUUGAAGAGUUUAAAAAAUAAUAAGAGUUUAUGUUGCAUAUAACAAAUGUGUGAUAUAUGAUGUUUUUGUUCACUUGUUUUUGGUUUUGACUUAUGAGAAUUAAACCCUAAACUCUCUAUAUAUAUACAUAAAUUUUUGUAGGCGGAGUGUGAAGGUGUAAACGUGUGGAAUGAAUUGCAAGUGAUAAUGAAAAAUGACACAGAUACAGACGGUGGAUGCAAUUGCAAGAAAGAAUUAAUUGAAUAUAGGAAUAAAAUCUUCUCUAUUAGAAAAAAUGGUAUUACUUAACAAUUCAGAAAGUUGAAGCCUAAUUACUUGUCAUUGCAAGAAAAACAAGUGUCCUAAUGUGGAUUCACAUAGCAACAUUCUUAAGCUUGCUUAUAAAUGCACUAAUUUGGAUUUUGCGGCUGUGACUAUAUACAUAAUUAAAUUAAUAUGUUGAUGAGAAUGUUGAGUUGGCUAAGUUGUGUGUUUAUUUCAUAUGCAUGCAUAAUGUUGUUAAAGAAAAUUGAAUAUAUUAUCCUUUUUGUUUAGGGUGGGGUGAAGGAUAGUUUCUUUGAACAUUGUAACCAAAUUCACCUGGUAGGGUUUUGUGAGCGUUUUGUUCAAGCAUAUAGGUGAAAUUUUAAUGUCCGUACUCCAUGUGCUUUUAGUUUGCAAAUUAAGCAAAACAAGGAAAUAUGUAGGCGAUUUUGACAAUUUAAGCAAUUGAAUAUAUAUAUAUAUAUAUAUAUAUAUAUAUAUAUAUAUAUAUAUAUAUAUAUAUUUUUAAAUAAUUUUUUUUUUUAAGGGGUCAACACACGCUCAUGUAUAUAACUAAAGAGCUUUGCUAUUUAUCUAGAGAAUUUUUAUCAAAAAUUAUCAAGAAAAUGUCUCAACUAAUUAAAUUUGUUAUUUUGCGGAAAUCAAAGGAGGUAAUGGUGUGUAAUUAAAGAAACGUGUUAACAAAUACACUGUCUUGGAAUUUUUUUGAUAAAUUUUGUCACUGUAUCUAUCAUUUCCCAUAAAUUAAUUAAUUGGUUACAUCUUUAUAUUAUUAUCAUUUGUUAAUCUAGUUGUUUCCAGGGGAUAAAGUCUCCAUUAAUCCGAAGUUUAAGUUAGAGAUAAAUAAAGUCUAACAAUAAAUUAUUUUACAUAUGAGUAUUGAUUUUUUUUACUUUUUAGUUUUUCUAUAUUCUAACUGAUUUUUAUAGCUCUAAUAAUAACUAAUGAUGAUCGUUUCUCAUGGUUAACCGGAAGGAAGAACUGAAAUUUAAACUUUAAACCCAAAAUAGUUUUCUGAAAAGAAAAAGAACAAAAGUAGAUUUUCAUUCUUAUCUAAUGCUAUAGUCAUUUUCUUGCAUGCAUGCUUUCUUAAUUGUUUUUAACUUAUUUUUCCUUUUCUAAAAAAAUUCAACUUAUAAAAUAUUUAGUAUUCACCACUGUUUACACAAAGCAGCUUAUGAACUCCUAAAAUACAUAAAUCUUUCCUCACGAGUAAUUAAUUAAAGAAACACGGAUAGGUAUCUUGCUGUACUGAUUUGCUGCUUGAUUACGUUUGAGGCAGAAAAGUCUAAACAGUUAUUGCUUUUAGGCGUAAAUCUUCAAUGUGUUCCUCUAAAAAGUUUGAUAGUACUUUUUUUUUAAGAAAAAAAGUUUGAUAGUAUAUCGGCAUAUUAAACGUAAGAGAAGAAAAAGAUGGACAUCUCAUCCAUCCAACAGAGCCAACCCGAGGGUAGGAUUACUAAAACUCUCGUUUUAGAUCUACCAUAAAAAAAUAUUUUUCAUCAAUUUUAUAAGUAAAAGAGUCUCAUAUGCAGACAAAAAAAGGCUUUAUUUAUCAAUAUUUAUUUUAGGUCUCAUUUAUUUUUAAAGAUUAUUGGGCGACCCUGCCACCCAACCUACACCUCUUCUCUCUCAUGAUUUCCCUUAUCUUUCUCCCUUUGCUUUGUGUAUUGGAGGGUGGGAAUGUGGGACUCAUCGGAAUUGUAGAAUUGGUAGAUGAGGUGUUUAAAUAUCACCAUCCUAACGGUAAUCCCACAUUAAUAUUAAAGAUAUAUAAAAUGGUGUUGGUAUGUCAAGUGUAAGUAAGAAUUUCAUGAAGAAAUAGAUGUUGAAGUUAAUGUAAAUGAAAUGAUUCAUAUACCUAAUGUCUUAAGGUAGUGUCCCAUUUGAUUUGUGAUGAUCCCCAUAUCUCUCAUCAAGACCCAACAGUGGUAUCAAAGUCAUAUUUGAUUAAAAUUAAUGGUGGCUGACUCCUAUCGACAAUAGGUUUUCUUGAUAAUGAUGGGAAGGUCACAUGUCAUGUUGAUGUUGAGUCCUAAUGACUAUGCAAGUUUCUGGAGAUGAAAGCUUUUGUUGUGUCACUGAGGGGAGCUAGGGGGACCGUCCACAUCGAGGCUAGAACAACCAUAUAGUGAGAGAGAUACCGCACUCUUACCCAAAACCUUAAGCCAAUGGGUUUAUGGGUCCUCUUACUUAUAAUGUGUUUAACCUUUUAUUUUUCUAUCCGAUGUGGGACAUAUAACUCACACUUGCACACAGCAACAACUUUCAGUCGAGGGGGAGCAAUUGCAAGUGAACAGAUUGACUCACACUAAGGGUUAGGUUUUUGGCAAGUCAAGUAGUGUGAAUAAGAAUCCUAUAUUGGAUGUAAAAGCAUACCUUGAUUAUUAUAUAAAUGAGAUGAUUUAUAUAGCUACCUUAAGAUUUUAGAGGAAGAUGUGAUUACUAAUUUUAUUUGUGUGGUUGCUCUAAACUCAUGUGAUGAUUUCUCAACAUCAAAGUGUUACCUCCAUAAACAAAUUUUGGUAAAUUUUGUUAACGUAAAACUUAUUUUAUUUUAUUUUUUUGAGGAAGAAUUUUUUUUUUCUUAUAUGCUAAUUCACAUUGUUUUGACAGUUUGGGUUGAAUUGAUUUCAAAUAGAUAAUUAUUAUUAAAAUGGGUAUUAUAUAUGUAUAUAAAUAUAGAGGGGCUUGCUAAAAUUAACACACUCCUUUUUAUAAAAGCCUAUCUUAGCAAUAUACACCUUUUGACUUGAAAAAAAAAAAAUCAAAAUUUUUCUUUUUGAUAAAGUUCAAACAAAGGGGUAGUAAUGUUGUUUGGAAUAUAAAAUAAAUUCCCCAAAUUUGAUCUCUCAUUCCAAUAUGUGUGUUGGAAUGUUUGGGAAUGAAUUUUCUGAAUUGAAAUCCUCUUAGUUUUUCUUAAAUGUUGUAUCACAACCAUCAAAUUAAGUCUACAAUUUUUUUAUAAUUUUGUUUCUCUUUCUCUUAAGAAAAAUUGAGAGGAUUUUAAUUAAGAUCCAUUUCCUCAAGGUUCUUUUGUACUUUUAGGGUUCGUUUGUAAUUUUAGAAAGAAGAGCACGAGAGAGUUUUUGAGGUUAAAAUAUAGGCGAAAAUAGAAAAAUCAUUCAUAUUUUUUUGAAAAGAGUAUUUUAUUUUUUUUAUACAAGAAUAUGUUUUUAGAUAAUGAUAAAUUCAUGUUUAUGGUAUUUUUUUUUUCAUAUUUAAGAAAUUUGUAAUAAAUAGAUUGAAUUUGAAGAAUCUGUAUAAACAUUCUUAAACCCUAUUAACCCCAAAUUCAAUACAAUUUUUUCAGUUUCACUCAAUUAAUAAGAUUUUGUAUUAUGAAGAAAAAUGAACUACGUGAAGCCCCCUCUCGAUGUAUAUUUCUUCAACUUGUUUUUUUUUUCUUUUCUUUCCAAAGCCCUCCAUUCCCUUAUCUUUCCCUCCAAACUCGCAAACUAAGUUUUAUUUACCAUGGUUUAUCUCGAUCACUCUUGUUUUUCCAACAAUGAAAUUGAUUUUUUUUUCUUCAGAUUUAAUCUUUUUUCUGAUCAUCCAAAAGCGUUAUAAUGGAAAUCGGGAAGCCAAAGCUUAAUUUUUCAACAAUGUAUGUUAAUUAACAAAUUUCAUCAAACUAGUCAAAAAACAAAUUCUAUGAAGAAAAAAAAAAUCAUCAAAUAGUUGUUGAGUUCUUGUCAUGAUUUACCACCAUCAUGCUUUGUAUCGUCGUUGCACCGUCUUCGAUCUCGCCGCCAUGCUGUGUCAUUAUUUUCUCCUUUUAAAAUUGGUUUUCUUAAACUUAGUCAUGUCAACAUUAAAUGGAAAAGAAGAAAAGAAGAACGUACGUUAAUACUGGUUUUUUUUUUAUGUUGGGAUGAAACAAGUUGCUACAGCAGCGAACGGUGGAACAAAGUUGUUGCGAUGAAACUGUUCAUGUGUUUCUUUUACACAUUUUGAAGCUUUAAAUCAAAGCCGUUGAAAUUUUUAAAUCCACAUGGUGUGGCACACAUCUAGGAAAGCAACCGAAUAACUGGACAAAUUGAAAACUGGAACAGAUCAGGAUUGCUGAAAUUUACAAUAGGAAAAUAGAGUUCAGAUCUGCUCCAGUUCCAACUUACUCCAGUUUUCCUGUUCUUUUGACGGAUGAGCGACACGUGGCAAAACAAUUAAUCAAAGGUGCAGAGAACAUGUUCUCAUUAACACCAAAGUAGUUCGUAUCAGCAACUUUUGACGGGUUACAUUCUAUCGUCGCUGUGUAUUUGUUCCUUCUCCUCUUCUUUCUCCAAGGACAAGGUUAUUUUUUCAAUUCAACUAAUUUUUGUUUUACAAUUUUUCCAAUUUCUUUUGAAAUCGUAGGUUGAGAAAAGAUUGUAUUUUUUUCUUGGAUUUUCAAACUUCACUUGCCACUGCAGCAUGAAUGGUUUUUAUUGCCAACAUAAGGUAAUUAAGGAAGAUUGUGAUUUUCUUCCAAUUGAUAGCUCCAUUCUGUGGUAAAUUCCAAUCCAUCAAUAUCAUUAACAAAUUCCAAAAAAGAAACCCCGUUUAGUGGCAAAAUCAAAUUUCACUAGAGAAUCAAAAUUCAUAACAAACAGUUCCAUUGUAUUCAACCUGUGCUUGGAGAGGUGACAGAGGUGAGAUGAAUUAUUUAGCAGGAGAAGAAAGAGGGCAUCUUUCAGAAAGAAGAAGAGUCCUGAAUUUUCUGGUUUUGUUCCUUUCAAUAUGAACCGUUGAUUAAUUGUUUUGCCACGUGUCGCUCAUCCGUCAAAAGAACAGGAAAACUGGAGCAAGUUUGAACUAGAGCAGAUCUGAACUCAGGAAAAUAGUAUUUGAAAUUGAGUAAUGUUAAGUAAUUUAUUUAUUGUGUUAAUUUGUAUCGUUAUAGUAUGAUGUGAUAUGUUAUCUACAUAUGUAACACAAUAAAAAAAAUGCUCUUGUCCCAACGGAAAACGCUCAUAUCCAACUGAAUGGACGAAAGAACUCUCACGUGACUUAAGUCAUGAUAGGUACUUUCAGUGUGAGUUAACUCACACAUGUUAUAAGUCAGUGUGAUAACUCACGCUCUUUUGGUCGGUGGCGUGACUUAACUUACGCUGCUUUGGUCGGUGAUCUGAGCACAUAAAACACGUUUUUUGAACGGUGUUUAAUUAUUCAAACUUGAUUUUACACGUUUUCAACUGCAUUUAGUGUAGCUAUAACUUAUGUCUUCAUUUCCCCUAUACAUAUUCUUCCAACCUUCACCAUUUCAUCACACCAUCAUCUCAUACUCUCUCCUCCUCUUCCUUAUACAACAACAAUGUUUUUCCAUCGUUAGCCUUUCAUAGAAAGAUGCCUCUUUGAAAAAGUCAAGGAUUGUAUGAACGGUCAAUGGAGAUGGCAAUACACUGCAAAGAAGUACGGUUUGUAUGGGUGUCAUGUUGGUUUGUUCGGGUGCAAGGUUGACCAGCAAGGUCUCUUUCACAUUAGACAAGAAACAUAUAUUAUCCCAAUCCCCUUCUCCCCCACAAUCUAUUUCUAAAGUAGAUGUAGUUUUACCUCAAUCCCCCUUCCCUAGACAGGAAACAUAGUUUUUUGUAAAUGUAUCGAUAUAAUAAUAAAAUGAGAUUUUAUGUUAUCAAUAUUGUUCUUUUAUUUAUUUUUGUUUAUAUUUGCAUUUAUUUUAUGAUUUUGGCAUCUAAAAAAUAUUAUUUCUUUGAAUACUAAUUAAACUCAGCGUGAAUUCGAUCAAAGUUGUGUAUUGAAUAAAUUCUAAUAAAGUGGCACAAGUACACAAAAUUAACUCAAAAAAUAUACAAUUUUAAUUAGUUUUAAUUUAAUCUACAUUAAAUUAUUUUCUCUCUAAAUAUAUGCGGUAUCAUCAUGAUGUUGGACUUAAGUUUAAUUUUGAAGUUUACUAAAAAUCUUGGCAUUUAACUGUCUUAUACUUAGUGUAAAGAUUUGCAGCGUUCUUUGAAAACUCAAAAGAAUGGAUAUUACACAUGUUUUAUUCUAUCUAAUGAGUUGUACAAAUUUUCCCAUCAAAUUCCCACUUAUAAGAUGAGUAGUGACAAACAGAAAUGCAUUCAGAGAGGUUUCUUUUAACUUAAUCAUACUGCCCUGCCAACUAACAAGUUUCAAUUGACAGAGGAGCAUGAUGAAGUACAAAACAUCUUAGAGGUGCAUUCCCUUAUGUCCCACUCAUCUUAUAUGAAGGAAUCUGAUGAAAAAAUUUGUACAACCAUUAGGUAGGAUACAAAAUAUGUUUUAUCCAUUCUUUUGAUUUUUCAAAGAGGUUUGUAAAUCUUUACAUUCAGUAUAAGACACUUGAUCAAUACCAACAUCUUCAGCAAAAUAACAAGAAUUAAACUUAAAUUCCAACAAAAUAAAGACACUACGUAAUAAUAAUGCUACCUAAACAUAAUUUUAUGGCAGAAACAAACUCUUAAGAAUAUCUCCAGGUGAUCUGAGCAAUGUAUCUUCCAUCUCAAUCCUCGGGAACAUGCGUUCCUGAUAAUAUCUGGAGAACAUGUUCCUCACGCAUUCAUCGUCUAUCAUCGUUAUCUUUUCGGUCUACAAAUAACCGGGGCGUGCAUACUGAAGGUCCUCUAGCGUCCUUAUGUCUCCGAGAUUGAGUCCUCUAUUGAUUUCGUUCAAUUGAUCAUUCCGAUCUUUUGGCGUGGCAUCGACCCGACCCGAACCUUGAACAGAUAAGGGUUUCCACCAUUGAAACGUACUUGAGAUUUGAACAAUUUGUUCAUUGUUUCAGAUUUACACCAUAAGAAAUUAAACAAUCAAUGAAAAACUCAUUCAAACAUUUCAUCGAACACUUGCAAUGCAAAUUAUACAUAAACCCUAAAACUCAUAACUACAACAUAAACAUGCAAACAUCUAAACAAUUAAGAAAUAUAAGUCAUUUAGAUGUACACAUUGUAUCAUUUCUUGCCAAAAAAAUCAAAAUUUAAACAAACCAUAAAACUAAAAAAAAUUCUAAUUUAAGAGGAAAAAUUUAACAUAUAAACAUAAAAGUUAAUGAUAUUUGAUUAUGAUAACUUACUUGUUAUUGGAGUGUUGUUGGAUUUGAAUUUGAAGAAAAUAAGGAUUUGUUAAUUUGAGAGUUUUUGGAGAUUUGAGAUGAGAAAUGAGAAAAUGAGCUGCUGUCUGACCUUUAAAAGGGCACACAAUGUGGCUUAACUCACGUUGGCCUUAAGCGUGACUUAACUCACGCUGAUUUAACACAUGCGUGACUUAACUCACACUGGGAACAUUUUUGGAAGUUUAGUUGGAUCUGAGUAAAACUUGUUGGAAGAAGAGCAUUUUUUGGCACAAUAUAUGGAUGACACAUCAAUGACAUCUAAGAGGGUUCAUGUUACCUACAAUUAAUCAAUAUUUUUAGCAACCAUUUGGACAUUAAGUGACUGUGUUCAAGGGCCAUUUUCUAAGACAUAUUUUACCAACUUUCAUUCCCUCUCUCCCUCCCCUAGCUCGCGCUCUCUCUCUCUCUGUCUAUCUCUCCAUUUCUUUAUUUUUACACUUCUCUCUCUGCUUAUUUCAAUCCCUCUCUUUCUGUCGAUCUCUUUAUCUAUCGAUCUUCAUUACUCUCUCUUGCUAUUUAUCAUUCAUUUCUCAGUUUUUCUCGAGUCCCUCUUUUAUGCAUCUUUCUUUAUAAUCUUCAUCUCUUUAUUUUUCUCCCUCUCUCGCAGAAAUUAGUAAAACACUUAUCUACCUUCAAUCCAAAUCAUGCAAUUGCACCUAUGAGUAAUUAAACAUCAAAGGUGUCAUGGGAAGAAAAUGAAGAAAUAAGAAAAACCAACUUGAAAUGAAUAAGUCACAAGUAUAAUUGAGGGUGACAGAGUGUGCGGUUAGACUCAAAUAAAUAAUUAAGGUAUUUAGUUUAGAAGUGAAAUCUUUACUUUUUAAGUAAAUAAUUGAUUACUUUUAAGGGUUCGUCUGGCUCGGACUUCAUCUGGUUUGGAUUUGGAACAAAAAGAAAUAUAUUUUUUAUGAACCGAUCUGCGAAUUGAUUAAUUAUUAAGUUUGCUUAAUCUGCAAGUUAGCUUAAUCAUUAAGUCGGUCCGGAUUUGUUACGAGUUUGCUUAAUCCGCAAGUUAGCUUAAUCAUUAAGUCGGUCCGGAUUUGUUACGAAUUCCUCCUAUAAAAGAGAGCUCGCAUAACUCAUUUGACAAACCAAAGAGUUCUAUUGAGAUGUCGAGAACUUUUUCUGUCUUCCCCCUCUCCAGUUCGUGUUAACGAGUUGUUCUUCUCUUCAUCUUCUCUUUUCGUUCCUUUGGAUUUGAGAGUGUUCUUAAGACUAAAGUCGCUUUAGGUAAAAUGUUCAUUCGAAAUUAAGAAUGGUCUUAAGAUCAUAGUCCCUUUCAUAAUAAUAUCUGUCCCUUUGAAAUAAAGAAUACAUUUAAGAUCAUAUCUCCAUUUUGAAAUAAUAAUGUCUCAUUAAAACUAAGAAUUAUUUUAACAAUAUAUAUAUAUAUAUAUAUAUAUAUAUAUAUAUGUUAUUUCGAUAAUUUUCUACUAUUGGAGAAAUUAUUAAAAAUCAGAAUGGUGGUAAAACCAUAUUUGAGUGGUCAUAUUAUCAUAGUUGGAGAAGUUAAAAAUUAGAAUGGUGGUAACACCCUAUUAGAAUGGUUUUAGUAUUAUAAAAAUGGUUUUAAGACCAUAUUAGAGGUGUAAAUGCAAUAGUUAACCGUACAGUUGUAUAGCUAGACUAUAUUUGAGUGGUCAUAUUAUCAUAGUUGGAGAAGUUAAAAAUUAGAAUGGUGGUAACACCCUAUUAGAAUGGUUUUAGUAUUAUAAAAAUGGUUUUAAGACCAUAUUAGAGGUGUAAAUGCAAUAGUUAACCGUACAGUUGUAUAGCUAGACUUGUUUUAUCCCUGAAGACGGGGUGGUUGAUAGUCUGUCUUUUACAAUUUUUGGCAGUGUCGCAAAACGUCUUAAAGAGAAACUUAAUUGUAAGUAGUUGUGACCUACUUCGAUAUAUAUUCUCUCUCAAAAUAAAAUUUGAAAAUCUAAAUACAACCGUUUCAAAAUCCAAAAACAACAAUAAAAAAGAAGUAAAUACAAAUAUUUUUAUAGGCAUUCUUUAAAUCUAAAUGUCUUCUAUCCUUUAAACUAAACCACCAUUACCUCACCCAAAAUUUUUUAUUAGGGAAAAAAAUGGAGUUGACGAAAUGCAGCAUGUUACAACUUAGACGUCUCUGAAUCAUAAGUUGCACAUGUCACCCCCUCGUGAAUAUAGCUACCCUGUCGCCACAUUUUUUUUUAUAUAUAUACUCGUGACCACAAGGUUUUAUUUCUCAUCGUUUUUGAAUGAAAACUUGCCUGCACGAUCAUUCGAGUUUAUAGAUAAUUCAUUUUCUUUUUUUUAGGGAAAGUUUAUAGAUAAUUCAUAACUCUUAUGGGUUUUACACUAUUCUGUUUCAUGUGCAUGUAGGAACCUAAUUAUGUGUCCCACUCCAAUGCCGGCGGGUCAUUUAUUCUUCAUUUAUAUUUGUUGUCGGUAAAGGUCAUAUAGGUUAUGAUAUGAUCAAUUAAUAUUUUGGUGUCAAACUAAAUAAUAUGACAUUUCUGAUAAUUCUUUAUUAGAUAAUUGUAUUGCAAAAAAAUUCCUUGGAUUGAAUGUUAUAUAUCAUGCUCCCUCCGCUCCUAUAUAUAAGACCCUUUUGCCAAAAUCACGGGAAUUAAGAUAGUAGAUAUUUAUAUUAAAGUUGUUUGUAAUCACUAUUGUUUUUACAAUUUUAUCCUUUAAGAAAAAUGUUAGUUUAUGUUUUCAACAUGUUAUUUAUUGUUGAUUGAAGAAAAAGAUGUAUAAUAAAUAGGGGCAUGUAUGUAAAGAAAUAAUUAAUGUAGUUGAAAAUAACAAAGAAGUCUUAUAAAAAGGGACAAAAAAAAUUCUUAAAAGGGUCUUAUAGUUAGGGAUGGAGGGAGUAUAUAUCAUAUCUAAAUAUAUUUUCAUUAAUCGGAUAUCAUUUUUCAUAUUAACGAGAUACGUAAAACUUAACAUGUUGCAUAAAAGUUUAUAAGACGUUAAUUUUGAUGUAAUUUGGUAACGUAUCAACUGAUAUCUAAUUAAUGUUAAAUUUUGUGGAUAUAAUUUAUGUAAUAAUAGCUUUAAAUUUAACUUUGGCUUUUGUAAUACGGUUGCAUGAUAUAAAAAUCAUUGGCGGUGCCCUAUGAAGUUUGACAUGGUGUCAAUUAUAGUUUAUAUAGACAGCGUAUCAUUGAGUGACCACGUGGCUAAUGAUUUUCAUAAUGAAAUCCUUCACUUCUCAUUCCUAAAAUUUGUACAUUAUGAAUUAUGAUCUUACACAAGUCAAUUAAAAAUCAUCACUUAUCAUGGGUGUAAUAUUAGUAAGUAUUUAUGCCAAUAAAAAACUAUUUGCAAUCUGAAUUACUUUUUAUUCCAAUAAGUAUUUUUAACAUAAAGUUUACUCAUUUUCGAAUCUAGCCUUGAACAUGCAGCCGUGUUAAAACUUUUAGGGAGAGUCUACCGUCCAUUUGGGUCCCACAAUACUUGAGGGAUUAGUUUCCGCAGUUGCGCGCGGAGGAUAUCCGAUUUACACCAAAAAAUAUAUUGACCAAUUUUGUAAUGGAUGUUUUAAUUUUUAUUUUCUCUUUAUUUGUCUAUUAUAUUUUUUCUUUUUGCAAUCCAACCUGUAAUUGCGAACCUUUAUUUAUUUAAAGUUAGGAAAAAAAAUUGCACAAACCAAAAUGAUAUAUAUUAAUAACAAUGUUGAUCCACCCUGCACAAGGUGUGCUAAAAAUGAAUCAUCGAACAAGAGUUACAAAGAACAGGCGCCAAAUAAAGUGAGGCACCAUCGAAAACAAUCCAAAAAUAAAUUACCGGGCAACACCCAUACACAGUAGCGGGUGUUUCCACCAAUCGAAAUAACUGUAAACAAAGGAUGGUUGCUUAGCUUUCACCCACAAGAAAGAAGUAAUCUUGAUUUUUUCAAUAAGAACACAAUGAUGUCAAGCCGCAUCUUUAAAAAUACCGUUAAUCUGAUCCUUCCAUAUGACCGAUGCACAUGCAAACCAAAUACCUUUUAAAAAAGAACGAGUGCACCGCGGUAAUCCCACCAUAUUGGUAAACUGAAUAUGAUGUUCACGUAACUCACAAGGAGACACCGCAUAUAAGCCUAACCAGUUCCACACAUGAUACCAUAAAUUAGUGGAUGUAUCACACUCCAAAAAUAGACGUCUAGAUGUUUCCAGAACCUCGCAACCAGCCGCACACAAAGAGUCUGUUGCUGAGAGUAUAUUCUGCGUCAAUAAAUUUGCUCACACUGGUAGUUGUAACGCCCUCUUUGAAUUAUUUAAUUAUUUAAUUGAGUCUAGAGUUUAUUAUGAUCAGUUUAUAUUAUAUUUAUAUGAUAUAUGUGUGAUUUAAGAGGUUUAUAUGAUUGAGGUGGUUUUAUGUGAUUUUAUGAGGAGUUGUGACUUAUUUUAUUGUUUAAUAAAAUAAGAUUUGAAAAUAAAAUAAUUAUUGAGUUUAGGGGUUGUUUUGAGAUUUUAGAGAGUUUUGGGGGAGAAAGAGAAAUAAGAUAAGAUAGAUGAAGGAGAUAUAAAUAGGGAAAACCUAGUUUAGAAAAAACAUAACGUACGAUCAGUUUUUGGAAAAAGGGAGAAAAAGCCAAGAGAAGAGCAAGAAGACCUAGAGGCUGCGAUUUUGAGUUAUAAGGUAAGGGUGAGACUAACUUUGCAAUUCUAUUAAGUCUGUGAUUCAAUGGUUAGGUUUAACAUGAUGUAGGAUGAGUUUUAGAGAAUUUGAAAACUAGGUCAAAAUUGUAGAAUUAUUGAUUAAACGGUGGAAACUUGUUAGAUUGAUGUAGAAACAGUUACUAGACCUUAGAUAAUGUGUAGGGUGAAUUCUGGAAUCAAUGUUGGGCUUAAAAUCAUGAGAAAAGAUGAAUUUUCGUGAAAACUUCACUUCUGCCCGAGCCAACAUUCAUCGCUCGCCCUCGCGAACGAUGAUCCUCGCCUCGCGAGUGAUGAAGUUCAUCGCUCGCCUCGCGAACAAUUUCCCCUCGCCUCGCGAGUUGCACGUCGCAGCUCGCCAUAGCGAACAGUUGAACUCGCCAUAGCGAGCAUGACCAGAGAGCUAUUCAGAUUUCGUAAUUUUGACUUUUGAGUUGAUCCUUGGAUGUUUUUGAGUGCCUGAACAUGUCUGAUAAUGAUUAGGAAAGAUUAGAGAAUGAGAUUGAACCUGAGAAGACUUUAGAAUGAAUUUUGUGAACUGAACCUGAACUCGCCAUGGCGAGCAGAGGCUCUCGCCUCGCGAGUACUUGUGUUACAAACUGCCUUGUUUAAGUUAAAUGCGAUCCUUGUCGCACGAGUUGAUGUGAGUUGAUCUUAGAGGUUAGAAACUAAGUUGUUUAUCUUGUUGUUAUUGUUCCAGUAAGACUGAUGCAUAUGAAUUGAUGUUGUUUAUAAUGUUGUAUAUACAUUAAAUGGAUUAUGUUGAUAAUUGAGAUAUUGUUGAUUGUAUUCGAUAUUGUUAUAUAAUGAUGAUUUGCAUACUGCCUAUGUUGUUGUUGUUAUUUAACUAAGCAACAUAAGUUGGUCUAAGUUGAUGACGAUGUUGUUCCAAAUUAUUGGACUUAUAAGAUGAUGUUGUUCUAAGUUGUUAAGAUGUUGUGUCCAUGCAUUAGCAUUCAUUGUUAGGGGCUUGAUGCCCUAGAGCCUUUGCUCAACCACGUUGGGGGCUUGAUGCCCUGGAGCUUUAGCUCAAUUAAGUUGGGGGCUUGAUGCCCUGGAAGUAUAUUAAUACUUAUUACGUUGAGGGAUUGAUGCCCUGGAUUGGUACCACAUGCAUAUAAGAGGUCGAAGUUGCACAGUCGCAUUUGUCGAGUCAAAGAUGAUAAGUUGUGAAGUUGUGAUUGCUUAUAUGAACUCUGAAUGAAGUGAUAAAUGAUACAUUGUUAUCUAUGAUGAAUAUUAUGAUGGUUUAAUGUUGUUAAAUAUAAUUGUUGAAUUAUAUGCUUAAUAUUUUUUUUUUUUUUUGUGAAAUCUCACCCCUUCUACUUGGAAAUGUUGCUCUUCGUAUGAGUAACUUGCAGGUGAUCGAGAAUAGUUGCUUUGCUGUCGUGAGUGGUUAUCCCUCACUGAGUCUUUAGGUGCUCUGAUACGUAACGGGAUGGGAUCUUUUGUGGCUAUUUUCCAUUUCUUACGUAUUUGAUUAUGAUUUCAUGACUAUGUCGUUUAAACUGAAUUUAUGAGAUAUUGAUAAGGCCUGCGUGCCAAGACUUAUUUAUGUUGAAGAAUUUAAUCCGCUGCGAAUAUGUUGAUGAUUUAUGUUGAAGGAUAAUUAGUCAAUUAUCUCAUUUAUGACUUUUAGAAGUGUAGCAUUCCGUUAUGUGUUGAAUACUCUGAUUAUAUGUUUGAAAUUUUUAAGUUGGGAAAACGGGGUUUUACAGUAGUCUAUCACGAAGAAGGCGCCACACAAACAAAGACACCUUCGUCAGAAUGUUCCUAUGCCAGACAUCAUCAACAAGCCUCCUAUCCACCUGAUCCCCAAAUUCGGUAAUAAAUCGAUAUGCAUCCCUCACCGAAUAACCGUGUGUAGGAUCUAGAAGCCAACUCCACCUGUCAUUAACAUCAUCCUGCAAAACAAUGUUAUGUAAUAAUACUAAGCAUUCACACUUUCCUCCUCCCAAGCUAACAGCCGACAUCUCCAUACCCACGCUCGUCCCCCUUCACCCCACCCCUCUCUCGCCAUCUCCUCCACCGCACACUCUCCUUAUUUAUCGCCAAAUCAAAAAGACGGGGAAACCUGAAUCGCAAAGGCGUGUCCCCCACCCAAUGGUCGAACCAAAACAAAAAACUGCGUCCAUGACCCACUACUCGACGGAUAUUACGUUCAAACCAAUUCCUCACUCCCUCACCUACUCCCCCACGGACCUUACACAACAUCCUCCACCAUAACAAACAAUGUUUACCUCCCUCCUUUAGUCGCCCCCCUUCCUCUCCAUAAUGUGAUUUUAAGACACGAUACCAUAACCCUCCUUAUCAAUCAACAUCCUCCAAUACCACUUCCCUAACAGAGAAAAAUCAAACUCUCCCAACCUUCGCACCCCUAACCCUCCGUCCUCCUUAGGAACGCAAAUAGAGUCCCAUUUAAUCCAUGUUAUUUUCCUAGUAUCCUCACCUGGAGGGAUUUAAGAGAGGUUUUUCAAAAUUUUAUAAUCCUCUUAGCGGAACAAAUCCCAUUGAAACGGAUCUUGAUUAAAUCAUUAAUCACAAAUCAAACAGAAACUUAAACACUUUAAGAUUAAUGUGUUUACCUCUUGAAGAGCAGAACCUUUGUAGAAUAAAUAUUUCUAAUCACGAGCAAAGCAAAGUAGCGAUACCUCUACUUAGUCCACACGAACAGAACUUCUCCGAUGACCGGUGCAAGCCAAUUCUAACGGAGAUUCAAAGAGAACAAGGUUUAGAGAGCGACGACUAGGGUUUCACAACUUUUGUUAAUUAGGUUAAGCACUCACAAAAAAUUAGUAAUGCUUCAACACAAGGGUUCUAUUUAUAGAAUCACUUGUGUGGUCAGCAAGACAACACUUAAAUGCACCGUACCUUACGGUGGACCGCGUUUCUCUAUUUUUCGUAAAUUAAAUAAUAAAGUCAUAUUUAAUUAUUUAAUUACUAAUAAGUCUCACUUAUUAUUUUAUAAAUAAGUCUCACUUAUUAUUUUAUAAAUAAGUCUUACUUAUUUAUUUCUCUCAUUUAUCUGUCCUUAGUGUGUGACCCUAUAGGUUCCCGUAACGUUGGCAAUAAUAUUAAAUCACAUAUUUAAUAUUAUAAACAGUGAGCAUUAUCUAGCAACACAACACUGCUACCCAAGUGACGAAAAUGUCAUGUGAUCUGACGAAACCUUUCUGUGAUAAUGAUCAUGUGUAUAAUUACUCUUUUGCCCUCAUGUCUAUAUUGAACACAAGGCAUAGACCGUGUCAUCCUUGUCUAGUUCAAAAUUGGGCCCGUAGACAUUUCACCUGUUAUGUAGGAGGGGAAAAUUUCAUCUAGAUCACUCAUGUCCCUCAGCAUGAUUCAUGGAGUACUCAUCAACCAAAUUUAUAGUCAUCCUGUUACGGACAACGUUUGAAUGGUGACAAAGCACUCGACUCCAACAUCUAGGGUAUAUAGUGGUUUUAGGUCGAAGGGUGGAAUACACCACUAUCACUAUGGGAAUAUCGUAUGACACUUUUCAUAACUUUUAUUAUGUAGUAUUCUCAUGGCGAGUCAAUCAAAUAUAAACAUUACUCCUAAUAUUUAUAUCUAUGUGUAGACUUGAUAACUCUUUAUCCAUGAUCUGUGAGAUGUGAUCAUCAGUCUAUCCACAUAAUAGUCUCUAUGCUUUAAUUAUAUCCCUUUUCUCAAUAAAGCUUGAUUACGGAUACUUUAAAAAUAGUUUCCUUAUGUUUAACGGGGUCUCACAAUUAAGUUAAUUAUACUUAAUGUUCCAUUAAACAGACUAACUAUUCUAGGGACUUUAUUAUUUUGAAACAAAACAAAAUCAAUAAAGAAAUGUCUUAUUAUUAUAUAUUCACAAUAUAUAUUUAUAUCAAUAUCAUGAUACAAAGCCAAACCCAAUCAAUAUAGACCAGCUAUUAGGGCUUACUCCAACAUCACCCCUCCCCCAAUGGGCAGCGCCAAGUACACAAACUCCUACAAUCCCCACCAAUGGGCAGCGCCAUCUACACAAACGGAAUAGAUCCCCUUCUACAAUUCAUUACCAACGCUGCCUCCGCUAGCCAAGAGUCAGUCACAUUGAUACCCAUCAGCAUACUUUUAUGGAAAUUCACCUUCAAACCCGAAAUGUCCUCAAACAGAAGCAACACUGCACGCAUGGAACGCACAUUCUGCCAAGUUUUUUCACCUAUUUAAAGUUAGAAAAAUGAAUAUGUUAGAUAAAAAAUAUUACAUAAAAAUUAUGUGUGUUUUAUUAUUUCUACGUACUAUAAAAGGAGUCGAUAUGUCCACAAGUCUUAACUCAACUAGCAAAAAUGUCAAAAUUUUAAGGUUGGAUGUUGUGAUCGUGGUUCGAAUUUUGACUCCCUCGCUUAUGCGUGCGAGUUUAAUGGUUAUUUGUUAUUUCUUUUAUCUAAAAAAUGGGUCAAUAUUGUUACUUAUUUAUUUUAUCUGAUAACUCAUAUUUUUUUUAUUACAAUAGCAUUAAUAAUAAUGGCAAUCUUAUUAAAUCAUCCAUAUGUUUUCUUUUGACAAAUAUUAUUUAUAUGUUUUUGAAAAAGAAUAUCUAGAUCUAAGAAACUUUUUUAACGGCCAUAUGACAUGACAUUUUUAGUUAAGUAGGUUUUUUUCAAAAGUCUUGGACUUGUCUAUUUUCUAAAAUAUUAUCCCUAGCCCGAAUCUUAUGUAGGCUAUCUCACAUGCCCCCUAUGUUAACGGCAUCAUAUUUAAGAGAGGUUGAUUAUCAUCUUAUUUAAGUUUUCUCUUAGAUAUGUUAUGGUUACCUUGAACUUGGAUAUUCCUUUGUUUUAUAAGAUGAUUUAUAGCAAUGCAUAAGUCCAAAAUUUACGGAGGAUUUACAAAGCAUGAACGAGAAGAUAUAAAAUUUGAAGAAUACUCAUUUUGCAAAUGUGUUUAGUCAAGAGAUCAAUGUUAUUUCACUCUUUGAAGAUGAAACUCACUAUAAAGUAAAAAAAAUGUGAGACUUUGCAUGAAGGGAGAAUUUGUUACGUCAAAGUGGAUAUCCAUCCUAGUUUCACAAAGAGUAGUGUAAAGAAAGAGAGGUAAUGUUAUUAUAAAUAUGACAAGUUAGUUUUCUUCACCACAUCUUCAAUCUCUUGAGUCUACUAGAGGCUUGGGUAGAUGUAUGUCAUAAAAGGGUUUGUAAUUUUAUCGUGCAAAAAUUAAAAUUGAGAGGUUUGCGAUUAUGUUCUUAUAAAAAUUGCAAUUGUGUGAGAAUUGAGAUGGUUUGCUAUUUUACAUAUGCGUUAAAUAAUAUGACACUAAAAUGUCACAUUAAUUAGUUUAGCUUAUAGGUUUUAAAUUAUCUCAAUAAAUAUCUAUGUAAACAAAAUUAACAUCAUUGAGUAAGGGUGAUUAUAUAUAGGGCAGUUUUUGACCUAGAAUCACUCAUCUGCAAUUUUUUUUUCUUCCUUUCUUUCAAUCUAAAUAAGUGGUUUUCACAUAUAUCAAGAUUUUCUUGUUUUUUUUGUGAUUUCGUCGUCUGAGUGUGGCGUUGUAUUGUUCUCCGUCUUGUGCGGUGUUGUUGAUUUCGCGUCUUGUUGAUGUGUUCUUUUAGUUCCUAUUGAAAGAUCGACUUCAGACAAUUACAGAUUUAAUCAAUGAUUAUGGCGUCAACUUCUACGGAUUCAAAAAUUUGAGUAUUUUGGUGACUUGGAUUUUAUCAUUAUCUAUUGGUAGUUUGCAAGGUCGUUCCUAUGAAAUGGGAGGCUCGGCUCUCUAUUUAAAAUAGUUCCCCAGUAAAAUAAAAACACAAUUUGUUUGUGUACCGAAGCUUCAUUAAAAAAUCGGAGUUAUAAGAACUUCUAAACAUGAAACGAAAUAAAGAAAAAAAUAAGUGAAAUUUACUUAACAGUUUCGUUUGGAUUUGUCACUCCUCCGUUAUAGGAAAGGGAAAACAAAUGGCUUAUGCAAAAAAGAAUUGAUUGUUGCGAAGCUUUCAGUGAAAUAGAUUUUCAAAUUGAAUGAUUAAGUGAUUAUACAAAUUGGGGGUGAUUUGAUAGCACCAGAUUUAUGUCUAGAAAAGAGAACUAGAUUUUAGACAAAACUUAAAUGUGUACCGAUGAAAGAAAGAAAAAAAAAAGUAACGUAUAUUUUUUUAUUUAAUGGAGGGUGGGUAUUAGACUUAAUUUUUUUUUUUUAGACCCAUAACUUUUUGAGGCCUGACUUGGUUGAGCACCUUAUACUCUUGCAAGGCCGGGCCUGGUAGUUUGUCAUUGUAUGCAUUAACUAUGGUGUUCUGAGUUUGUUCGUAGACUCACUCUUUAUGUUUUAGCGAUAUUGAACAAAUUAUUGUAUAUGAUGUACUCUAUCAAUUCAAAUGAAUGAAUAUUUUUUUGUUUUUUUUAAAAAAAAAAUUACAUCAUUGCAUAGAAACUAAUCUCAUUAACUAUUGCCAAUGAAUUUCAAAAACCAAAAUAAUGAUAUUCAAAUCUGAAUAUAAGUCAAAAGCAGGCCACGAAAUUUACUAAAGACAAGUAAUAGCAUCCUCUCUUUCUUAACUUACAUUUAUACCAUAAACUAGUCCUAGACUAAUAUGGAGGAAGACGUGCCUUAAAAUAUUCAUAGAAUACACCUAUAAAUCACAAAACAUAAAGUCAUUUAGAAAGGACAUAAACUCACACACAAAUACAAGAAGAAGAGCCAAGAUCUAAACAUGGAAGCCAACACUUUUGCAAGUUUUUCUUUAGGUCAUGUUCUCAAAUUUGCAAUUUUGAUUUUGCUAGCAAUAUCUAGCAUCACUUCAGCAUGUGAGGACAAUUCUACAAUCCCUACCAAUUCCCCCAAAACAAACCUUUCAUACACUUCCAAUGCUCCCUCAAAUUCCACCAACACCAAUGAUUUCAAAACCUAUAUAAAAAAUUCAUGCAAUUCAACCACAUAUCCAUAUAUAUGUUACAAAUCUUUAUCUCCCUAUGCUUCAACAAUUGAGGCAGAUCCUCUAAAAUUAUGCAACACUUCUCUCUCGGUUGCAUUAAAUGCGGCUCGCGAUGCAUCCUCCGCCAUAUCAAAGCUUCUAAACAACGAUGAGAAUAAAUUGUCAAGCAUUGGUGAAGAAGUUGUGCAAGAUUGCCUUGGCAAUGUGAAGGAUUCAAUAGAACAGUUGCAAGAUUCUCUUGAUGCCAUGGCACAUUUGGAUGCUUAUUUUGAUAGAGAAUUUCAGAUUAGUAACAUGAAGACUUGGGUUAGUUCAGCCAUUACUAAUGAUCAAACUUGCUAUGAUGGGUUUGAUGAUAUGAAUGUGGAUUCUACACUUGGGGACAAGAUUAGAAGAAGAGUUUUGAAUGUGGCAAGGAAGACUAGCAAUGCUUUGUAUUUUAUCAACAAUAACAUAUAUUAAUUAAGGUAUAAGUUAAUAAAUUGAGGCUUUUUUAAACGGUUUUCUUUUGAGUUUGGUAUGUUAUUUGUGUUCAUAGAGUGAAAAUUGAAGUUAAAAUGGUUUGUAAUCAAGUUAAUUAGUCUUAAAUAUGUGCUUUUGAUCGAUUCAUGGUCGUUUUUGGUUUGAAUUCCAAACAUGUGCCAAGCGGGUUUAAAGGAAUUGAGUGGAUGUAUUAUAGAGAUAUUUAAUCAUAAUCUAAUUUAUUUGAUAUUUUAUGUUCCAUCAGUUUGUUUUAGUUUUUGUUUUUUAAAAAGUCGGCUUCCAAAAAGUUAUUUUGAAUAAUUUAUCUUAAAAAUCAUUCUUGAUAGGUGAUUUAAAAAGAAUCAUCACAUCACAGUAAACAAAAUACAAAACAGUUUCUAUUUCACUUAAUAAUUUUUAAAAAAUAAUUUUAAAAUUAUUAAAUGCUAAAAUCAUAUAUUUUAUAAUUGGCAGCAAACUAAUCUCUAAUCUUUCAAUAUACUUUUUUUUUUUAAACUAAAAAUGAAUAUAUUAAUUGAAUCACUCAAUCCUCCUAGCACAAAGAGUGUCAGGAAAACACAAUGGAAAAGAGAAAUAUGUUACAUCAAAAUCGAAAAGAAACAAGAAUAAAGAGUCAAAAACAAAACUUACUAGAAAACAACUGAUCAUGAACAAAAACAAAAAAAAAGGUUAGACCAUCAUAUCUGAUAGUUAAAAACAAAAUUAACGCUUUCGGCCACCAAGAACAAUGAUGAAUCUUAAUGUGAUUAGAUUUUCAUAUAGUCAACCAACAACACUAUAUAACCAAGCCUCUUGGUGGUGCUUAGAGGUUCAAUUGGUUCUUGGCCACCAAUACCCAUGCAUGUAUCACGAUAGUAAUUAGUCCUUGUUUAGAAGCUUUAGAGUAAUAACAAAAAACUUGACAACAAUGUUGAUCAUAUUCUUGUUUGUAUUUUUCUUUGAAUUGAUGAAAACCGCCCAAUCUGGCUCAGACGUGACAAAUGGUCACUAUAACACCAAGCUUACAAUUUUAAUAUUAUUUUAUAUUUCAAUAAUCAUACCUAACUAAUUCUAAAUCAAAGGCAAAAGAUCAAUCUCAGAUUGCACGUCAGAUAAGCAUUAAGAGCAGUAAUAAAGACAGUGAUAAAAUGUUAUAGAAUUUAUUUAUAGCUAGUCAUACCAAGUAUUUAUAUUCAAUUCCUAGCUAGUUAUACUUAAUCCCGACAUAAAGAUAAAAAAAAAAAAAAAAAAAAUUAAUCAGCAAAAUUUUAUUAAAAAUUAGGUCUCUGCACAAGACAAACAGAGACCGAUGUCACAGAAAGUACAAACUAAAGGCGUCGUAUAUAGGCGGAACACCCGAAAUAAACACCCACAAAGACACCCUUGCGAUCAACACUCAUAAGGACAACACCCACCAAAAUAAACAUCACCCCCUAAAACUGACUUCUAUGUUUAACAACCACUAAAAAAACGACAUUCAUAACACUCAUCGUCACUACUCACCUCAAAAGAACACCCUUGAAAAAGAGGAACCAUUCCUUAUCACCAACACCGAGCCAAAUUCGAGGAACUCCUUUUCUAAAGAUCAUUCAACUUCCGCCACCGCUUAACCUCCGGUCCACCGAAAGAACACCAAAAAAGCCCAAAACCAAACUUGAACCAAAGAACUAACUCCUGAUCUCGAAUCAAAAGUGAUCGGCCCACAAGAGUUCAGGACCAAAUCAGAAGGACACUCAUUACCCCCCGGUCGACCAGAGAACCACUGUAGCUCGCCAAACAAAAAUGUUGCUAAAACGCCAACUCCCGAUCUUGAAGCAAAAUAAUCGGCCCAUCAGAAUUCAGCACACAAUAAGUAAGACAGACAGCAUGAUUUGCGAUAGAGCAAACAUCAGUCAAAAAGGAAAAAAGCUCAGCUUGAAUGACAGACACCCUCAAAACACUCUAAACACCAUAACAACCUAAAACUCAAACAAGAGCUAGCGACAACGAGUAUGGACCCGAAUAACAGAGGCAACCUCCAAUAGAAAUCAUCCACAACAACCACCCACCACCGAACCUAAGCAACACCAACCACCACCACACUUCAUCACCCCCACCACCACCACACAUCAACAACACCACUCAACACCAUCACCACCACCACCAAAACUGAAUAACCUCCACCACCACUGCAUCACCACUACCAACACUGCAUUACAACGUUGACAAACCUCCUCACGAAGAAACAGGCAGCAACACAAACAUAAAUAUGGAGGAAGACGAAAUCCAACAACAAAACACGGGCAUCGACGCCGGUUUGAAGCGAAAAGACAACCCAGAUCGUAACAAGGUUGCCGCCAGUGACAAGGAGAAGGCGCAACGGCAUCUGACAACAACAAAAACGAAGGAUGACAUCGCCGAAACAAACACAAAAAAGACACAAACGGCAACACCCAAAAAAAAAUCAGCAACACCCAAAGAGGACGGUGGCGCAAAACCACCACCCACUCCUUCGGCAACCAACGACAUCACAACACAAACAGAAAACAACUAUACGACAUUAAAGGAACAAAACAGUCCCCCCGGAGAAGUCGGAACAGCUGACAGAAACACACACUACACAACCACAACCACCCACCUCUUACCCGCUAGUGAACCAUUAACGACCACCCCCAUAACGACCUCUCACUGGCGCAACAGACACACCACUUAACCACCACCGAUCCACCCCAUAUCCACCACCGAGUCACCACCAAUCAACCACAAAUAACUUAACCCACCAAAAACAAGCUCGAAAACAGCCAUAAAAGGAACAUAUCUGAACACCACUCAAACACACCAUGGAAACCAUACAGAGGAGAUGAAGAAACCACCACAAAUCACCUUAAAAACCACCACCACCGCAAGUUAUGAUCUGAGGAAACCCAGCCGCUGGCGCACCCACCAGAGACCAGAGGUGAUGCGGAUGGUUUUCCAUCUUCGCACCACCACCCACCGCCGUUUACAUUGAGAACCAAAGAAAUUUGGAAAGAAGGGGCGGCAGAGAUAAGGAGUUAGAGAGAAUCCAGAGAAAGGUACUUUUUAGAGAGAGAAAGUUUUGUGUUGACAACAUAAAGAGAAAUUAACUACACAUAUUGUAUAAAUCUUAUUCAUUCAUGGAUCGUGAACUCGGUUAGUUCUCAGAUUGUUCAGUCUUAUUUAUUAAGAAUGUUGUUGAUGUUUGGAAAGAGUUAAAGGAACAAUUUUCCAAGUUUGAUCACAUUCAUGUUGCUAAUCCAUCAUCAAUUCUUUGAAACAAGGUUCACUUUCCGUUACUGAUUACUUCAUUGCACUACUACAAUAAUGGCAAUUAGUAACAAUUGAAAAUUGUAACUAAAUCAAGAAAAAUGUUACUAAUUAAAUUUAGCAACACUUGAACAAUUGUUAAGUAAAGCCUGUGUUAUUAAAGUGUUUUAGUUACAUUUUAUAGUACUAUCUGUAACAAUCAAAAAGUGUCGCAAAUGGUACCUUAUUGUAACAUUUUUUGUAUCACUUGUAACAAUAAAAAAGUGUUACAUUUAUAAUUUUUGAGGAGUUGUAAAAAGUGUCGCAAAAUUGUCUAAACUAAUUUUUUUUAAUUUACCAAAUUUGUCUUUGCUUAGACUUCAUUCAUAUUUGAAUUAACCAAUAUUAGAUACAAGUUUUAAUAACUAGUUUGAAUUACAUACUCUAUAAAAGUUCCCCUCUUCUCUGUUCUUAUUCUUGCAUGACGAAAAUAAACUAUGCAACACAAUUUGAACUAUACAACACAAUAUGAAUUACAUACAAAAAUGAUUACAAUUAUGUUUUCAUCCAACACAAUUUCCCCCUUCUCUUUAAGGUCAUCAAGCUGCACAUGAGAAAUGCAAGCCUUCUCUUUAAUCUCCUUUGUCUUGUGUCGUUGCUUAUCCGCAAUCAUCUUCAUAAUGUUCUGCCUGCAAGAUUGCAGACAUCCCUUCCUUAUCUCAUCACCAGUAUUGUGCAACAAUUUUAAUGCAAAGGACGAUUCUGUCAUGAAAAUCAUUUUCAAUUGAAACUUACCAAGCUGCAACGUUCAUACCAUGCUCAACAAGGAUACUAAGAAAAACAAGUGUAAUAGCUAAUAGAGAUAAUCUUAGAAUUCACAAUUCAAUUAGAAUAAACAACAGCAGGGGAAUUUGCAUUCAACAGAGACUUCAUAGAUAGUGGAGACAUAGACUUCAUACACGAGCUUUUGUAUCUGAACAUGAUAGGAGUUUAACUCUAAUAUAGAUAAUCUUAGAAUUCAAAUCAUAUAUCAAUUCAAACAUUGUACAGUGAUAGAAAAGUAUAUAUGGCACUGGGAACACAUUUAAAGGAACUUGGUGGCUGUCAUAGAUUCAGUGGAGGAUGUCUUCCUAGUGGCCACUAAUCUUAAGGUGUCACAUGAAUAACAAUUCAAUUCUAGUGUUUUGCAAACAAAUCCUAAAAAUAAAAAUAAUAAUGAACCACAACUGAAGAAUUCUAUAUUUUGCAGACAAGAAUCAGAAUGACAAUUAACUAACAAUUCAUUAUUUGUGAUGAUCAUUAAAAUAAGUAUAGCAACCACUAAGACCAACACCAGCAAGAACUAAAUCAAACCACAACAUCAAGAGACAAAACUAACCAGAAGGAAUACUCAACAUUAAUAGUUAGUUUAAUAAUUCUAAAUAAUGACACAUUACAAUGCCAAAGGACACCUAUUUUCCAGAACAAGUACAUUCAAGGCAAGAAAAUGAACCGUAAAAUCCAAGGGUCUGCAUGUUCGUAAUAUUAAGGUUAGCUGCAGCUUUAAAAUCACAGUAUAUCAUAUCCGCUGUAACAAGAGCUGAGAAAAUUUCACAACAAAAAACCCCAAUUACGAACACAGGAAGUCAGAAAGGAACGAGAAAACUAAAUCCACAAAAAAGACAAGGAAACGUGAAGAAAUCAUUGUCAAAGUAGAGAUAACCAAAUGAAAGCUUAACAACGGCAGCCAAUUGCAGAUUCUUGUGCUCCAUUAAGGUCCCCUUUAAACUAAGUCCUUGCUCCAAUUGCAGAAUCUGUGAGGAAUACCCCAUUUUGGAGUGAAUAUUUUUAUUCUUGUUUAUAUAUAACCACAAACAGCAGAAAAAUAGAAAAAAAAUUAUAUUCUGCUACAAUGAAUCAACCAAUGAUGGUUAAGAAGAAAAGAUAAAUUCAGGAAGAGAACUUGCAACUACAACCAUUUUGUUAUUGACCUAGCAAAUUUUACCUUGUCCCUGCCUUUUUUUCUCUUGAUGUGCUAUGCUUUGCUCUGUGGGGAAGAUAUACUCAUGAGGAAAUUAUUCCGUCCGCUGCUUAAUAUCUUAUUAAAAACUAAACCUAAAAUAAACCACAAAAUAUUUGUACACGGUUAACUGUAGCAUUAACUCCUCCAUUCAGCUAACCUACCAAAAUAAAUAACUUUCUAAGGGAAACUAAACCUACAGGGUUGUAAGAAUAAGGCUCAAUCGCUCAUAUAACUUCUUCCUUAAUUAGUUCUAAAUAUACUCUUAAUCAAUGUAUUCAACAUAGCUCAAACAUCGGUGAACUUCAAAAUCAAAACCAGUAUAUCAGAAGAAAAUAAAUGCAUUACAACCACAAUGUAGCAUAUAAAUAAAGAUGAAGGAAAAAUACUACAAGCAAUGCAAUGCACUCCACAAUCAAUAGCUUAAUAACUUAUUCAUUUGUCAUGCGCACAUAACAUGAUGAGCAUAUAUACAAUUACGUUCAGAAAGAAAACAAAAGUAAUUUCUCAUAGAAGUAAAUCUGAAAACAAAAAACAUUAUAAAUUCACAAUUCAAACUUCAUAGCAAACAAGACAUCCUUGACGUGAUAAGAGUCUCCGCUCUUUGAGAUUAAAAACGAUAUCGAGCUGCGAGGCAACGACUUAUUAGCACCUCAUCACAGUACUUCAAAUCGACCUCUCUCAGUUGUGUGCAUUUUUCAACCACAUGCGUCACUCCUUUGUCUGCAACACCUUCACAAAAUUUAAGUGACAGUUGCAAAAGCCCGCUGCAACUCUUUGAGAUCCAAUAGAGUGAUAUAUUGUCAACUCUUGUAAAUGACAAGUCCAACACCUCCAGUUUGGGAACUUCAAAGUUCAAUGUACGUAGCUUCAGUCUUAGCGAGUUAAAUUCAAAUGUCUAAUGUUACAACAUAUCAUUAAAACAUGAACAAUACCUUCUUCAGAUAUGUCUUUGCAAUGGCUCAAAUCAAGUAGCUGUAAAUUUGGGAAACAAUCAGCAAUGAGGAACAGGUCAGUGCGAUUGAUAGAUUCAAUGAAGGAACACGUGAGAGAGGUUAAAGUUUUAAUGUUUUGAGAGAAAGCUUGCAACCCAUUUGUCGGGAUGGUGGUUUGCACUGAAAAAACGAGUGAUGUGAGUCUCAAUGGAAAACUAGAGAUUUGGCAUAGAAGCUUGUUGAGGUAAACCCGAGUAACAAAACUUAAUACCAUAGUCUAAAUCUAGAACAAUUGAUUACUAUAUCUAAAACUAUUUCAUUCUCUGCCUCAUGUAACAAAGCUUAAAAUUACAAACUCAUUUCUAUGAACAACAAACACUAACAUUAUUACUACUACUUCUCAACACAAAACUUCAGUUAAAUUUCUUAUACUUACGCACGCGGCAACAUCAAUCAAACACAGAUUUCAAAAAAAUACAAAAUUGAGUUUGAAGAGUAAUCAGCAAAUUCUAAACAACUUUUUUUUCAAUCAUAGAUCCACUAGAACAAAAAUUGAGUUAAAUUGCGAAUGAAAAUCAUGGAUCUACGACUGUGAAGUUAAUUUCGAUUCAAACUCAAACAAUUGAGUUAAAUUUCAAUUCAUAACAAAUCCACCAAUCCACUCUAGGAUAAUUUCUUAUUCUUUGGCAACAUCAAACACAUGAAUUUCAAAGAAAUUAUAAAUCACAAAUGCCAAACAGAACAAGAAGAAUUUGAGUUAAAUUGUGAAACGAAAAUUAAACACAUAGAAUUUCAAAACAAAAUUCAAACAAUGUGAACGAAAUAGAUGACUCAUAACAGAAAAAAAAAAAAAAAAAAAAAAAAAAGCACGGAUCUAAGAUAAUUGCGAUGAAAUCUAAGCGAAAUCAAAAAAAUGCGCGAAAAAUGCGAAACCGAAGAAGAAUUCGAGUGUUACCUGCUUGAGCGAAAGAGGAAAAAGGAUUUGUGAAAUUAGAUCUGCAACUGUGAAAUUGGAUGAUGACGUUCAAUGGAUCCGCGACCGUGAAGCUCGAUCGGUGAAGUAUGAAGCUCGACGGUGAGAUUCAGUUCCGUGAGAAGCUCGACAGAAUGAGAAUGCGUGACGGUGGAGGGUGAGAGGGAUGAAUGACGGUGUGAAAUUCGUCGGUGAAGCUUAACGGUGGUCGAUGGUGUGAGCGUGACGGUGGUCGAAGGUGUGCGACGGUGGAAAAGUGGUUCUGCUGAAUUGAGAUCUCGGUGAGAGAGAAAAGUGAUUUUUGAGGGAAGAGAGAGAAAAGUGUUUCUCAAUUGCUUAUAACACUUUUUUUACUUUUUUUAUUUUGACUAUUGUUGACUAAAUUUUUUAACAUGUGAAUGAAUAAUGAAUGGGUUGUUGCUUGUAUUUUUUUUUUUUUUUUUAUGGAUGGUACUUGUAGUGGAUGUAACACUUUUACUCAAUUGUUACUAUAUCACUAUAUCAGCUAACAAUUUUUCAAGUGUUGCAAUCACCAUGUUACUAAAAGUCAUUAUUGUAGUAGUGUUCAGUUAAAGAUUAUUUGGGACGAAUUAGAAAGUUAUUGUCAUCUCCCUACUUGUACGUGCCAUCAUCAGUGCCAAUGUUUAGCUAUGCCUAAUCCUAAGGAUUUUCAUUUAGAGGAUCAUGCACUACAAAUCCUCACGGGUCUUAAUGAUCAAUUUUCCGUCGUUCAAACACAAUUUUUUUCAUGGAACCUUUAUCAUGUCGUAAUCGUGUUUACUUUUAACUCUUGCAAGAAGAGAGUAAAGUUGUCUUUGAAAGCAUUAAUCUUGAUGAAUCCAAAUCUCUUGUUAAUUUUUCUGACUCAGAAGUUUCAUGGUAAAAAGAAACCUCUUUUUUCUUAUGGUUAUAAGAGCGGGCUUUGCACCUUUUAUGCAUGUUAAGGUCACAUUGUAGAUACUUGUUAUAAGAAGCAUGGAUUUCCACCAAACUUUGGUCGAAUUUCUUCUGUGAAUAAUACAGAAUCAUCGCCUGAUAAUGUGUGUGUGGCUAGAAAUGUUGAAGAGCCACCAAAAGUUCAAUCAUCUUCAGAACCAAUGUGUUGUAAUCAAAUGCUGAAGAGCCACCAAAUACUAAUAAUUUACCCUCUUUAUUGUGUUGUAAUCAAUGCAUUUAAAUUUAACUUAAUUUUUUUAUUAAUUGAUUGUACAAAAUUCAAAAGAAUGUUUCUACUUUUGAGUUUUUACAUCCUAAAACAAAAGUAUUAGAACAUCCAAAUUUGAUAUCAAUUCCAAGUUUCAAAAACUUCACUAAGUUUUUUGAGACUUCAAACUCUCAUAUAUAUAUAUAUAUAUAUAUAUAUAAGGAUAUUUUAGCAAUUUACUUAAUUUAUUAUCGAAUAUGGGUACCCACAAGCACCAGUAUCAUCAAAUUCAUGUUUGUAUCAGUAAAGUAACGCAUAGUUAAAUACAUUUUUAUUAUACAUGUGGAUACAUGUUUAGCUACCUGCGCUUGUGCGGUUUUGCCCGUGACAAAUUUUACCCGCGUGCAUGAAUAUUUUUGUCAUCCCUAGUUCCAUCAUCUCUAAUUCAUGUGAUUCUUACUCUUUUCAAUUUCUUUUUAUUUAUUUUUAAUUCACAAAUUGAAGUACACAUUAGUAGACUUAUUCAAAUAAUCUUUUUAGUUUACUAUUAUUAGAGACGAGUCCUUAAUAGACACUUUUAUUAAAAUAUUAUAAAUAAAUGAUACGUAUACAUAGGACUUAUUUAAAUACCCUUUUUAACUUACUAUCAUUGUGGAUGUUCUAAAUACAUUUACGUACAUUAAAACUUUUUUAAUUUCAAUUUUUUAAAUGAAAAUUGAUUUUAAAACAAAUAAUUUGUUGACCGAGACAUGUCACUUUAGCACUUAACAUAGUUAGAAAGAAAGAAAAAAAAGGAUAACCGUGCAAACUACAAAUCAUUAAAGAGUUAAAUAACCAAUUUAAAACUUAAAAAAGCACCGGACAUUCAUGCAGAUGCUUUGGUUUUUGUGUGUGGAUAGUUUGGAACGAAAGAAAUAAUGGAAUAUUCAAGAAUACCCAACUUAAUAUGAUAGAUCUUGUAGAAAAGGUUAAGUAUAAUUCAUUGUGGUGGCUAAAAAGCUAACAAUGGCAACUUUAUUUAUGGCACGAGUAGAUGGUGAUCAAAUCCGUUACUUGUUUGGAUAUCAACUGACUUGUUUUUGUAAUUAUACACUGCUUGUUCUUUGGGGUGGUUUCUUUAGUACACUUUAUGCUAAAUAGGAUUCAUUGCCGUUGUUAAUAUAUUCUAUUUUUUAUUCUUAAAAAAAAAAAAAAAACUUAAAAAACAUAAAUGACUAAUAUGAUACAAAUAUAAAAAAUUUAAAGGACCUCGUUCUGCAUUACGUAUAUUUUUCUACACAUUUAAUUACUUAACAUGAGUUCUACAUGUCAAAAUUCUCUCUAUUUUUCCAUUAUCAAAGUUUUAGAAAUAUAAAUACAAUAUUGUGAUAUUUGAUGGUUCCAAUUAUAUAACAUAUACCACAAUGUUCUUUAUUAUAAGGGGAAAAUAGUUUUUUAGAUUUAUUUAAUAAAUAAUGUAUUUAGUAUAUAUUAGAGAUCAAAUAUAAUAUCAUUUAAGCAUGAGUUUUCUUAAUUCUGGUGUUUUGAAUCAUUCAACAAUUAGUAUAUUUUGCCCUAUAACUCGGUAUUAAAUAUCCAGUUAUAAAUGAUGCAUUUAGUUUAUAUCAAACAAUUUUUUAAAUUCUCGUGUUUUCUUAAAACAGUCAUAUGGAUCGAUGUAAUAUUUUUUUUCUUUUUUUACGUCAAAGACAAUUUCAUUAAUAAAAGUCUGGCAAUAAAAUAAAUGACAAGACUACAUAAAUACAAGGCGGAGUCUCUUUGAUCCAUUUGCAAUCUGAAUUAUGAAGAGCAUAUUUAGUGAAAUAAUUAGCAACUUGGUUGGCUUCACGUCGAACAUGCAAAAAAAUUAAACUAUGAAGCAAACAUUAAAACUAAUACAAUCUCCAAUAAUAGAGCAAACAUAGGUGGAAGAUUAUUGAUGAGCAUUCAACGCUAAGACCACAUUAGAAGCAUCUGAUUCUGCUAUGAGAUUCAAAAAAGAGAUGUAUUUUGCAAAUUUCAAACCCUUCCGCAUAGCCAAGGCUUCUGCAACCUCUGAAUUUGGUAAUGAAAAGACUAGUCAGCAACUAGCAGCAAGGGUAUCACUUUCAUUAUUUCUUACUACAACAUCAAUACCCACUUACCAUCAUCUAUCAGACCUGAUGCAUCAACAUUAAGCUUAUAGAAAUCACUAAAAGAAUAUGUCCAAUGAACAUCAUAUAUUGGCAAAAUUAGACCACCAACAACAUCAUACAAACACUCUUAAAAUUUACAAUAAAUCUUUGUACUUUUUAAACUGUGGCAACCCCAUCAACAUCAGUCCACACAAAAUAUUUAUAUUUUUUAAGAUACUAAGUUGAUUUAUCAUUAAACCCCAACAAAAGUAAAAAAUUAACAAGUUGUACGUAAAAAGAAGUGGAAAAAGACAAAGUCGGUUGAAAGGUGGGAUUAUUUUAAUUUGAGUAUAUUGAAAAGUGGGAUUCACAUAUGGUCAAUCUCAACAAGUUAUCAUUUCAGACUUGGGUUGCCUUUUUAUAGUACAGAAUAAUGGUGACCUUUUGAGCAUUCAUAAAUUUAAUUCAAAAUAUUUUCCUUUUAUUUAAAUAUUUAAAAGGCUAGCUCAGUGAUAAGGGUCUUAUAGCUUUAAAGAUAUUUUUCCUUUAAGCCCUUUAAGUUAUUUAAUUAUAAUUUUUAAUUCUCAAAUAACUUAUAUUUUUAAGAUCUAAAAUAAUUUAAAUUGUUACAAUUAAUUAACAUAAUGGAUCUAAGUGGUAUAAAAAAACUUAAAAGAUCAAUUUAUUGCAAUUAAAUACUUUAAAGGACCUCUGAUGUAAUUUAGCUUAAAUUAUACUACUUCAAUUCUAAAUAAAAUCAAAACAAACUACUUCUUCCGGUCACAUUUAUUAACAAACACUAGACCUCAAAGCCACCUCCACGAUCUAUUGUUCUAUUUGCUAUCAGAUUUCCAUUAUCAAAUCACCCACCAUUUAUAUUUAUGCACCAAAUCCAUUGAUGUUGAGUUUGAGGGAUGUGUUGAAGAGUCUCACAUUUGAUUCGUGAUUGCCUAAAUAAAUGAUUAUAAGUGAUAACAAUCAUCACAUCACACUUCGCUUUUAUGGUGUUGAUUUAGGCUCAACCACAAAUUUUAAGAUCUAUCACCCCCAAUUUAGACUUCAUCAAAACCAUCAUUCAUGGAAAAUUCAUCAACUGACCCUCCAAAUAUUAUAUUGAAGGCACUAUACACUAUCAAACUCAAAUUGGUCCUCUCUUUGGCCAUCAGAUUUUCAUGCAAACUGCGCAUGGAUCCGCACAAUUUGAGUCUUAAGUCCAAUUUAGGAUACAAAUUGUUUUACAUAUUUAGUUUUAGUAAAAUAUAUAUAUUAUAGCAAAAGUAUAUUGGUGAAUUGCUAGAGAAAUUUAAUAUGGAAAGUUGUAAUUCAAUCUCAAAUCCAUCAGAGACUAACUAAAAGUUAGAUGAAUGCAAUGAAUAAGAGAAAGUGGAUUCAACAGAGUUCAGACAAAUGAUUGGAUCAUUGAGAUAUCUUUGCAACAGCUGGCCAAACAUUUGCUAUUCAAUCAGUGUGAUUAGUAACUUGGUGUUUUUGAGGCAAAUGUUUUGUUACAUUAAUUUGCUAAGAAUUCAAUAAGGCAUUAAAAUUUGAUAGAUUUGAGUUUUUAGGAAGAAACUUGGUGUUUCUCAACAUUCAGCAGUUAUGAAUUAAGGGCGAGCGUUAAGAUUUAAUCCAUAACUGCCAUGUAGCAAGUUAGUUAGAAUUUUGUUACAAAACUUCUUAGUUAGUUUGUUAGUUAGAUAGCUUGUGCUACAAACAAGUGUUAUAUUUGCCUAUGAAAGUCUUUGUAAGGUGUACAUUCAAUUCUUAAUGAGAUUCACAAUUACAAGCAAACUCUCUCCAUUCUCUUCUCUGUCAGUCUUACAAGUUUGUUUGUUAUUUUCUCAUCUUGCUUAAACCAGCUUAUUCUGAAAAGCACUUAUGUUACACAUAUUGAUCAAAGCUUGAUCUAACAUGAACACUUUCAACUCUAUGCAUGAGAUCGCUACCCAAACAAGUGUUCAUCAUUGCAAAACCUUCAACUUUCACUUUCUUUUUUCUUUACAUUAAGAGCCGACAAUGUCUAGCUUCAAUUCCAACGACCAUAGGUCGUAUUUUAACAAACUAAACAGGUUAAAAAAUUCCACAUGUUAAAGAUCUACAAGAGCCCUAAGGAAAUUUUGUCAUUGAAGCAUUUUGUGAAAAUGAAGCUUUUUCCCCUAUAAAUCAGGAUAAGCAAAUUAUUCUUUUCAUGAAAUUUAGUUAUUCUUGCUGUUGAUGGACCCUUUGGUAGACAAUCUCAAUUUCAACCGCAUCAAGAGGUCACAUAUUUUUGAGGUGGAAAAAAAUCCCUCCACAUACGGUACCUUACAUUGAGAAUGAAACGAAUAGCGAAAACAAAGAAAAAGUACAGUUGCAAAGUAUUCAAAAUACGUUUAUAAUUUAUUUUGUGAAAAAAAUAAAUACCCUAACUUUUAAUUUUAUGGGUGUGUCAUUCAUUACUCAUUGGUGUGUUUUCUUCCAAUGUUAUAUUGAAUUUUCUUAGGUGUGUUUGAUGUUGAAAUGAAAUUUGUCUGGAUCCAAACAUAUAUUAUGGUUGGCAGUUUGAUGUUUGCAAACAAUAUUUUUUUAUAUAUUCAACAACCAUAUUGCCCCUAUUUAUGGUGACGGAGAGAGAACUCUAUGAGGAAAGAGAUAAGAGAAGAAGUGUGUGUUUUUGUUGUGUGAGUCGAAUAUUUUCUGCAAAUAACUGUGAAAAUUAAUUCUUCGAGUUAGAUAGGUUUAUAAUAGGUGAUAUAAUUUUUCCUUAAGAGAUUUAAUACUGUUAUAUUUUUAGGAUUUGAUUUGUACCAGAACCUAUGAUUAAAUUGAAAGAUAUCUCUUUCUAUCUCAUUCAAAUGUUCUUGGGUAUCAGAAUUGUGUGCGGUAAUAUGUAAAUUAAAUAUCCUAAUUUUUAUUUCCAUAUAAUCAGAACCAUUAACUAUAGUUUUCUAAUUAAAUAGUUGAAGCCACCAAGGACCAACCUAGUAUCACAACCGCUAUCAGAGUUUGAUUCUCCAAUUACACAUUGACUACCAUAAAACUUGUGUCUUAAGAUUUGAUAAAAAAAAAAUUGCGUAUUAAAUUGACCAUCUUUUUUAAGCUACAAAAAAUUUAUUGCAAGUAAUAUAUUUUAUAUUCUAAAUCCAUCAAUGUAUAAAUUUCACAACAUUAAAAUUGAAUAAAGAAAAUAAAACUUCAACCUUCCAAUUUCACAUAUAGUAUGUUAAAUAAAGUUAGGUUAGGAACAAUACAUCCCUAGAUCCAAAAAUUAAGAUGAGUACAAAAAAGAAAAUCAUGAUAUAAAAAUAGUAACUCUAUUUCACAUUUAAAAAGCAUCACAAAGAUUCUUAUUCUAUAUAUAGAUGUAAUUACACAUUACACACAUCACAAUAAAGAAAACAAAACAAAAAAGAACCACAUUAAGUGUUUCUCAACAACCUUAAAAGCAAAAACUUCAACUCCUAGUGUUUAAUCUCUCCCUAGUGAUUAGUACCAUAUUGAUUAAUGAGUGAAAGAGCAUUACUAGUAACCUGAGCAAGAUUAACCAUUCUUGAUCUAAUAGAGGUUUUCAUUCUUCCAUCAAGUGCUUUUCCACCAAAGCCAUCACUACAAGUACUUGCAUCAGUCAUAGAUGAGCUAACCCAUGUUUGAACAUUACUUAUAUGCCAAUUGAAAUCUUGACCAUUGAUCUUGCAAAGUUUAAGCUCCUUAAGUGAACGGCUAAGCCUAUCAACACUAUCAGUAAUUUCUUCAACACAAUCAUGAAGAGCAGCAUAUUCUCUUGGUUUAAGACCUUUAAACUUUUUGCACUUUGUAACAAAGCCUUUUGUGGAUUGAGUUUUGUUUAGGCUAAGUGAUAAAGCUGUUUGGACCAAUUGAUGAGGGUCUUGUUGGAUUGUUGUUGCAUAGACAGAGAGAGAUUCAACACAAAGUGUUGGGUAUGAUGUUGUGCUACAUGAGGAUUUGAUGAAGUUUGUUGGUGUUGAAGUUGCAAUAGAGAGGAGAGUUAAGAGAAGGAAAAGAAGGACAUUUGUUGCCAUGGUGGUUGAGAUUUAGUUAGAGAGAAAAACACUAGAUUUUGUUGUGGUUAGUUAUAUGACUUGUGAGAAUGAGAAUAUGGAUCGAGAUAUUAUAUAGAUAUAGAUGAGGGAUGGGAAUGUGAGUCAAUAUAGUUCACAUACCAUGUCAUAUGCCUAACUUACCAUAACAUAUGCCUAACUCUAUGUGGUAGGGUCAAUAUAUUACUUUCUUUUUUUUUAGAGAAAUAUUACUUUUGUUUUAUAACAAGGAAAAUAAUAGAGUACUUUUGCAAAUCGUGUGUUUAAACGUAAACUCGUUUGACUUUACGUUUUUAAGUAUUAAAAUUGUGUAAAUUUAAACGUAAACUCAUUUUUUGGUAAAUUAGAAAGUUGAUCGAAUUUCACCAAGUUAACAUGGUUUAAAAUCGAUAAAAUCGGAUAAACUCGUCCAAGUUUGCGAGUUUACCUUUUAAAAACACAAUUUUUUUGUUUGUUUUGGGACAGUUUUCAAUUAAAAUUCAAUUCAUUUUUAUAGGGCAACCCAAUAUCACAAUGUUAUGAUCGCGCGACACUUCUUUUUUUCUUCUCAAAAACAUACAACAAAAUUUUGCUCUUCUCUUCUCCUUCAUCAUCGUUCUCCAAACUUUGAUCCUAACUUUCUUCUCAAAAUCGAUUCCAAUGUCGGAGAUUGUGAUGUCGGAGAUUUUGAAUAGUUUUAUUAACAACUUUAGACACUUGUAAACUUGCUUUUGUGGAUGGCUUAGAGACUUAUGAAACUUAUGAUUUUGUGCGUUAAUUUUUGUAUUUUGAUGCUAAGUUAAGCAUAAUAUUUUAUAAUGAUAGUUUGUUAUAAUUUACCUUUGUAAGUAUGUCAUAUUUUACAUUAUUGACCUAUUUACAAUAUUAUAUUAGGUUAUAUAUUUCAUGCAUAUAAUAAAUUUUACAUAAUUUUCAUUUUAGAUAAACUCGUACGAGUUUUCGAGUCGAAUUUACCUUAACAAAACGAAUUGAGAUAAACUUUCAAGUUGCAAAACUUAAUUUCUUUAGAGUAUAAAAAUGUCUCAAUAUUUUUUUAUUGAUUGAUGAGGAUAGGCACACUAUCACGGAAACUGUUGGCGCUAUGUUCUGUUAUCACAAACAUGGUAUGGGCAAUCAAAUAAUUAAGGCUAUAAUAUGCUUUUAGUUCCGAUAAAUAUAGCGAGUUUGAAUUUUAGUCCCUAGUAAAAACAAAAAAUUAAAAUCAUUCCUGCAAAAUUCUCUAUUUUUUAAAAAAGUCGUUGGCUCCACUUUUCAGCUUAUUUAGCACAUUUUUAUCUAGAUGGCAGAUGAUGAUUGUACAAUCAAGUACAUAUGGCAUACAAAUGGCAAUUAUUUUAUUUCAACUACUUAAAAACAUUUAGAAAAAAUCAGAAAAUAUAUUUAUGAAAUAAAAAAAGUUUAUUUUAAUAAUUUAUUAAAAACAACAUAUCCCUUCUACUUCACCCUCCUCUUCUUAUUCGCAGAUCUCUUCUGCAUUCCUCUUCUUCUUCACCUUCCAUUCAAUCAUAUUCAUCGAUUAAUCUUUCUUCAAAUCAAAAUUUUAGAAAACGAAAUUCAUCUUCUUCAAAUUAAAAUUCUUUUGUUCGCAAAUUCAUCCAAAUCCAAAUUAUGGAGACACUGUGUGGGACGAAAUACAGUGUUGGUCGAAAUCGAAAAAGAGGAUGAAGUACAAAGAGGUUGAAAUCGAAAUCGAAAUAAAAAUUAUAGAAACACAUGAUUGAGGAUGAAUUGAACAUCUGAUGUCUACAUCGAAAAAGAGGAAGAAAGGGGAAAAAUCUAAAACCCUAUAAUUUUCCCAUUUUCUGAUUUUGGGUUUGUGAUGAAGUUCUUGAUGAAUUUUUGGGGUUGGGAUUGAGUUUGGGAUGAAGUUCAUGAUAAAACACAACUGUUCUACCAUUUUUCAUUUAAACUCAAAAUCUAAUAAACGAACGUCUCUUUCUCAUGCAAAUCUUAGAAUUUAACAAUGAUUUGUUUGCACUGAAAAACAAAGUUGUCGACGUAUAACAGUUUUUUUUUUUUGUUUUUUGGGGCCGACGUAUAACAAAGUUGUCCACACAUAUAUCUUAAUGUGAUCGAAAAAUCCCAAAUAAUACAAUAGAUUUGUAAUUAAGUUCUAUGCUUUUUAACGAGAUGAUUGAUGGGUUUGGAUUAUUAUCCAAAAUAAAUUAAAAAAUAAAAUAUCCUGUUCUGUGAUGACCCACUUGGCAAAAUUAUUUUAACACUCGCAAAUCAUGCAGCGACAUGGUCCCUUGUAUUAUUUUCAACCGACAUUAGCAUAGUACGAUAUAAAUCAGCUUUCGUUAAAUUAAUAGUAUUACUUUACUUUUGAUGAACAAAAGAGGCUUUACCCAAAGCAAGAUAUAUCAAUUAUGAAGUGUUAUUUGAACAACUAUUUUAUGGGACAACACGUAGGAUUAUCAAAAUAUAUAAAGAAAUAUAGUUAUUGAACCAAAAACUAAAAUAAUGUAGAGAGAAAGUGAAAAAUCUAUGUAAAUAUGAGAGAUAAAGUUGUAUAAAAAUUAUUAUAAAAUGGUUGUUCAAAUAUCAUUUAUUUAUUCAAAUACAAACUAAUCCAAAUUAAAUCCGUAAAAUAAUCAAAAAAUUGAAAACAGUACAAAAUCAAAUAUUAUUAGAUAUGUUUGUAUAUUUUAUAAAAAUCAUUCAUAUUAGAUCAGAAUUUAGAUUUAUUUUUCAAAACAGAAUCAAACUAAACCGAAUCACAUACAUGUAUUUUAAUGUCUAUUUCUAAUUUUUAUAAGUAUGAUAUAUUACAUUAAGCUAUUACUUUUUUCCUUUUUAACUCUUUUAACUCUACAUAUUAGUUUAAUUUAAUCUAUUUUAUUAUUAUUUCAUAUGUUUCAAAGAUAAUUGAUAAUUGUUAUUCCGUAGAAUUAAUUUUUAAUAAAUAAUAUAUUAUAUUACCAUAGUUAUAAACUUAGUUAAAAUAGAAGUUUGCAUGCAGCAGAAUGUUACAUCUUUGAAUAGCUUUAUGGAGAACAAGUGGUCAAAGGGAUUUUUAACACAAUCAUCCUAGUUAACAUAGGGAUCCUACUUUCUCAAGAUUAACAACUACUCCCUCCGUCCCAAAUUAUAUGACGUUUUGGAUAGGGGUGUACAUGGGUUGGGUUAAUCCGGAAAACCCGGUCAAACCCACCCAAAGAAAACCAAAAAAAUGGGUUGGGCCGGGUAAAUGGGUGAAUGUGGUUUUAAAAAUUGAUAUACCCAUAAAAUAAAAUGGGUUCCGGGUAAAACCGGACCCAAACCCAAAAACCCAUUUUAACCCGGAAGAUGAGCAAUCAAUACAUAUAUUCCAAUUUUUCUCAAACGUUAAUACUGAAAUUUUUUUUUCUUCUCAAGGAGCAUUGAUACUAUACACAUUCCAAUUUCAUAAGUUCAGUUUCCAAAUAGUGUUCACCGAUACAUAUUUCAUUUUGCCAAUUUUCAAUUCAAUGUUCAAUUCAAUAUAUAAAGAGACCAACAUUAACCAACCAGUAAACCCAUCUACCAAAAUCAAACUCAUUCGUUCCAGCAAUAACAUACUAUUUAUGAAAGAUUCAUUUCACACAUUGCAUAACAAUAAUUUCUCGUUCCAGCAUACCAUUUUUCUUAAUCCAUAGUUGUUUUGCAUCAUCAAAGUAAGCUUGCUUCUUGUGGCUAAAUUGACAGUACCAUAUCUAACUCAUGUUCAUUUCUUUUUUUAGUUUGCACAAAAGGUGCUUGAUGAAAUGUCUACUUCAUAUCAAUAUUUUUUAAUGUUUAUUUAUAGUAUCUACUUAUAAGUUAGAAUUGAAAAAUACUUUAAUAGUUUGAUUUUUCGAUUCUCUUUUAUUUUAAUACUGUUGUACAUGAUUGUUAAUGCAGGAGAACAUGGAUGUUGAUGAUGUUCCUACAAAUGCUGUGGAAAAUCCAAUUGAUGUUGAUUCUGAUCAUGACUUACAAGGUGAAGCGGCAGGUGACGUCGGAAAAAAUCGUAAGCGUUCUCGUGCUUGGGAUCAUUUUGUACCAGACGGUAAAAGGGCAAAGUGUAUUUACUGUAAUAUGACGUAUGCUGCUGAAGGUAAUACACAUGGAACCACAAAUCUCAAUAAACACUAUAAGAAAUGCCCCAAGAAUCCAAACAGGGUAAUUGACAAGGCACAAAAAACCCUUGUACUUGGGAAGCAAGUAGAGGGUGAUAGUAAUGUCUCUUUUAAGCUUGUUGAAUUUAAUCAAUUAGAGUGUAGAAUGGAGCUUGCUAAGAUGAUUAUCAUUGAUGAACUUCCCUUUAAACAUGUUGAAGGUGUUGGAUUUAAAGGUUUUAUGAGUCGUGCUCAACCUCGUUUGAAAAUUCCUAGUCGUGUCACUGUUGCUAAAGAUUGUAUGGAAUUAUAUAAGGAAGAAAAAGUGAUCUUAAGAUCUUUGUUGUCUCUCAACCAGCAAAUGGUGUCAUUGACCACUGAUACGUGGACCUCAAUUCAGAACAUGAAUUACAUGUGUGUGACAGGUCAUUUCAUUGAUGAAGGGUGGGAAUUACAAAAAAAGAUUUUAGGCUUUGGGUUAAUUGCUAACCAUAGGGGUGACACCAUAGGUAAAGCCUUAGAAAAAUGCUUGAAAGAUUGGGGAAUUACUAAACUGUGCACAGUUACAGUAGAUAAUGCUAGCUCUAAUAAUGUUGCUCUAUCUUAUUUGACUAGAAAUAUGAGUGCUUGGAAUGGAAAUACCUUGCUUAAAGGGGAGUAUAUGCAUCUGCGGUGUUGUGCCCAUAUCUUGAAUUUGAUUGUUUUUGAUGGAUUAUCUCUUAUAGAUUCAUCCAUUUCUAAGAUCAGGGCUGCUUGCAAGCAUGUUAAGUCAUCUCCUUCUAGAUUGGCAUUGUUUAAAGUGUGUGUGAAAGAUGCAAACAUUUCUAGCUCACAAAAGGUAGUAAUUGAUGUAGCAACAAGAUGGAAUACCACAUAUUUAAUGUUGGAGGUAGCUUCUAAAUAUGAAGAGGCAUUCAACCGCUUGGAGGGUGAAGAUCCUUCAUAUGUGUCUGAACUUGAGGUCGUAGGAGGAACUCCAACUGUGUAUGAUUGGAACCGUGCCCGUGUGUUUAUCAAUUUUCUGAAGAUAUUUUAUGAUGCUACCCUAACUUUUUCCUCUUCUUUACAUAUAAGUGCUAACUGUUUCUUUAGAAAGUUGGUGAAGAUUCAUACUGCACUGUCAUCAUGGAUUCAAGGUGAAGAUGUUGUGUUGAAAAACAUGGCAUUGACUAUGAAAGCUAAAUUUGAAAAGUAUUGGAGUGAUGAGAAUAUCAAUUAUCUGUUGUUUGUAGCUGUUUAUCUUGAUCCUAGGUACAAGAUGGAGUAUCUUGAUUUUUGUUUUGGUUGGAUGUAUGGGGUGGAAAAGGCUAAAAUGAUAAUUGCUAAACUGCAUGAACUCAUAGGCAAAUUGUUUGAUUAUUACAAGUCAGUGCAGCCUAUUGGUUUUGUUUCUAGUGAUUCCUCCUCUAGCUCCACUAAUACAAUGCAAAGUGAUGUUGUUACUUUCGGUGUUGGAGGUAAUGUGGAUAUGGAUGCUUUGCACCGAAGAAGGGUUAAAAGAAGGCAAAGUGAACAUAACUCAAGUGAGUUGGUAAGAUACUUAGAAGAUGAGGUUGAAGAUGAUUAUGAAGGAUUUGAACAUUUGAAAUGGUGGAAAAGUAAGAGCACAAAGUACAUUGUUCUUUCUCUCAUAGCUAGGGAUAUAUUAUCGAUUCCGAUAUCUACUGUUUCUUCUGAGUCUGCCUUUAGCACUGGAGGUCGUGUUAUUGAUCCAUACCGUAGUUCUUUGAAAGCUGAAACAGUUGAGGCUUUGAUCUGUACUCAAAAUUGGAUCAAGCCUGUCACAAGGUCUGUUUUAGAUGAAAGUAAAGCAUUUGAUGUGCUGGAAUUUGAAACAGGUAUUAAUUGUUUCUUAGCUUUUAUCUUUUUAUUUUAUCUUUUAGUUUUAUUCUUACAUUGUUUAUUUUUUUAUGUCAUUAGAAAUGUCAUAUUUGAAUGGUCUCGAGGAGUUUGCAGCUGAAUCCCUUGACGAGUAACUAGGUAAAAAUCUAAUACCAUUGUUUCAUGUUUAUACUAAUUUUGUCUUGUGUGAUUGGUGUUCCUGUUGUUGAUGGGGUAGUCUAUUUCCUGUUGUUGAUGAAGUUUACGUUUUUUAGUUGCAUACUACUACUAUGUGUUUUUCUUAUGUGCCUUCAAUUAGAGCCUGACUUACAUAUUAAUGAAGGUUGUUUGUCACUGUCAUGAUGUCCUGGCAGGUUUAGCAACUUGGGUUAUAUUGAGUGAUCUUUUGAAUUGGGAUUACACAUGUUUGUCUUAAUUUUUCAUUAACAUUUCAGAUUUUUCUUGCUCAUUAUUAUGUAAUGUAGUGCUGAGAUUUUCACAAUGGAUAAAUGUAUAUGUUUCUUGCUGCAUACUUUUGAACUCCAAUCUAUGACAUAAUUAUCACUUAUGUAGUAUUUAUGACAUGCAUACUUUUGAACUCCAAAUUGGUAGUCUAUGAACUAAUGCUUUAAUUUUUAUUAUCACAGUUUGGUGGAGAUGGAGAAUAUAAACGAUGAAGUCAGGACUCUUUUGAAUUGUGGGGAAUGUUAAUGAUGACAUCAAGACUCGUUUCUUGUUAUGUUUUGGGCUCUUUUUUGUAUUUGAUGAGACAUGAUUUUGGUUUAUUUUGACUUGGUUGUUGCAAUUUGUCUCUUGAACAUUUGUUGUUUUCUUUUGCCAAGACUUUAGCUAAUUUAAGAUGAUGCACUCUUUGAGUAUUUUUAUUCUAAUGCAAUUUUAUGUUAUGCAAUGUCUUUAAAUUUUUGAGUUAUUUUUAUGAAAAAAUUAUGAUGACUUGUCAUUUGGUUUAAUACUACAAAAAAAAAGAAGCAAAAAUUAAUUCGGGUAACCCACUACCCAACCCAAUCCAACCCGGAAAUUAGUGGGUUUACCCAAACCGGCCCAAUAGUUUAACGGAUGGACAUUUUAUCUCACCCAAACCGGAGUACCUUAUAUGGUUUGGGUUUUGGAUUUGGCCAAACCCAACCUAAACCGGCCCACUUACACCCCUAGUUUUGGGCAUUUCACACAUAUUAAGAAAUACAAUUAAUAUUGUGUGGAAAAGAGAUAUUAUGAGUUGUUUUACAAAAUUGUCCUUAAUAAAUAAUAUGGGAAAGAUAAAUGAAAGAAUUGAAAGAAAAGAGAGUAAUAAAUAGCUAAGGUUAUAAUAGGAAAAGUAACAUUAAUGUUGCAUUGGUAUUGUAAAGCGACGUAUAAUUUAGGACAAAUAUUUUUCCCUAAAGCGACAUAUAAUUUGGGACGGAGGGAGUAGUAACUAAAUUAACUACGCAACAUUAUAUUCUAAAAGUUGUUGAUCUGAAAUUCUUGGUCAUGUUGUUAAACAUUUUGAAGCCAAUAGUUACUUCAAAUAUACAUUGUAAUGCAUGAUUAAUUUUUUAAAUUUUAUUUAAAUUUUUAUGUGAACUAAAUAAAAGUUCUUAUAAAUUUUUCCGCACUUGAGAAAAAUUAGUUUAAGUUCUUCUGAAAAUGAAGUGUUACGCUAGUAAAACGGCUAUAGUCAAAAUCAGGAAUUGUACCACAAAGACAGUCUAAGGCAUUGUCAAAAUCAGAGUCCUUACCACUUAUCCAAAGCCUCUACUGGCAAGUACAUUCCUAACUCACCAACCAUAGAUAAAGAAGUCAACCUCCAUUAAAGAUCCCUACAUAUAAAACCACCACUAACCACAAUGUCUUUAUGGUGAACUCCUCGAUAAAACCUUUAUCUAAACUAACAUCCUCUUUGAGCAAAUUCUCCCACAACAACAUGUCCUAAAGGAACGACAACCCACGAUACUUAUUACCAUCACAUGAAGGUUAAAAGAUCGUCGACUAUCGAUUAUUCCAUUCAAAGCCCAAUCUUGGUCCGGACCUCCAAAUAAUGUCUAGUGCUUUGGCCACCUCCUCUAAAUCCUUUACAAUAGUCUCAUCAUCAAGAUACCAAGCAUUAAGAAGAAACUUGCAACUGUAUAUGAUAUUUUUGUGAAAGUGAAUCAAAAUUGGAGUUUUAAAUUUGUCAAAAUCAGUGGCCGAAUGGAGAAAUCGGGGCCUGGUUUUGACGGUGUUUUUCAGCCUUUUCUUUACGUGGAAAAUCGGUGGCUGAAGAGAAAAAUCAGGGCCCGAUUUUGCCACCAGAAAAUAAAACAGAAAUGUAUUUUCGGGCUUAGAUUUGUUCUAGUUUUUUGAGGGAUACUUUUACUAUAAAUAUAGAACUUGUAUCAAAAGUAAACCUUGAUGUAGAGAGUCUGAAAAUAAGGGUUUAGAAGUUAACAAGAAAACUAGUGUUUGUAUAUAGUUUGCUCUUGGCAACAAACACUAGGGUUAGGAUUGAUUCACCAUGGGAAACACUAUUAGGAUUGAGUCUCUUGAUCACGGGAAGAGAUUGGGACUUUGGGUAGAAAUAGACGGGAGACUUAUUCGUGUAACCCUUUGAUAUGUCUUUUGUAAAGUUACUUUUGGAACGGAUGGCUGCUCUCUCCACCAGACUAGGUCAGUAUUAGACCGAACUGGGUAAACAAAUUUUGUGUAUUCUCUCUUUCUUUUCUCUCGAUGUUUUCUAAUUUUUUCUUGUGUUUAUAAUUGUUCCCACGUUGAUAUUGAUUGCUUGAUUAUUUUUCUCACAUCAAAUUUUUUACCUUUUAAAUUUUUUAAAAAGCAAUUAUUAAAAUUUUAAACAAAAUUGCUCCUUAAAAUCUUAAACAAAUGCUUUGGUUAUUUUAUAGCUGAUGUUCCUCCAUGUUGCUUUAAAAUGGCCGAUGUGGGACAGUAUUAAAAUGUUAGUUUGAAAGCUUAAACUAGAGAAGUAUUUUACAACAUUCUUGGUUUUACCAUUCAUUCAAAAUACUCUUCCACUUCCAUAUAUAUAUAUAUAGACACGCUGUCGAACCAACCCAUAAAUCAAUCGAGUCGAACUAUAUACAACUCAAGUUCAGCUUAUUUAUUUAACAUACAAAAUUUUCAGCUUAAGUUCAACUCAUUUGGUUCAUGAACCAAGUUCAACAAGAUAAUUGUUGAAUCGAAUUCUGAACUAUUGUCGAGUUGGUUCGGUUCAUUACAAACCAAGCCACACAUAAUUGUUAAACUAAUAUUAGGAUUCCUAAUAUUACAUCCAUGGAUUCAGAAAUUAAGAUGAGUAGUAACAGCAAAGGUGCAAACAAGAAAAUCAUACAUAAAUAGUAAACACUAUUUCACAAUUCAAAACUAUCACAAAGUUCCAUAUUCAAUAUAUAUAUAGAUGUAAUUACACAUUACACACACCAAAUCACAUAAAACAAAAAAGGAACCACAAUUAAGUGUUUCUUAACAAUCUCAAAAGAAAAAACUUUGAUUCCUAGUGUUCAAUUUCUCUCUAGUGCUUAGUAGCAUAUUGAUUAAUAAGUGAAAGAGCAUUACUAGUAACUUGAGCAACAUUAACCAUUCUUGAUCUAAUAGAG